Molecule: long non-coding RNA, 89109 nt
Filed under: Citrus sinensis (sweet orange)
Lineage: Eukaryota; Viridiplantae; Streptophyta; Magnoliopsida; Sapindales; Rutaceae
Description: long non-coding RNA (CSIN_LNC003438)
Source: RNAcentral
AAAAUUUAGAGCAUAACAAAAAGCUAUUUAAACGUGUUAAUGAAAUAGCAGUAAAGAAAAGAUGCACCCCAUCUCACCUUGCAUUAGCAUGGGUUCAUUACCAAGGAAAUGACGUGUGUCCGAUUCCUGGAACCACCAAGAUUGAAAACCUCAAUCAAAAUAUUAAAGCUCUGUCACUGAAACUUACUCCAGAAGAAAUUGCUGAGCUUGAAUCCAUUGCUUCAGCUGAUGCUGUAAGGAGUCAUCGGUAUGGGGGUGUCACCCGUACCUACGAGGAUUCUGAUACUCCACCUUUGUCUUCGUGGAAACCUUCAUAAAGGGUUUUGGUAUUCUGCCUUCUUAGUACCGAUUUUGCAAUUGCAUGUAGUUCCUAGGUUUUGUUGUGGGUAAAAUCAUUGUGUUGUGAGUAAAAAUAAAGUCAUCAUGUCUUCUGAUACGAGACCCUAUCAGCACCUUUCUGCACUUUCUACAAGCAUUUAGUGAAUAUUGUAUUGAGUUUCUAUGUAAUGUUGUAAGUAAAACUAAAUCAUUGUAUCUAUUGGCUCCAUCUCAUUUGGGGGUCCAAAAGCCUAAAGUUUAACAGGUUUAGACAAUUAAGUAAUUAAAAGAGACUUAAAGGGGAGAAUGAAAUUUGCCAUGAAAUUUGCCUAUAAAAGCAAGUGAAAGCCGUUGCCUUGGAUAAUUUAGAGCGUGAACAAGUGGUGAGAGAGAGAGAGAGAGAGAGAGAGAGAGAGAGAGAAAAGACAGUAGAUGCUUUCAUUUGAUAAUAGUGAUUUUAAUCUUUAAUUAGACGAUUGGAAGGUAAAAUUAACUCCAAUUUCUCUCAAAUUUUGAGGGUAAGUUCUUGGCAUCGCCCUCUAGAAUCCUACUGGUCUUGAUUUUGAUUUUAUUCUCUCUUUGGCUAUUAUUUGAAAUACAUACUUGUUGGAGAGAUAAUUAUUAGGUUAUUACUGUAAGCUAAGAUUAUUGAGAUUCUUGAUGUUGGCAGCCUCUAGUAUUAUCUAGAGAAGAAUUUGUGCUAUAAUCCAUUAAUAUAGGGGAAGAUUAUAUCAGACUAUGGUCUAGUGGUUUUCCCACUUUAGGUUUUUCAUGUAAAAAUUUGUAUCUUUUGUGGUUGAAUUUUACUUUGGAUUUAUUGAUUUAUUUUUCUACCUAUUUAUUUGUGGUACACAUCCUAUUUUAAUCACACAAAGAGGGAAAGAGUUUUGUUUCUACUUAAUUUGCAGCUGCUUGUGGCAGUCUAUUUCCCAACUGAGUGGUAUCAGAGCGUCAAGUUUUGUAUUUUUAAUUGUUUGUGUGGUUAAAUGGAGAAGUCCUUGGCAUGCAUGAUUAAACUAAAAUCAUGGAAUUAUGGUAUUUGAAAGUCUAGAAUGGAGGAUUUGUUAUACAUGAAAGACUUAUAUGAACCCAUUAAAAGCGAAGAAGUUAGACCCGCCGAUUUAGAUGAUAAGAAAUGGGUUCAAUAAAACCAGAAGGUUGUGGGUAUUAUUAAGCCACUGAUUGAUCAAAGUGUGUACCACCAUAUAGCAAAAGAAUCUAAGCUUGGUUUUUUUUUUUUGGAGAAAAUUAGAGACAAUUUAUGAGCAGCCGACAAUACAGAAUAAAGUCAAUUUGAUGAAAAGGCUUGUUAACUUGAAAUAAAAGGAGGGGCGCAGUAUAACUGAACACACUAGUGAGUUUCAGUGCUUGCUUGAUUAGUUAACUGCUAUAAAAAGUAUUUUAGAUGAUGCGUUACAAGUAUUAUUGUUGCUUAGUUCUUUGCCUAACGAGAGACAUUAGUGGUGUCAGUGAAUAAUUCAGCGCCGAAUGAGAAAUUAACUUUGUAUAUGGUUACAGAAUGAAGAAUCUAGAAGAAAGAAUGUUGAAGCAGUUUCCUCUGAGUCAGAAGCACUUGUUUCAGAAAAGUAAGAAAAACGGGGAAGAAGCCAAAGUAUAAAUUUUUGCCAGCAAAACAAUGAUCAUCUAAGUCCCAGAAGAGAAACCUCAAGUGCUUUCAUUGUCAGAAAAUGGGUCACGUUAAAAGGGAGUGUAGAAUAUGGAAAAGAGAAUAGGUGAAAGAAAAUGGUGAUGCUUAGAAAAAUGACAAAGAGAACACUGCAGCCAUACUUGAUGGUGAUUUGGGUAUUGUUUAUAUGAGAGUUCAAUAAAUCUCGCUUGCCAUACCAGUGAUUGGGUGAUUGAUUCAGGUGCUUCAUUUCAUAUUACUGCACGUCGUGAUAGCUUCACAUCCAAUGUUAAUAGUGAUUAUGGCCAUGUUCAGAUGGGAAAUAAGGGGGCAUAGGUGAUAUUUGCUUGGAAACCAACAUCGGUUGUAAAUUGUUGCUUAAUUAUGUCAGACAUGUGCCUGAUAUUAGGCAAGCUUGGUGAUGAUGGCUAUACUAACCCAUUGGUGAAAGGAAAAUAGAAGCUUAUCAAAGGCUCCCUAGUGUUAGCUAAGAGGAAGAAAGUAAACACCCUCUAUAUGUUAGAAGCCAAGAUUAAGAAAAAAGAUGUGAAUGUGGCUGUAAAAAAUUAUGCCAUUGAGACAUAGCAUAAAAGGCUUGGUUAUAUUGGUGAGAAAGGGUUGGAAACCCUUGUCAGAAAAGGAUUUCUACCCAGCUUCAUAGGUGUGUCUCUCAAGACUUGUAUUCAUUGCUUAGCUGGAAAGACACACAAAGUAGUUUUUAAAAAAUUUUCUCCAUCUAGAUAGUCAGAAAUACUUGAUUUGAUUCACACAGAUGUUUGCAUGAUGCAAAGUAGAUUAAUAGAAGAUACACUUUAUUUUGUGACUUUUAUUGAUAAUUGUUCUAGAAAAGUGUAAGCUUUUACUUUGAAAUUCAGAGACCAGGUGCUUGACAAUUUAAAUUCUUCCAUGCUUAUGUUGAGAGAGAGAUAAGAAAAAAAUUAAAAUGCAUCAGGGCAGAUAAUGGUGGUGAGUACAAAGGACCAUUUGAGCAGUAUUGCAGAUCCCAUGGAAUAAGACUUGAGAAGACUGUACCAAAAACCGCACAGCAGAAUAGUAUUGCAGAAAGGAUGAACAAAGCAAUUGAAGAAAGGGUCAAGUGUAUGCUCUGUGAUGCUAAGCUUCCUAAAUCUUUCUAGGCAGAGGUUAUGCGUACUAUAGUUGACUUGAUUAACAUUUCUCCUUCAGCUCCAUUAGAUAGCAAUAUACCUGAGAGAGUUUGGACUGGAAAAGAUGUCUCUCAUAAACACUUAAGAGUGUUUGGUUAUAGAGCAUAUGUUCAUAUCCCAAAAGAUGAGAGAUCGAAGCUUGAUGAUAAAGCCAAAGAAUGCAUUUUCUUAGGCUAUGGGCAUGAAGAAUUUGGGUACAUAUUAUGGGAUCUAGUGGCAAGAAAAUUGAUCAGGAGUAGAGAUGUUAUAUUCCUUGAAGAUCAUAUAUUUGGUAAUGCAGAGAAGAGUAAUGAGCCUCAGUUAUCUCCAGAUAUUCCUAUAAUUCCAACUUCAGUUUCUCCAGCUGUAGUUCAUAAUGAUCAUGGGGGAGCUGGAGAGACUAAUAAUGAUAGUCCAACAGAACUAGUUGACCAGGGACCUCUAGAAUCACCUGCACCACUAAUUGAGCCAGAAUUAAGAAGAUCUACCAGAGAACGGCGACCUUCCACUAGAUAUCUUCCACAUAAGUAUGUGAUGCUUACAGAUGAAGGGGAGCCAGAACGUUUUGAAGAAGCCAUAUCUCACCAACAUAAAAGCGAGUGGGUUAAAGUCAUGCAAGAGGAGAUGAAAUGCUUGAAUGAAAACUAUACUUAUGACUUAGUAAAGCUUCCUAAAGGAAAGAUGGCACUAAAGAACAAAUGGUUUAAUAGGUUGAAGAAUGAAAAUAACUCACAAUAGUGAUACAAGGCUAGAUUGGUUGUGAAAUGUUUCGAUCAAAAGAAAUGUGUUGACUUUAAAGAAAUAUUUUCUCUUAUUGUGAAGAUGUCGUCUAUCCGAGUUGUUCUAGGAUUAACAGCUAACUUGAACUUAGACACUGAACAACUUAAUAUAAAGACAACUUUCUUACACGGUGACUUCAAGGAGGAAAUAUACAUGGAGCAACCUGAAGGGUCCAAUGUCAAAGGCAAAGAAGAACUUGUGUGCAAGUUAAAGAAAGUUUGUAUGGGCUGAAACAAGCACCAAGACAAUAGUACAAGAAGUUUGAUUCUUUUACGGAGAAUCAUGGUUUCAGCAAGACUAUGUGCGACCAUUGUGUUUUUAUAAAGAAGUUUGGAGAUAAUGAUUUCAUUAUUCUUUUGCUUUAUGUAGAUGACAUGUUGAUUGUUGGCCCGGAUGCUCGUAAGAUUGACAAUCUAAAGAGAGAACUUAGCAAGUCUUUUGCAAUUAAGGACUUGGGACCGGCGAAACAAAUUCUUGGCAUGAAGAUUUCCCGCGAUAGAAAAGUUUGGAAGUUAUGGUUAUCUCAAGAAGCAUAUGUUGAAAGGGUUCUUGAAAGACUUAACAUGAGCAAGGCAAAAUCUGUUUGUUCUCCACUUGCAGGCCAUUUCAAGCUUAAUUCUGAGCAUUGUCCCACAAGUGAGAAAGAGAAGAAAGAGAUGAAAGAAGUUCUUUAUGCUUCAGCAGUUGGUAGUCUUAUGUACGCCAUGGUUUGUACAAGACCAGAUAUUGCUCAUGCAGUUGGAGUAGUUAGUCGAUUUCUCUCCAAUCUGGGCAAAGAGCACUGGACAACAGUGAAGUAGAUUCUCAGAUAUCUCAAAACCACUUCCAAGGCAUGUUUAUGUUUUGGUGGUGACAAACCUAUAUUACAAGUGUACACAGAUGCAGAUAUGACAGGAGAUGUUGAUUCGAGAAAAUCUCUAUCAAGAUAUUUGCUCACCAUUGUAGGGGGAGCUAUCUCAUGGCAAUCCAAACUUCAGCAGUGUGUUGCCUUGUCUACCAUAGAAGAAGAGUAUAUUGCAAUCACUAAAGGUUACAAAUAAACCUUGUGGAUGAAGAAUUUUCUACAAGAGUUGGGUGUGAAACAAAAUAUCUUUGUUGUGUAUUGCGACAAUUAGAGUGCCAUUCACUUGGCAAAGAAUUCGACAUACCAUUUGAAAUCUAAGCAUAUUGAUGUGAGGUAUCAUUGGAUACGAGACGUGCUUGAGAAGAAACAGUUGCAGGUUGAGAAGAUACACACAACAGAGAGUGGGUCAUAUAUGAUGACAAAACCAUUACCUAAGGAGAAGCUGAAAAGCCGUAUGCAGAGAGCGGGAUUGGUAGUGCCCCCCACAUGAUUCGGAGAGGGAGAUUUGUUGGGCCCAUCUCAUUUGGAGGCCAAAAGGCUAAAGUUUAAUAAGUUUGGAAAAUUAAGUAAUGAAAAGAGGCUUAAAAUGAAAUUUGCCUAUAAAAUGAAGUGAAAGACGCUGCCUUAGAUAAUUUUGAGAGUGAAAAAGCGGUGAAAGAGAGAGAGAAAAGACAAUAGAUGCUUUUAUUUAGGAAUAGUAAUUUUAAUCUUUCAUUAGACGAUCGGAAGGCGAUAUUAACUCUUAUUUCUCUUAAAUUUUUAGCGGAAGUUCUUGGCAUCGGCGCAUCGGCCUUUACAAUCCUACUAGCGUUGAUUUUUAUUUUAUCCUCUCUUUGACUAUUAUUUGAGAUACUCACUUGUUGGAGAGAUAGUUAUUAGGUUGUUACUGUAAGCCAUAUUGAGAUUCUUGAUGUUGGUAGCCCAUAGUAUUAUCUAGAGAAGAAUUUGUAUUGUAAUCUCAUUAAUAUAAUGGAAGAUUAUAGCGGACUACGGUCCCAUGAUUUUUCUCGCUUUAAGUUUUUCACGUAAAAAUAUGUCUCUUGUAGUUGGUUUUUGCUUUGGAUUUAUUAGUUUAUUUUUCUGUCUAUUUAUUUGUAGUGCACAUCCUAUUUUAAUCACACAAAGAAGGAAAGAGUUUUUUUUUUCCGCUUAAUUUACAGCUGUUUGUGGUGGUCCUUUCCCAACAAUGUCUUCUGCAGUAAGCACAAAAACAAUGUAAUGUGUUUAUGCAAAUAUAUGAGAAACAAUAAAUAAAUCAAAAUGGAGUAAUAUUUAUCUGAAAUUUCUAGAAGUUUAGAUGAUCUAAAUUAGGGGCGAAGCCAAAAAAAAAUUCAUGGGUAGGCUAAAUUUUUUCCAAAUCCAAAUAUUAUCUCGGCUAAAAAUAUAAAUCUGAAAGAAAUUUUUUUUAAUACAUAAGAAAAUAUAUCAUAUCUAAGAAGCAAUUUAGUCACAAUUAAACACUAUUAAGUUUUGCCUUACCAUACUUUCGAGAAUUAAACCCAUCUAUUAUCGAAUUUAAAUUGAUGGUGCUUACAAGUUCUCUUUUAACAUAGAUAACUAUACAAUCUGAUAAAAAUUCCUUCUCCUUCUUAUUUUAAAUUGGUGUUUAUGCUCGUUUGGUCAUUGCAGCCAAAACAAGGUAUAAAUAUAAAAGAAGUUAAAAGACGUAAUCACAAAUUCACUAAUAAAAGCUAUAGAACCGUCAAUCUAUCAUGAAAUACAGGUUAUGCAACCUAAGAAAUGGGUGAAUUGGGCUUCUAAAAAUUUAAUCAAUUAAGAAUUAAUGCAAUUUAAACAAAGUAACCAAAUUCGAAAUAAACAAUUAAUGUGCAAUGAAAAAUAAAGAGGUAGGGUAAGAGAGACCAAACACGUGAUUUUUAUGUGGUUCGGUCAUUCGUGCCUACGUCCACGCCUUCAAGCUCACCGGACUUAAGGAUUUCACUAAGUGAUUCUCCAAGACUUCAACAACUCUUACAAUUGACUUCCAAGGAGUCAAUAGAUCUUUACAACAAGAGAUUAUCUUCAAUCUCUUAACCCAAGUGUAUCCCAACACUUACAACCUCUUAACUUGAUUUUACAAAAAUGAUUACAAAUAAAUUUUCCUCACAAUUUGUUUGAUUACAAAUGAAAAUUCAACAUGUGUGAAUAAAUAAAAUGAAUACACAAAUUUUGUUCUCUAAUUGCAGAGGAUUGCUCAAUGAUAACAAUGGUUGUCUCUCUUCAUUUUAAUUUAAUUGAAGUCAUUUUAUAGUUGGAGCAGAAAAUUAGCUGUUAUUGACUUUUUAGUGAUAAUCGGCUUGUCGUUUUAUGUUAACUUUGUCGCUUGAUGUUACUGCUACAGUCAAGGAUUUGAAUGUUUGCACAUCUAGUUUGUCACUUUUCAUUUUUCAGUUAGUCAAUUUUACUCCAGAGAGCUUUUGCUUGAUAACCAGUUUGUUGCUUUGAUAAAUCCAGUUAGCCGUUUGCUACAGUGAAACAUCUAUUUUCUAAAAUUAUAAUGUUACCCUAAAACUUUAUAAAAUUAUAUUACGUCCCAAAUCUUUAUAAAACUUUGUAAAUAGAUCAAUUUCCAGAAUUUUAAAAUAAUACUUAUUGAUUUCAAAGUUCUCAAAACUUUCUAAUUUAAACCAUAAACUUGAAAACAACAAAUUUCAUAAAAUAAUUUUCUUGUUUCAAAAGCAUAAUAUGUAAUUAUUUGUUUAUAUAAAACAUGUGGUUUGUUAUCAUCAAAAUAACAUUUUAUAGCUAUAUAGCCUAACAUGUCACUAUGACACACAUUGACACUAUCCAGAAGCCAAAAAAUAUAUUUAAUUAACAAAUUAACAUUAUGUAUAAUAUCUCUCUAUCAAUACUGAAUUGAAUCUAUGAUCCAUCUAUAUCAAUAAUCAAUUUCAAAUAUAUCUAAUCUAUCAAAAAUUAAUUUAAAAUUUUGAUUGCUAGAAUUUAAUGGCUAAAUUAUCUUCAUUUGACCUAACAAUAAUUUAAUUUUACACAACAAAAUUGGAACAAAAGUUAAGGAACAUAAUCUUUAGUCCUUACUACCUAACAAUUAAUAAGUGUAUUGUAAAUGAUUGAAUAAACAAUAAAUUUAUUAUCUAUUCUUGCCAAGAAGAAGAAAAAGAAUUGAAGAUGCCAAGAAAGAAAGAACGUUCUGGAAUCUUGAAUGAAAUAAAUGCUCUCUUUUUCUAUUUUUUUUUAAAGACUUUUUCUAUUUAUUUAUUUGAAUGACAAAGUUGUAAAUUAAUAUAGCAGUACUAUUGUAAAUAAAAUAGUGGCAAUUUUGUAAACUUUGUAUUAUGGCAUUUUUGUAAAUUUUCUAAAAAUUUUCCAGCCCACUUGGAGCCUCGCCAUUGAUGUGAAGAGCAAUGUUAGGUAUCCCAACAUAUAAGUCCCAAUUUGAGUCCCUACUAACGUGAAAUUCAUCUAUUGAACGGUGAUUAAGUAAUUUUACUAGAUAUGAGAUCCAUCAUUCAAUUGAUGAGUGACACAUAUCAUUAUGAGUCAAGUUGAUACUCAAAUGUUGGGAUCCCAAACAUCAUUGCUUAUCUAAAUUUAUUGUAGCAUUAUAUGUUUCUUGUUGUUACACGACAUCCCUCCUCAACAGAAAAUUAUUCAAUAAUUUCAUAUCAAUCGAAUACUUUUGCUGUGUUACAAAGUGGCCUCUAGCAGGUUACCAAAUUGAUUCACAAUUUGUCAGAUCAUUUUACUGGAAAUUAAACUAUUUCAACCAACUAAUUAUGCUUAGUGAUGGUAAAAACUCAGGUCGGUCCCAGAUACAGCAAUACUCAAAUUUGGCCCAAGCAUUUUUUCCUAACACUCAGGUUGGGCUUAAAAACUCGGCACCAAAUGGAUUAUUUUUUAUGGGCUUAAAAAUUUUAAGAUUUUAUAUUUAAUAAUAUUAUACAUGUAUAUUUGCGAUCACCUCAUAUUGAUAAAAAGUCUGGAGAAUAAUUUGAAAUGGAGAUCACAGAAACAGAAAGGCAUGAAUUGUGCAAGAAGUUCUUUGGAGUUUCAAACUUUUAACCCAAUUCAUUAUAUUGAAUUUACUUACUUUUAACCUAAUUCAUGAUAAGCAGUCGCAAAUUCUAUUCGCGAAUUCUUAUGCUACCCUUUUGACAUCCAUACAUGUAUUAGUUCAACAAUUUCUUACAUCAUAUAAACCCGGACUUCUUUUUUACAUUAUAAACAUUUUGUAUCUUUUAUUCAAAAACAUCAUGAUUGUAGAAAUUGAACACUAAAAUAAUUCAGAAAAUACUACAGGUUAAUUUUUAGUAUUAAUGGGUUAGUUUCUGUUGAGUAUAUUAUAUUAUACAAAGAAUAGUCUAUUGACACUAUUGGACCAAAAAUAGAAGAGGCUCAAUCAAGACCCAAAUAAAUUUAAUCUCAAUAAGGCCUAUGUAAUAAAUUUACUCUCAAUUAAACCCACAAAGUGCUGGACAAACUACCUAGGAUAAUCCUUCUAAGUAAUAAGACUUCAAAGCCUAAAAGAUCUCAAAGUCCAAGGCUAAAAGGUUCUAAAGUCCUAGGAUUAUAUCCUAAAACAAACCACCUAGGAUAAUCCUCCUAGAUGAUGAAGCUUCAAAACCCAAAAGGUACCGAUGUCGUAGGCUCAUAUUCUAAGACAAACUACUUAUGAUAAAUCUCCUAAGUUCUAAGGUUCCCAUCAUCUUAGAGUCUUAGUAAAAACAAUCUAAGGUUAAAAUGUUUCUUUCUGUAAUCUAUAGAAAAGUUUGCAUAUCCAUGUGUCAAUUAAUAUAGGCACAAACAAACAAGUGUCGCCAGAUGUGAUACGAACAAUGACACUUGUCAUCAAAAUAAAUAGGACUCAAGUCAAAUCGGUUUGGAGCAUAACAAAAAGUUAUUUGAGCAUGUUAAUGAAAUAGCAAUGAGAAAAGGAUUCACCCAGCACAGCUUGCGUUAGCCCGGCUUCACCACCAAGGUGAUGAUGUGUGUCCCAUAUCUAGAACCACCAAGUUCGAACAGCUCAAUGAAAAUAUUGAAGCUCUCACAGUGAAAUUAGCUCCAGAAGAAAUGGCUGAACAUGAUUCCAUUGCUUUGGCGGAUGUUGUAAAGGGUGAUCGACAUCCGGAUACAGUAACUACCUACAAAGACUCUGAUACUCCACCUCUGUCUUAAUGGAGACCUUCUUAAAGGAAGUGGAUAGAAUCCAAGCGCUUAAAUAUAAUUAAACCUACUUACAAAAUACCCGAGACAUUAAAUAAAACAAGAUGGCUGCAAUGUUCUAAAAUUUCUAGAUGCGUUGAAAUUGUCGACCCGCUUGCUUGUGAUGCAGCUAUCUGGAAUACAACCAGAUAAAUUAAUAGCAAGGAUCCUAAAAAAUAUAUUUAUUCAAAAAUUAUUAAUUAUAAUUAAAUUAAUAAAUUAUUAAUUUAUGAAUAUAUUUCUUAUUUUAAAAAAUAUGAUCACGUUCAUAAAAUUUCUAUUUUCCAGAGAAACCGAAAAUAGUAAUUAACGAGUUGUAUUGCCCUAACGGAAUGAAUGGGUGUUAAGCACCUCUUACAGCAGAAUUUUAUGUGGCUAUCAAAUUAUUAAAAGUAUCACCAAAAAUGAUAAAGAAUGAAAGGUUGAAGUGGCAUCUUUCCCCUACAAACUGUCUCGAUUAAUUAAAAGCUAUUUUAAAUAUUUAAAAUCAAAAUAUUGUCCUAAUCAACUUUUCAUUUUAUGCACCGUUGACAGUACAUAUUCAUGCCAUCACUCAUACUGUGAUUAACAAGGAAAUUCUACAAAGGGCAGGGUAAAGAAACAAGCAAGCGAAGAAACAAGGAGAACAUUAAUGAACAUAAAACAUUACUAUGAAACAUUUGAAGCAUGUGAGCUUUGAUGAAACGUUUAGAUGUUUUCAUAAAUAUAAGUUAAAUUAUGAUAUUUGAUUACAUCCCAAAUAUAAGUUAAAUUAUGAUAUUUGAUCACAUCCCAUUUUCAACGGCAAUCGUAAUAUGCAAGAUACAAUAGAUAUCAUACAGUUUCCAACUGAUCCAUAUCAUCGUAUUAUGUGCUUACUAAUCAUGAAGCAGAGUAACUGCAGCUCAGUGCUUGGUUUUAGGCCUCUUCACUAUCAUCACCGUGCAAUGAGCAUGAUGAGCACAAUAAUCACUUACACUGCCCAAAACCGCCCUGCAAAAGAAUCGAUCUCAGUUAUAAAUCAUCAGAAUCCCCAACAGGAAACAAAUGAAACCUACUAACCCUCUCAUUCAACAAAAUUUGUAAAUCCAUAGUACGUAUGACAUUCCCAGCGAAAGAAUACUGAAAUAGAAACCGAUCAAUAUUUUUUUUUUUUUUUCGAAAGGUAGAGGAGAAGGCAAAUCCCCAAUUAAAUUUUUAGUAUCAAUUUGCAUUUGGGUGGCCAGUCAAAGAAAAGCGUUUUACUACAUCUCAAUGACAUUUUUUCCACUCUAUUUUCAUCUGGUUAUAGCUACUCCAUAAUAAAGAAUAAAAUAUUGAUUCAUAUAAGCUUUUACAAAUAGUACUACAACAGAUUUGAGUCCUCAUUACAACUGAAAAAUAUGAAUAAUAACCAAAACAGUUCACCAUACCAAGUUCCACUCGAGAAAAUAUGAGAUACCAAAGGAAACAACUUAUGGUAGAUUUAUACCUUUUGAUCGCUCCAUAGCCAUGACUACCAACAACCAAUAUGGAGGCAUGAUGCUUCUCUACAGCCUCACAGAGGAUAUUUCGAGCAUCUCCUUCCACCACCUCAACAACAAAGUCAUGCACCUAAACAAAACAGAACUACUAAUUUACAGAAAUGAUACCAGAAGAAAAACAAUUAAGUAUACCCAUUAUAAUCUGGUAUACGGAAACUGGGGAAAGAUAAAAGGAUAAGCAUGAAUACUUAUCCAGAUCUACCAAUUUAGAAAGGUUAAUUUUGGAUUACCGAUCGUAAAAUGACAGUCCUCGAAGUACCUCUAAACCAUUCUAAACCUUAAUUUACCUCUGUUUGGGUUUAAAAAAUAAAUAAAAAUCAGGGGGCAUUGAUGAAAAUUUUUUCGUCUUCUUAACAGAAAUGAGGGAAAGUUUAUGUUUAGAGGAGUAUUUUGAAGAUUAUCAUUUCACGAGUGGGGCUAUCUAAAGAUAGCUUUUUCCACCAAUGUUGUUAGUGGGAGUGUUCCGAACUAGUCUUGGUAGAUUUUUGAACUGUACUACAAACGUGUAUUUGUAUAUAGAAUCUCAGACGAUCCCAAGAUUGUAAUUUAUUUAUAGAUUGUAAUAUCAUUAAAAAGAAAUAACAAACUAAUCAUUACCGAUUUACUGCUACAGAUUUCUUUAGCCUUCUCCACAACCCUAGCAGCAAUCUUCUUCAAAUCUGAGUCCACAUAAGGCAAAACCUCGGCGGCUCCUGCGAUAAAUUAGAAUUAAAAACCAGGUACUUGAUCAUCAAGAAAGAAAGAAAAAACAAACAAACUAAAAUCGAAAAUUAAAAUCGAACAAAGUACGACAAAAUCUAUUACUUAAUUUCUAAGACUUGCAAAGCAAAGACAAAUACCAAAGGACUAAUUGAUAAUUAGUUAAAUUUAUAAUUACUUUACCAGGUCCAGCGAGGCCAACAACAGAAGAAGGGGAAGGUUUGGCGUGAACGAUGACGAGUUUGAAAGGAGGAUUUACAGUCGAAUUUGCGAAGAAAUGAUCGAGCGUCCAUUGAAGCGCGUACAUGCUGUGCUCGCUAUCGUCGAUCCCUACCACCAUCGUUUGUGUCUCAGCCGUCGCCAUUGAGACGAUGACGACUCAACCCUUUUUUUUUUCUUUUUUUUUCCUUUUUAGCUGUGUGUUAGUUAGAAAGUUGCAGAGUUUGUUCGAUUUCUAACCUAUAUAAGCGAAUAAAUCGAAGAGACGGCAAAAUGAUUAUCUAGAUAAGACGACAACGUAGCAAGUGAAGCAAGUUGCGGGCGAUUGGCGGAAAGUGCUUUAAGAGUCUGGAGUUUAUUUAUUUUUUUUUUUUUUUUUGAGAAGGUAAAGGUAGGGGUGGGUAAAAUCGAGUUCGGGUCGGGUUCGAGUCAAUUCGAUUGGGUUUUAGGUUGUUCAAGUUAGACAAGAAUUAAUCCGAAUAUAACAUGAAUUAAUGACCCGAUCCAAACAUAGUUCGGGUCGAUUCGGGUCGGGUCAUUAAUUCGGGUUAUGUUCGGGUUGGAUCGGGUUGGAUUUAAAACAGCUAGGAUUGAGUUCGUGUCAAUUCAGGUCAGUUCAAGUCCAAUCGAGUCAGUUCGGGUCGGUUGAAAUCGGGUCAAUUCGGAUCAAAUUUGGUUAAUACAAUUUUGAGCUCUUUUUUUCCUAUUAUUGUAGUUUUUAUGAAAGUUUUAAGACAUUUUUCUUAAUUGUAGUCAUUUUUACUAAUUUUCAACUGAAAAAAGAAAAGAAAAUGUUAUUAAAUCAAAUAAAUAAAGUUAAAAUGCUAUAAUAGGAUUAUUUGCCUAUUGGCUUGGAGGGUAGAAUUAGGACUAUUAUUUGCUCAAUCAACAAAAUCCAAAGUUCCAAACUUAAUAAAAGUUAAAAUUAAUACAAACUUACAAAGUCCAAAGCACAAUUUCAAAAUAUUAGUCUUUAAAAGUUUGAAACACAAACUCACAAAGUCACAAAAUUAAAUUGUUCAGAAACAUAAAUCACAAAGUUCAAAGUUCAAACAUUAAAACUAAAUAAGCUUUCUUGGUUCCUCCACCUUGGUUCCUCCAUGUCCGCCUUGGCCGUACAGCAGAACAUUAAAACUAAAUAAGCCACCUUGGUUCCUCCAUGGCUCCAUGCAAGUACUUUGACAAGUUCUAAAUUCAAAUUUUUGAACGCUAAGUUCAAGUGCCGAUUGCCUAGAGAAAGAUUGAGGAAAUGUACAAUAAAUAUUUUCCUUAAGCCACGUUCCAAAUGAACAAACUCAAUUCAUAUAAAAAAUUGAGCAAAUAAACCAAAUUCAUAAGGUUACUCAUCAAACACAAAUACAAAUAAAUAAAUCCAAUUCAUAUCUUUAAUUAAGCUAAAUGAGUGUUACAAUCUUUCUAAUUUCUAUUAUAUCAUUAUAAAUUUAUAAUUACAAAUAAAUAUAUAUGUUUACCAAAUUUUUCAAUACACACUUGAUUAUAUAUUUCUAUUAUAUCAUGCUUAUUUUAUGGCAUUCAUCACCAAAUCAAGUUAAUAAUAAUACUAGACAAUAAUAACAUUCUAUCAACUUCAACUUGUCUAACUAAAACAAUUACAAAUUACACUUAAAAUUUAAAAAUAUAACAACUAUAAUUAUAGCUUAAAUUACAACCAAAUACUAAUACUAUAAUAUCAAAUUAUGAAUAAUAAUAUAUAUUAAAAGUUACCUUUCAAACAUCCAUAACACCAAUGUCGACGCCCACCGCUUCCACUGUUGAAGCUUGCAAUCUUAUAAGUUUUAUAAAAUCCAAAAAAAAAAAUUAAUAUGUAGAUGUUCUAUAUAAAGUUAUAAUGCAUUUUAAAUAUAUUAUGUAUUUAAUGUAUGAUAAAAAAAAUUAAAAACAUUACCUUCUUGUAAUUCCAUAUGAAACAUUUGCUCCUUGAUAUCUUCUUGGAGGUUGUAGACGGGAUUGGCAAAAGUUUAGACUGCAGCCAAUUUUCAGUGCAUAUCAAUGCCUCAACCAUAGCCGGAGUUAAAGAACUCCUAUACUCAUCAAUAAUACGACGCCCGGUGCUAAAGGCAGACUCAGAUGCCACUAUGGAAACAGGAACAACAAGGACAUCUCUUGCAAUUUUCUCAAGAAUUGGAUACCUCGAUCCAUUCACCCUCCACCAAAGCAAAACAUUAAGUUAAAGAUUGCUGAGAUCUUCAAUUGGGUCCUUCAAGUACCUUUCCACCUCAGAUACUACUCUUCUACUCUCAUUCUGAACAGAAACCUUCUUGGCAUAUCCAAGGAAAGGGCGAGAUACUUGAAAAGCAUCAUCAUAUUCACCACCAGCAACAUCCACCAAAUUAGCCUCAGUUGUAAAACGUUGAGAAGAACUUGUACCUCCAUAGCUGCCACUAAGACCACUCUCACCAUACAUCGAUAGUGUGGAACUAGCGGAGAAUGCACUAUAUGCAUCAUAAAACUCAUUCAACAAGUCCUUCACUGCUUUGGUCAUUUAUUCAACCAUCAAACUAUCAUUGCCAAAAAUGAUCUCAAAAAUAUGUUUAGCAAAAUUCAUUUUCGCUCGUGGAUUAAGAAUAGAGGCAAUAAUCAACAUUUUGUUUAUCUUUCCUGUGGACUCCCAAUACUUGUCAAAUUUUUCCCUCAUACUAUAAGGCAUAGAGGAUACCCAAGGAUCUGUACUUUCUUGCAGUGCAGUCAAUGAACUCUCAAUUAAGCCAAUAGUAUUAUAACAAAGAUUAGAACUCACACUCAAAGAGGCAGAAAACAAUAAUGUGGCAUCAUAAAAUACCUUCAAAAACUUCACAAUCCGUUCAGCACUCUCCCAAUCAUCCGGUCCAGGUGGGCCCACCCUUGUAACAUUAUUUUCUUUCUCAGCAAAGUAUGCCUCAUAAGGUUUAUCCACUUCUGACAUUCUAUCAAUUGCCGCUUGAAAUUUCAGUGCAAUCAUCAACAUCAAGUAAGUGGAAUUCCACCUGGUAGGACAAUCCAAAACAACAAUUCCUUUUGGACAAUUCACCUGCUCAACACAUUAUUUAAAUGUCCGCAGCCUCAUGCUGGAGGAUCUCACGUACUUCACUACAUUUCGAAUAGCGGUAACACUAGCAUGCAACUCUCCCAAUCCUAAGACAACAAUCAAAUUCAAAAUAUGUGCACAACAACGCACAUGCAUAUAUUGUCCCGCCAACACAAGUGCAUCAUCAUUCCUCCAACUAAGCAACUGCAUAGUGACAUAACUAACAACAAUAUCAUUUGCAGUGGCAUUAUCAACAGUUAUUGCAAACAACCUCUCUAUCCCCCAAUCUUGUAGGCAAGCCACAAUCUUUUUACUAAUCGACUUCCCUCUAUGAUCUUCGAUUGCGCUAAAACGAAUAAUCCUCCUAUUCAAACACCAAUCACUAUCAAUAAAAUGAGCUAUAAUCACCAUGUAGCUCAUGUUUUGAACAGAAGUCCAUAAAUCAGUUGUAAGAGACACCCGCUGCUUGUUGUUGCAAAUUAAACUCUUCAACAUUGCCUUUUCCUCCAAAAAUAACUCCAUAACAUCUCUACCAAUUGUUCUUCGAGAUGGCAUAACAAACUAAGGGAUAGCUACACUGCAGAAAUGCCUAAAUCAUUUGUUGUCUACAAAACUGAGCAGCAACUCACCCAUAAUAAUAAUUUUAGUUACUGCCCUUCGACACGCGUCUUGACUCCAUCCUUUAUCCAAAACCAAAUUACUUGCAUUUUCUUCGCCGCCCUUGGAUGUCAAAUUUUGUUGACUUCCACUUUGUUGUGCCCGAAAUGUCUUGUAUGAUUCACAUGUCUUUAUAUGCCUUGUCAUAUUUGUAAUCCCAUCAAGCCUUGAAUGACAUUGAUAUUGCUUACCACAAUAGUUGCACAUACAUUUGUUUGGAUUAUAUUCGAGUAAAGUGAAAUAAUUCCAUAUUGCCGAUCUUUUCUUCAUUGGCGGUCUUUUCCGUUUCGCCUUUUCCUUUCCUCUAUGGGUUCCUUCCAUUUGUACACUUUGGUCUUCAUCGUCACUCAUCGAAUUCGAUCUUGAGUGUCCAAGCAUCUGAAUAUUCAAAAUAAUAAUUAAUAAUAAUUAAUUCAAAAAUCAAAACACAUAAAUAUUGUUUCAAUUAUUAACAAUUAUCAAUUAAUAUUAUUUCAAUUAUUAACAAUUAUCAAUUAAUAUUAUUUCAAUUAUUAACAAUUAUCAAUUAAUAUUAUUUCAAUUAUUAACAAUUAUCAAUUAAUAUUAUUUCAAUUAUUAACAAUUAUCAAUUAAUAUUAUUUCACUUAUUAAUAAUUAACAAAAUUUUUAUUAUUCGCUGGCUAACACCAUUUUCGUAUGUCCUUUAUGCUUGAUUGUUAUAGUCUAUUCGCUAAAGAGAGCAAACGAUAACAAAUUAAUAAUCAAUGAAAUAAAAACAAAACCCACCAAACCAAUCAUCAAUUCCUUUUUAUAUAUGACAAAAAAAUAAUUUCUGAUGAGCUCAAUAAUUAACAAAAUUUCUUUGAUUUUAUUACUAAUAUUUAUAAAUACAUAAUUAGUUAAUUACAACAAUUAAAUAAUAACCAUUAACCAAUUACUGAAUUAUAUAAUAAACUAUUUACCAUAUAUAAUUAAUUAAUUAUAUAGUGUAUAUAUAGUUAUAACUUAUAUACCGUGAACUGAAGUGAAAACUGAAAAGACGUGGAAGGUGGAAACCGGAAGCACUCGGGUGGAGAGGAUUCGGCCUUCAAGCAGCAGAUCGGUGGCCACGGCUCACGGCUGGACGGACGAGAUUUCACUUGGCAGCAGAUCGCGGCUUCACUUGGGAGUUGGCAGCAGCAAAUUGCGGAGAUGCGGAUGGCUCACGGCUCACAGCUCACGGCUCACGGCUGGACGGGUUUGACUGGCUCACGGCUGGUCGCGACUUCACUUGGCAGCAACAGAUCAUGAUUUCAGUCGCGGAGAUGCGGACGGCUCACGGCUCACGGCUCACGGCUCACGGCUGGUCGCGACUUCAGUUGGCAGCAACAGAUCAUGAUUUCAGUAGUUGGCAGCAACAGAUCGCGUCUUGUGGUCGCUGGUUGCAGACUUGCGGGUUGCGGCUGCCUUGUUCUGUUGUUCAAUUGUUUGUGUUUGUUUAGUUGUUUGAACUUGUGAGUUGUGGCUGACAUCGUGUGUGUGUGUGUGUGUGUUAGGUUUGCGAGUGAAUUGUUGAGACUUGAGUGACUGUGUGCAGCGUGUGUGUGUGCUGUGCAGCUCGUGUGUGUUCACUGAACGUCUUGUGCACCUUGUGACUUCUUUUCUGUUCUGUGUGUGUGCUGACUGUUGUGCAAGUGUGCAACUUAUGACUUGUGUUGUGUGUGUGCAGCACAGCAGCAGCGUAUGUGUGUGUGGCUGUGUGUUGUACAGCUUGUGACUUGUGUGUGUGUGUUGUGCAGCAGCCGAGCAGCGUAUGUGUGUGUGCAGUUAAAAGACUUCCGAAAAAGCCUAAGAGGCGCAAUUUUGCAACUUUGAUUGGCUUUGGAGAAUUAAUCAAUUCAUCCAACAAUUGAGUUUAAUUCUGAAAAGUUAAUUUUAAUAUUUAUUUUUUAUUAUAAAUUAAUUUUAAAAUAUUAAAAAUUAAUUUUAAUAUCUGAUAAAUUAUUUUAAAAAUCAUUUUUAGAAAAAUCACUUUAUUUUAUAGUGGAUUUUCAGAUGUAUGAAAUGAAUAAUUUUUUUAAAUUUAAUUUUAUAUCUAAUCAUUCCAUAUAUUAUAAAAAUAUAAAAUUAAUCUUAUUAAUUAAAAAUAAAAUUAUUAACCUUAAAUAUAUUAUUAUUGUUGUUACUAUUUAUAUUGCAAUAACAAAAUAAAAAAUAAAAUUAAUAAUAAAAAAUAUUUAUUUUAAUUAUCAAUUAUUUUCUAUACAUAAAAAAUAUUUUAUAAACAUGUUGAUAAAUGUCUAAAUAAAUUUUACUUAACAUUAUAUCGAACUCAAUCAUUUGUAUUCUUACAGUAGUUUAAUAAGUAAAAUUUAUUAAACACAUACGAUUAUUUUUAAAACUCACAAUAUUUUUAAAAAUAGAAUUUAUUAAGCAUUUAAUUAUUUUUUUCGUAACUGUUUAUUUAUAUACCAUAGAUAAUAGUAAUUAUUUAAAAGCAUAUUAUUACCAAAUUGGCCCUAAAAUUCAAAUGUUCUUUGGAUGUUUUUGUAAUUUUGUUAUCAACUUAUCAAUAGGAAACUUUUUUUUGUAAUUUUACAACCCAGCCCAUACUAACAUGGGCCAUAUGGGGCAGGCCAAGUUCGAGAUAACAAACCUAGUAACCUACAGCAAAUAAUGUCCAUCACCACUUUGAUCAGGUUAAAAAAAAAAGUUCCCAUCAGAAUUGCAUUUUUCAGUUUUUUUUUUCAAAAGGAUCAGUUUUCCCCAGUGUUAGUUUGCCUGAUGCCCAAUUGAAAUCAAAUCGACUUUGUCAAAGUAAUUGAAAUCAAAACGACUUUUUUUUCGUAUUUUAUAUACUUACUUCUUUUAUAAGUAUAUGUGUCUUCAUCUGAUUAGGCUCCAUUUCGAGUGUGGUUACAAUGCCAGGAGGCAAUCUUUAGGCAUGAUGACCUAAAACAACUGAUUUCUUUAACUGAUUACUAUAUUUAACUAAUUAGUUAAAUUUUAAAAAUUAAAAUAGGAUAACAUACUAGUUAAAUUUUUUUGAAAAGAUAAUAUUAAUAGAAAGGAAAAAAAGAUAAAUAAAUAAAAAAUGAAAGAAAAAUAAUAUCUUAUAAAAAAUCAAGAAAAAAAAGUUUAUAUAAUAAAAGAAAAUAAUUUGUUUGUUAUUUUAUAUGUGUUAUUUCAUAUUUGACAUUAAAAAUUUCAAGUGUAUUGUUAUUUGUCUCAAGUUUAUUAUUUUAAAUACCCCUAAAAUUUUAUUUUCUUCCCCAUUUCAUGUUUGACAUUCGUAUUUCAUAUAUAUCAUUAAUAAUUACUUUUUUAUCGUUAUAUGUUUUAUAUAAAACAAUACUCAUAUUUAAUGUUUAACAUUACAUAUUUAACUUGUAAUGUUUCAUAGUACAUAUUAUUAUUUUAUGUAUAAAUUUUAUGUUUUAUGUUUAUAUCACAUGUUGCAUCUUUGAAAUUUGGUGUUUCAUGUUAGAAAUGGCACAAAUUUUUUUUAUUUUCCUACUUGUUUCAUGUUUGACAUCCGUGUUUAUGUAUAACAUUGUUUGUCACAUAUGUCAAGCACCAUGUUACAUGUUUGCUUUAUACUCAUGUUUAAUAUCUAAAGUUGCAUAUUUAACUUUCAAUUUUUCAUAUCUCAUAUUAUUAUUUCACAUAUAAAUUUCAUAUUUCAUGUUUUCAUCACAUGUUGUAUCUUUAAAGUUUGGUGUUUAAUGUUGGAAAUGACGCCAAAAAUUUUUAUUUUCCCACUCGUUUCAUGUUUGAUGUUCAUGUUUCAUAUAUAACAUCAUUUGUCACAUGUAACAAGUAUCAUGUUGCAUGUUUACACUGUACCCAUGUUUAAUGUCUAAUGUUGCAUACUUAACUUUCAUUUUUGCAUAUAUCAUGUUGUUGUUGUUGUUUUAUUACAUGUAAAUUCCGUGUUUACAUUAUAUGUUGCAUAAGUUUAGUGUUUGAUGUCAUAAACAAAGGCAAAAAAAUUUGCAUUCCUAUUCAUUUCAUAUUUGACAUUCAUGUUUCAUGUACAACAUCGUCGAUCACAUGUAUCAACUAUCAUAUUACAUGUUUACAUUGUACCCAUGUUUAAUGUCUAAUGUUGCAUACUUAGCUUUUGUUUUUGCAUAUUUCGUGUUAUUUUUUCACAUGUAAAUUUCAUAUUUUAUGUUUACACCACAUGUUAUAUAAGUUUAGUAUUUCAUGUCAUAAAUACAGCCAAAUAAUUUUACACUCCUGUUUGUUUUAUAUUUGAUAUUCAUAUUUCAAGUAUAACAUCGUUGUCACAUGUAUCAACUACCAUAUUUCAUGUUACAUCGUACUCAUGUUUAAUGUCUACCAUUACAUAUUUAACUACUAUUUGCAUAUUUCAUGUCAUUUUUUUACAUGUCAUGUGUUACAAAUUUUAUGCUGCCUAAAACAAAUCAUCCUACAUCCUUUUUUCUUCACAUUUAAAUUUAAAAACCCGGCAAAUCGUCCCCCCACCCCUAAACCAAUGGCUAUUUUAGUUGAAAAAUACAAAACAUAGAAACUAUAAACUUUGACAAUAAAAUUCUUGAAAAUGAACUAAUAUACUAAAGGCUUAUGCAUAACUUAUAUCUAUUCAUCCAAUUCCAAUUACCAAACAUCACAACCUAAAUUUUAAUUGUUGCCUUAUAGCAAAAAUACUUAAAGACUGAAGAGAAAGAUGCCACCAUGAGGAAACAAUUUCAUAGAUAUUUCCAAUUAAUUGUAAGGUGGAGCUGUACUUUUGGUGAUUCCUACCUGGUAGCUUAAUUGGCUAAAACUCUUAGGUGAAUUAUUAAGUCUUCAUCUGUUUCUAGUUGAUUUAGGAAAAAAUCUUGCAUUAAGGGACUCUUAAUUCUCUUGAUUUAGAACCAUACUCUCAUUAGAAUAAGAAGUUUAUAAAUAAUUAUGUAACCAUUUAGAUUUUACCCAGUGCAUAAUCUUUCUCUUUCUUUAUCUUACUGUUGAGGGGAUUUAGCAUAAGAUUUCUAGGUAUCCAACCCAAAAGACUAGCCUUUUAGGUGGAGUGAUCUAUCUCCUUAUAAACCCAAGUAUCUCCUCUUUUCUAGCCAAUGUGAAACACAACUCAACAAUCCCCCCCUCGGACGAAACCACCGCCGGACUCCGGUCCUCUUGUCCGACACACCUGAGUUGUUCCACCACACAAACAAGUGGUAUCAGAGCUAUACCCUAGUAGUCGGAAUGUGGUGGUGAAACAACUCAGUUGUGUUGGACGAAAGGAUCGGGAUCCGACGGUGGUUUCGUCCGGGGGGGAUUGUUGAGUUGUGUCCCAUAUUAGCUAGUAAAUGGGAGAUGAUUGGGUAUAUAAAGUGGUAGGUCACUCCACCUAAAAGACUAGUCUUUUGGGUUGGAUACCUAAAAAGCUUAUACUAGGUCUCCCAACACUUACUAUAACAAUUUUUCUUCUUCAUGUUAUUUCUUGAUCUUUUCUUCUUCCAAUUUCAAAUUCAUAAAAUUUCAAUUGCAAUGUAUAUAUCUCAUCAAUUUCAAACUUAAAUAAUCAAUUAAAUAUACCGAUCAAGUAAUGCUCCACAAAAACAUGUUGCUUCUCCCCCUUCAACAUAAAAAAGGCAUAGUAUUUUGGCUUCCUCUUUUAACAGCAAAAAUGUUUAAGAUGCUUAUUACUCAAAAUAAAAACAAUAACAAAGCGGAGUUGCGAUGGCAUUUGCCUCUAUCAAUAACCAAGAAAGCAUAUAAUAUUCCAAGUAAGGGCAUGCAAAAAAUCAUAAGAGUAUAAGAUUGAACAUCAAUAUAUUUGCAAAUAGUCAAAAGGUAAGACGUUAAUUCAUCAACAAAGAUGAAUAACAUAGGGAUGGCAAUGGGGUGGGGUGGGGGUGGGGAGGCCUACCCCAUUCCCCACCCCGUUAGAAAUUUUUGCCUCCAUUCCCCACCCCAUUCCCCAAUAAAUUUAGUGGGGUGGGGAUGGAGAAUCCCCACGUGGGGAAUGAUUUCCCCAUCCCCACCCCAUUCCCCAUUUAUCUAUUUUAUAAUAUGUAUAAAUAUAUUAUUUUAGUAAGUUAAAAAUUAAAUAAAAUCAUCAUCAUAUUAUAAAGUAUUUAAAUUUUUUUUAAAAAAUAUCUAAAAGUUUGAAACAAUAUCUUAAAAUGAUAUUAAAAGUGAAAAAUAUUUAAAGAGUGUAGCACCUUAAAAGAUACGGGAUUGGGGUGGGGUGGGGAGUACAAAACCAAACCCCACCCCAUUAAGAAUUUGGGGAUUAUUUUCCCCCACUCCCCACCCCAUUCCCCAAAAAUUAUUCAAAAUUUUUCCCAUUUGGGGUGGGGCUCCAAACCCGUGGAGGAUUUUGCCAUCCCUUCAAUAACAUAUGCAGAGAAUGCAAGAGAAAAUGUUGGUACGGAAAAACAAAUAAGGAAACAAGAAAGGAUCUAUAAUGGUGGCUAUGGUGGUAGUGGUGGAGGAGGAAUGCCGAGAGAUUCAAAAAUCUAGUGCUGCCCGUCGAGAAGUCAUGGUGCUGGAGCUAAAAGGCUUCAAAUUGCGAGUGAAGGCGAUUUUGUUGCUCGGAGAUAGUACAAACCUUACGUAUAAAACCUUAUUAUUAUUUCAUACUCCAAGUAAUAAUUUAUCAUUAUUUUUUCAUUAUUUGUAAUUUUUUAAUUUUUAAGCGAAAAAAACUAUGGUGACAAAUUUAAAUUACCAAAAAUAACAACUUUGAGUCCAAUAGGUAAUUGGUAAGUUUUUUAUUUUAAAAAUUCAUUAAUACAUAGUGUUGCUUAAAUUAUAUUGCAUUACAUUACACUCGAUUUAAAAGAAUUUGUUAGUGAAAUCAAGAGCACUCAAUUAUAAAAAGGGAAAAAGUCACCUACAUCCCCAAGGCUCGCUUAAACGGUCACACAUACUCUCUUAAUUUCAAAAAUAAUUGUUAUACCCUUUGAUUAUAACAACCCAAAUAAAUAUAGGAAAAAGUAGGUUUUUAAAUUUUUAUUAAACCUUUUGAAGAUCGCUCUCAUAUAAUAUAUAAGAAUUCGUAUUCUAGAAAUCGUACCUUGAAAAUCCGAGUUGGCUUUUUCCGCUGAAGUGAUUUAGGCUCCUAGAUCACGAUCUGCCACCACCACUCCUGUUAGAUCACGAUCCGUCGCCACCACGCUUGCUAGAUCACGAACUGUCACCAAUGAUCUUCCAGGUUAUGACUCAGGUUCGAUCUGCACUUGACGUGUGGGCGCCUUUAUCACUACCAAAGCAACUAGCACGAGAAAAUUUUUCUCUCAAUAAUGGAGAGAAAAAUCUUAUUCUCUGAUCUGUAUAAAGUCUGCUGUACGGCCAAGGCGGAUGUACGGUACAGCAGAUUUUAUCUUAUUUUAUCAAUUAAAUUAUAUUAUAUUAUAUUAUUUUUUUUUUAUUUAUAUUUGUUACAAAAGUUUAUUUAAGGUCAAUUAUUGGGUUAUUGUAAUUAAGGGUAUAAUAGCCAAAAGGGGUUCGGUGUAACAAUUUAUAAAACUAAAAGAGGCUAUGUGACAAUUUAAGCAAAUGUUGGAGGUGUAUGUGGCAUUUCCCCUUAUAAAAAUAGAAAAAGUAAAAGCAAAUUAAUAUAAACAAAAUCUCCCCAAAAUAUGAACAUUAUCUAAUCCCAUUAUAAGCUAAGAAUAAUUUCAUUAAAAGCUUGUAAAUGAAACCUAUAAACAAAGGCAUCUCAAGACUCUGUAAUUAAAAAAAAUAUGCAUAAAGAAGAGUUAGGGUAUGCAUGUCAUACAUGAAUUAAUUUUCAUCAUCGUUUUCCAUUAAUGUCUUGAGCAAUGGAUGCUUUCCCUCAUCAUUAUCAUUAAGAAAAAGGUCUCGACCUGAUCUCCUAAAUAUCAAGUGAAUGACAAAAUUUACAGUACCGAUAUUCAACCCACAAUAAGCACCACAAUAAGUACCGAACGGUGCAUUUUGUGUUCAAUAUAAAAGGCUAUUGUUUGAACAAACAAAUACACUACACGCGCAUUAGAUCUCACACACGCAUUCUCCAUCACUCUCACUCUCAUUCACAUCAAAUCCACUCCUCAUUCAAGUUAGAAAUCUGAACAGCUAAUUCUCCCAAGGCAUUUUCUGUUAUACUCGUGGACUCUUCCUCAUUGUGUGAAAUCUGUCGGCUCUCUGUCACGGUGUAUCAUUCUCUUGGUUGUGUGAGGAAUUGAGUUGCAUCUUGGUGACUGACUUCACUCAUCCUCGAUUGCGGCAAUCAAUUUCUGUAGGUAGUUUGCUUCAUUAACUAGAAUUUUUUUGUACUAAUUAUUAAUUUGUGACAUCUUAGCUGCUAUUAUGUUAAUUUAUAUGAUCUGGAGCAUGUUCGACAGCCAUAGAAUUUUAUGUUAAUUGUCUAGUAAUUACGGAUGAUUAUGCAACAAAACAUGAUCUGGAGCAUGAUCGGCAGCCAUAGAAUUUUAUAAGUUUGAUUUGCAAGUCUAGCCUCAGGUAGGAUGCAACAAACAUUCAUGUGUAUUACAAAGUUAAUAGUAAGCACGAAAUAAAUAAAUAUAUUAUGUAGAUUCAGCUAGUAUAUAUUAAAUUUGUGUUCACAAUUUAUAUCAUUAGUUAGUUUAGUUUUGUAAGGUUGUGCUGAAUUAUUUUCAUUUUGUUACUUCCAUUUUGUCAAUGUGAAUUAUUUCAAUUUUGUAGAAAUAAAGAAUAUGGAAAAAGACAUCGAAGUUGAAGAGUUGGAGAAAAUUGAGGAGAACGAUGAGCCAAUAAUUGGGAUGUCAUUCGAUAGUGAUACCGAUCUGUUUAUUUAUUUCAAGGAGUACGGUAAAAGAAAAGGGUUUCUGGUUUUGAGGAGAACUAGUAGAAAGGAUAGUAAUGGGAUUCUUAGAAAUGUGACUUUUGCUUGUAGGAGAAAUGGUGAGACAAGAAGCAAAUCUGUGAAUAUUUUAAAGCCCCAACCUAAUGCAAAACAAGUUGCAAUGCAAGAUUGGGAGCUGGGUUAGGGGAUGAUGGAAAGUAGACAAUUCGAAGCUUAAAUCUUGAACACAACUUCAAUUCUUGAUUAAGUUUUUAAUGAUUUUUUUUUGCUGCUGUACGGCCAAGGCGGAUGUACGGUACAGCAGAUUUGUGUUUAUGUAAUAUAUUAGGAAUUAUUAAUUAUGUUUUAAAUAUAUUAAUUUUGUGUAUUUUUAUAUGUUUAUUAGGUAAAAUAUUAAUUUCCCGUAAUUCGAGGCUCCAAACAGAUAAACGGGGGUCAAAUUUGGAUUCUGGAGGUCCGAAAACCUUAAGAUCAGUCAAGAUCGGCUUAAAAUUGGGCUUGUGUAAAAAGAGUUGACUUUUUCUAUUGACCGACCACUGUUUGGAUGAUGAAAUGAGCUUACAAUAGAUAUGACUGUAUGGGAUAGCUGACAAUUUUGACUAAAUCUCAACCAUUCAUGAUUCAAUGGCCAUGAUUGCGCCACAUGGCAAUGGUUGGUGAAGCAAGUUGUAGGAUCCGAAUCUUUGUAAUCGGGUCGACCCGAUCCACCCAUUAACCCGCCAAAUCUCAACCGUUCUUUGACCAAAUCGGACAAGUCAAAUGAUGCCACGUGUGAUGUUGACUUUUGAAGUUUUACCAAUCGUCGGAUCUUGAUCUAAUGGUUGUGAGGAGCACAUGCAUGAAGUUUAUGAUGGACCACAAAACACUGGAUUAUGAAUUUAUUUUUUUAUAAAUAGAGGCUCAUUUUUAUGUUUUUAAUCAUCUCUCUACAUCUCUCUUCUUCUCAAAUUCUCAUCAUCUCCCUAUAAUCUUGAUUUUCAGGUGUGUUUUUAAUAUUUUGUAUAAUUUUUUUUAAUUAAUAAAUUUAGUUUUAUUUUCAAUUUAAGUUGUUUUUAUUACUUUUAAUUAUUUUUAAUUUAAUUUUAAUAAUUCUUUUUUUCAAUUAUGCUUAACUAAAUAAUAUUAGUUAGGGUAAGGUGAAACUCUUAGGAAAUAAAUAUGAUUUAAUCAAAUUCUAUUUUUAAUUUUAUAAAUUAAAUUAUUUUCUAUUUAAUUUUAUACAUAUUUUAUAUUUUGAAAUUUUGAUUUAUUGUAGACAAACAAAUGAAUUUGGCACAAUAAAUUCUUAACAUCUUAAUAUAAGGUAUGGUAAAAUGGUAUUUUGACUAAUUGUAGACAAAUUAAAUUUUGUCACAAUAAAUACUUAAUCCAUCAUAAAAUUAAAGGGAAAAUAAUAAUAAUAUAUAUAAUUAAUCUUUUGGGCAAUAAAUCUAAAAAAAUAGAAGUUUUAUUUACUACUAAGAGUAUAUCCACAACCCUAACUAGUUCAAUUUCAUAGUUUCAUUUAAAUUAAGUUCUUUAUAUUCAAGUUUAAAUUUCAAUUUUUAGUUAAAAUAAAAUAAAUUAAUUAAAUAUUUUCUCUAUGGAUCGACCUCGGACUCAUCGAGUUAUAAUACAACAAGACACUCUUAUACUUGGGAGUACUUAGGAGUUAAAAAUUACUUUUAAGUUGUGUCAACAACCAUGCACUGUUAACUCCAACCAAAUCCAAGUGUUUUUGGUGCAAUCGUAGCCUCAAUAUAUAUGCAAAAAAGAAGCUUGAUGUAAAUGAUCAAGCAGGAAUCAAAUUGUGCAAAAAUUAUCAAUCACUUGUUAUUGAGGCUGGCGGUCAUGAAAACGUGUCAUUCAUAGAAAGAGAUUGUAGAAAUCAUGUUCAGAAAGAAAGAAGAUUACGGCUUGGAGAUGGAGAUGAUACUGCUCUUCAAAACUAUUUUAUGAAAGUGCAAGCAAAAGAUAAUAGGUUUUACUUUAGUAUGCAAGUGGAUGAUGAGGGACGAUUAAAAAAUGUUUUUUGGGCCGAGACAAGGAAUAGGAAAGCGUACAAAGAGUUUGGAGACGUUGUUACAUUUGACACCACGUAUCUUACAAAUAAGUAUGACAUGUUGUUCGCUCCAUUUGUAGGAAUUAAUCAUCAUGGGCAUUCUAUUUUGUUUAGGUGUAGAUUGAUUUCACACGAAGAUAUUGAGACAUUCACAUGGUUAUUUCGAACAUGGUUAUUCUGCAUGUCUAAUUCAGCUCCCAUUAGAAUCAUUACAGAUCAAGACAGGGCAAUAAAAGUUGCAAUUCAGAAUGUCUUCCCUAAUACUCGACAUCGGUGGUGUUUAUGGCACAUAAUGAAGAAAAUUCCAGAGAAGCUAGGGGGUUAUAAAGAAUAUCGUGACAUUAGUAAUGUGUUGCAUUGUGCUGUUUAUGAUUCCCAGAGUGCUGCGCAAUUUGAGGAAACUUGGCACCACAUGAUUGUAGAAUAUGAUUUGGGGGAUAAUGAAUGGUUACGAGGCUUAUAUGAUGAGACACAUCAUUGGGUACCUUGUUAUCUAAACAAUACUUUUUGGGCAGGAAUGUCAUCUACUCAACGCAGUGAGAGCAUGAAUGUAUUUUUUGAUGGUUAUGUUAACUCAAAGACUACUUUGAAGCAGUUUGUAGAGCAAUACAGUUGUGCGUUGAAGAAUAAAGUUCAGAAGGAAGUUGAAGAAGAUGUCAGGUGUCUUUCCCAACAAAUGCCAUGUGUAACAUCUUAUGCAAUGGAGAGGCAAGUCUGAGAUGUGUACACUAUUUCAAAAUUUCAAGAAUUUCAGCAAGAAUUGAUUGGGAAAAUGUAUUGCGAAUUUGUCAAUUCUAUGGAUUGUAAAUAUAUAGUUAGAGAGGAUGUCAAAGUUGGAGAGGGUAAAAAGAGAACCUUUUUUUAAGUACAUUUUGAAAAAGAAAUGGUGAAAUACAUUGCAGCUACUCAAGGUUCCAGUUUAGAGGUAUUCUUUGCAGGCAUGCCGUUACAAUCAUGAUCCGCAAUGACGUGGAAGUACUUCCAAAAAAGUAUAUUCUACGAAGAUGGAGAAAAGAUGUGUGGAGAUGCCAUAGUAGAGUGAAAACGAGUUAUGAGCUGCAUAGUUGCACAGAUGAACAAAAACGAUAUGAGAAAAUGUGUGCUACUUUCGCGGAGGUUGCAAAUAUGGCUGCACAUAAUAUUGAAAGCUCUAAUCUUGUUUUCAAUUGGAUUAAAAAUGUAUAGGAGGAUUUAUCGAAGGCAGUUCCAUGCGGAGGUAACGAAGUAACUGUUGUUACAGGCCAAGGAAGUUGUAGUGUGGAAGUAGAAACAGUUAGAGAUCCAGUAGCUCGGCGUCGUAACGGUCAGCCACCUUGUCAAAGAAAAAAGUCUAAUAAAUUUUUGAAAUCUAAAAUGAAUUCCUCACGUUCCAAUGCAAAGGUACUUUUAAAAUGUAUUUUCAAUUUAAUUAAAGUUAAAUAAUUUAUGAGAUAAAUGAUGCUCAAAUGUACGUUUUGUUGACUUUGCAAGAUAACGAUCAAGUGCCGACUGUGAUCCCAACACACAAGAACAAUGUUGUUACGGUAGGUUUUAUGGAAUUCAUAGGCAUGCCAUUGAUUUUUAUUACUUAAUCAUAGACAUUUUUCUAAUAUAUUGUUGAUCCUCUGUAAGCAUUUCAAAAUCCUGAAGGAAGUUGUGUUGAUAUGAAUAUGUACCCACAUUGAGUUAUGGACUAUUGUAAUGUAAGUUUUUCACACUAUAUGUUAUGAUUUUUUUUUAAUUUUCGCUUCAUUUAACGUAUGUUUGUUUUAAGGUCUUAUGAGCUUACAUCAUAUAGUUGGGGAUAAUGUUUAUCCAACACCUACACAAAAUUCUUAUACGGUAAGUGGUGAUAAAUUUAGUAUUUACUCAUCUUAUCUACUUUAUUUUCUUUUAUUAUAACAAAAUAUUUAAUUUUUCUUUUAAUAGGAACCACAAUUCCAGUCACAUGGCCAUUUUCACCAACUACUCUUUCAGCAAGAUAGUGAAUAUGAAGUUGAUAAGGAGUUUCGAAGUGAUUUCGUAGAAUAGCAUUGUUUUUGUUUUAUUAUCAUUAAUAAUAAAGAGGGCAAGCCCUUGGCUAUGAUAUGUGAGCUUGUGGAUUUCAUACAUUAAUUUAUUUUUGUAAUGGUAUAUUUUUCCUUUAAUGGCAUAUCGGUGGUUUUUAACUAUGUGGUAUUGGAAUAUUGGUGUACACUAGUAGGUUCUAAGCAUGAUCCUUUAUUAGAUUUAUAUGCUGCAAAUGUGUUAUUUUUUAGUCGUGUGCUACUAGAAUGGUGGAGGGGUCUGCUGUAGAUGUGUUAUUCUUUAAUUGUGUGCUACUGGAAUGGUGGAGGGAUAUGCUGCAUAUAUGUUAUUCUUUAAUUGUGUGCUACUAGAAUGGUGGAGGGAUAUGCUGCAUAUGUAUUAUUUUUUAGUUGUGUGCUACUGGAAUUGAGGGAUAUGCUGCAGAUGUGUUAUUCUUUAAUUGUGUGCUACUGCAAUGGUGGAGGGAUAUGCUGUAGAUGUGUUAUUCUUUAAUUGUCUCUUAAAGAAUAAAUGUGUUUUUAAUGUGCAGCAAUUAUCAGUAACUUCAAAUAUAAUAUAUAAGUCAACUGACAAAACAAGAGAAGCAAAUAUAUUAAUAAGAGAAGCUAAUAACAUUAUUGUUGCGAACAAUAUUUUACAUCCACUGAAGCAUUCAUGAUACAGUUCACAAAAAAGGAAAGAUAACAAUACAUUAGUUAAUUACACAGCUUAAAUAUAAUACAUAUUAAAAGAGUUAUCAUUAUUUGUGGGACGUAUGUUACAAGAACAUUUGGUUGUCGUCUUCGUUGAAGUUCUUUCUCAAGCAAUUGAAAUUUAAGAGAUAAGCAUUUGAUUUGAUGCCCUAACUUGCGGACUUCUGUUAACAACAUGUCAAUUUUAUUCUGGUUUAUAUUCCGAUCUUCCAUCCCUCUAAAGUCAUUACAUUCACUGCUCUUCUAAUCAUCAUCCCAUUCAAAGGCCCCACAUCCUUUGCACUUCCAAAACUUACGAUUCAGAUUUUCUUUUGUACGUGAAGUUCACAAGACCUUAUUACAAAACUUACGAUUCAGAUUUUCUUUUGUACGUGAAGUUCACAAGACCUUGCAGCAUUUAUCACAAGCUUUACAAGCUUUCAGUUGUGUUUGAAUUUCGCUUGUGCUUGAAGACAUAAUGAUUGAACAAAUUCUGUUCAAUAUACACAACAGCCUAUAAUGAUUGUCAAGGUCACAACACAUAAUGCAUAUAAACAACAUAGACAACAUGAUGCUUCUCCAAUAUAAAUAGCACAUAUUGCAUAAAAACGACACAAAAUGAUGAUUCUCAAAUCAAAGCUCAAGCCUAGCAAACAAAGGUAAUACCAGUAUAUAAGUUUCCUUUUAGGAUUAUCAUCAGAAUAAGCCCUUGCACAUUAUAAAACACACUACAAAUAUAAAUUUCUCAAAUAACGGAAGCUUAUAGCAGCAGCUGCUAUAUCAUUUUGACAAAAUACAGCAACAAUUUCAUAUGGACUGGUAUUUUAAAAAUAAGGCCAUCUCCUAAGACUAUCAAAAUGCCAUCUCCAGCACAAGGCCAUCUCCUAUGACUAUCAAAAAUGCAAUUACAAAUCAAACAUAUUUAAACUAAUUUUCUCAUCAAUCCAAGUGCAAUUAAAAUUGUCUCGUUGCAAAAAUUCAUAAUCAACUCACAAAAAUUUGGCAUUAGCUCUAUAAUUCGACUACGGCAUUAAUCCAAGGCCCACGGCACAAGCCUUCAACUGAAAAAAAGGUGGGCACAGCACGGCCCACCAAAUUGGUGGGCCGUAUCGGGCCGACCCACAAGCCCUUGUGAGCCGACACCGGCACGGCCCAUUGGCCAUAGUUAGUCUCUAGUGACUGCCAAGGAUUAUGUGGAUUUAUGUAAGGAACCAGAUAUGGAUGAGGUUAGGCGAGUGAUUUUCUCUAUUGAUCUUACUAGUGUCCUGAGUCUGAAUGGGUUAUACAGUAGAUUUUACUAGUCAUGUUAGGUCAUUAUUUACAGUGAUUUAUUAGAGGUUGUCCUUGAUUAUUUUAGAGUUUUUGCUAUGCAUAGGGGUUUUAAGAGUGCGUGCUGGUUCUUCUUCUUAAAAAGCCCUCAUCAGCUUCUUGGGUAGAUUUUCGACUAAUCAGUCUAUGUAAUGUGAGCAAUAAGGUUCUGAUCAAGUUGCUUGUGUUGAGAUUUUGUUGCCUCGUCUUAUCUCUCUUUCUUGGAGUGGUUUUGUCUCUGACAGGGUGAUCCACGAUAAUGUUCUUUUAGUUCAGGAGCUGGUUCAUGAUCUCAACUUUCGUACUCAAGGGAACAAUGUAGUGCUAAAGCUUGAUAUGGCCAAGGCUUAUGACCGGAUGUCUUGGUCUUUUAUUGCUCAGAUGCUGCGAUGUUUUGGGUUUUCAGAGUGGUGGGUCUCUUUGAUUCGAUGAGCUAUCUUUGGCUCUUGGUUCUCAUUGUGGUGAAUGGUGUCAACCAUGGAUUUUUCUAGUCUCAGAGAGGUCUUAAGCAAGGCGAUCCUCUUUCUCCUUAUUUGUUUAUCAUUGCUGAUGAGUUUUUGUCUCAGGGCUUAGACCAUUUGUACUCUCAAUAUCCCUUUGUGCAGUAUUGUUUUGUUGCACGUAUCAUUGUCUGUCAUUUGAGCUUUGCGGAUGAUGUUGUUAUUUUUGUAAAUGGGAGUUAGUUGAGCCUUCAGCAGAUUAUAGAUUUUUGACAUCAUUAUGAGGCAAUUUCGAGGCAGUUGAUUGGUCAGGCCAAGAGCAGUUUCUAUAUUGAGGGCUAGACUUUUGCGUUGCACCAGCUAUUGUCCAUUUUAUCACUGGUUUCCAAUGACGUCAGCUUUCGUUCAUUUAUCUUAGGUGCUUGGUCUUUAUGGGGCGUCUCAAAAUUUCUUAUUUUAAUGAUAUGGUACGAAAGUCCAGGGAUCGGAUCUCGGGUUAGACUAAUUGAUUGCUAUCUUUUUAUGGGAAGCCAGUGCUCAUUCAACAUGUAUUGUCAUCUAUGUCGUUUCAUUUGUUUCAUGCUCUUCUCCGUCUUGUGGCUAUGGUUCAGCACUUAAAGAGACUAUUUACUCAAUUCUUAUGAGGUGAUUCCGAGAACGAGGCAACAGAUUUACUGGUGUAGAUGGCCAGCAGUGUGUUAUCCGAUUGAGAAAGGUGGCCUCAAUAUCUUGUCUUUUGAUGAUAUGGCUAAGGCUUUUGUGCUCACGCUUUGGUAGUGUUUUCAAGAGCAGAACUCAUUAUGGGCUUCUUAUAUGAAGUCUAAGUAUUACAGAGCUACAUAUCUUAUUCAGCUUCAGUUUAGUUAUCCAGUCUCUCUUCUCUGGAGAUGCCUUUACUCCAUUCAGUGUGUUGUUGGGCCUCAUGUGCAUUGGUUGGUUGGUCAUGGGGAGUGUAGUUUUUGGUAUGAUUGUUGGUUAAGCUCUUGUCCUUUGGUCAUUUAUAAUCUUACAACGGCUUUUAGGGUGUUAAUUUCCUUUUAUUGGCGAGGUACAGUCUGGAAUAAGGGUAAGCUCCAAGAUGUGUUGCCUUUUUCUAUUAUUGAGUAAAUUUUAUUGGUUCCUAUUUCUAGUAGGGAGCCAGAUUUGAUUCAAUGGGAUCUUGCCUCUAAUGGCAUUUUUCAUUUGUAGAUAGUUUAGGAGCUUGUCUGUUGUUCUAGGCCGAGGGAUGAGGUUUUUCGAGUAUCUGGCAACGACAUAUCCCGUCUUAAUUUUUUUUUUUUAGCGAUUGUUGCAUGAUUUUUUGGCUACUAAUGAUGCAUUGUGCUUGAGGAGUUUUUGCAUGGUCUCUUAGUGUGUUUGUGGUCGAGUUAUUGAGACUUUUCGACACUUAUUUAUUAAUUGCCCAUUUCACUGAGUUUGGGCUCAUUUUCUUCAUAUUUUGGGUAUGAGAGAUGUUGCUUUUUUUAACCCCCUCCCCCAUGCUUUGCUUCUUCAUUGGCGGUGGUAUGUCCCUUCUCGAAGUCACCUUCAGACACUACUACAAAAAAGGACAUAGAUGACAUUUAAAUUAUCUUUAUGAUGGCGAAAUAAAAUUAGUGAUAUUUGCAACAGUCAUCUAAAAUGAGGUACAAAAGAUGACACGUAAAGAAAGUCAUCUAAUAAGUAUUAUAGAUGACUCAUUUUUUUAAAAACCAAUCAUCUGAUGUUGUAAAAGAACUAUAUUUUCUUCAAGUAUAAAUGACUACCUUUAAGUAAUGGACGUCAACAAUAGUCGUCACUCUAAUAUGAAUAGAUUACUAAUGAUAUGAAAUGGCUGUCAUUAUUAUUAUUAUUAUUAUUAUUAUUAUUAUUAUUAUUAUUAUUAUUAUUAUUAUUAUUAUUAUUAUUAUUAUUAUUAUUAUUAUUAUUAUUAUUAUUAUUAUUAUUAUUAUUAUUAUUAUUAUUAUUUAAUAAAUUUUUUGAAAACCUGUAGUGUAAAAAUAAAAAUUCACCAAGCAAUUGCAUUAAUCAUAUAUAAAUCUAGUACGUUACAAACAAUACUAAUAAAAUAUUACAAUUUCAAAAUUAAAGGAACUAGAUAUCAAUAACUCUUUUUUCUAAAAGAAAAAUAUUACAUUCUUCAAAGGAAUGACAAAAUGCGGCCAUCUUGUUGGCUACUCCAGUAAUCAUGCCAAAGCCAGAGAGAGUUUGAGAGUGAACCCUUUUGACGAACCUUGCUUGAUUAAAAUAUCGAAAUAAUUGAAAUAAUUUCAUAAUUCUUUUUAAUGUCUUAUUCGAAACAAAGACAAUAACAAAGAUAUGGAUAAAAAUAAUAUUAUUCAUUUACUAACCUCUCAAAGUCAUUGUGCUAUAAAAUUUAGCGAAAACAUUCUGCCAUAUGUACUCUGCCCACUCCAUUCUUACUUCAUCAAUAUCCUUUUAGGUGCAGUUGUCUCGUCCAACAAACUAUAUAUCAUUCACAAAAUAGUCAAUAUUAAUAGAUGCAUUAACGUUAUGAAAUCUAUAAACUUUAAAAGGAUAAGGAAAUGACUACCACGUUUUUUUAUUGAAUCAUCUUGGCUUUCAAUAAUUUCCUUCAUAAACCUAAUGACAUAAUUCAACAUCUGUAGUUUGUUGAGGACACUACACAAGAAUUUUAAACUAAUUAAUGUCAUGUGCAUAUGUAAAGAAAUUUAAACUGAACAUAUAUAUGUACAGUUUCAUAUACCUUAACCUUCUUCCAAACAAAGGAUUUUCGAUCCGCAUUUCCCAUUUUUGCCACAAAAAUCUUGAAAGCACUUAAGAUAUAAUUAGAUAUACGAAUUUACUCAUGUUUUACUACAUGCAUUAUAAUUGAUAAUAACUUACAGUGAUACAAAAUUCUUCAAAUCAAGGUGAGGUUCAUGACCAAGUGAAUCAAUAUACUAUGAAUAUGUGUGUAUCCACAACAAUCAACAUCCAAUGUUCGCUAUAUAUAAUGAUAAAUAUCAGUCUUGCAUAUUUUUGUAAAAGAAAAAGAAAAUAAACUCCAAAUGCUAUAUACGACCAAUAAAAUAACAAACCCGGCAUUGUAAGAAAAUAUCAUAAGCUAUUCUGGAUCAAGUAUUUCCAUUCUUGAUACAUUGCAUGAGCUCUAGUCUCACCAUUAUCUCUAGUUUCAUGAAAAAAAUUUCAAGGAUUACCAAAUUUAUAAAUGUGGUCCAAGUAAGGGUCCUGCAAGACCUCAGAAAGAUGCCUAGGGAAAACAAGUGAUAAUUACUACACAACAUACAUAAAAAUUAUAACUAAUUAUGCUUGCUAAGAAAAUAAAUAGUUUAAUUACUUCAUGUAACAAGUUAUUGUUGCGACCCCAAUUUUUUCCAUGCUAUAGAAUUGUACGAUGUCGUCAAUUGAUAAAUAUAAUUCGGCUUGUUCAUUACCAAAGAUCCUAGGAUAAAUUUCAAUCAAUAAUGCUUUAGUCAACCCUUGCGAGUGUACUUGCAAAGGGCAUCUAUUCUUGUUGGCACUUUGUAUUCUUGCACAUUCUUAAUGGAUUACUUUAUAUAACUAGAAUAACAAAAAAUAGUAUUAUUAUUAUUAAUUUAUGAAAUAUCAAAGACAAACAAUAAUUAUAGAUAUGUACCUCAACAUCAUUCAAGAUGACAAAUUGUUUAGGCUAAGCAACAUAGGAUCCAAUUUGAUUUCCUAUGUCCUAAUUUGAGAAAAAGUGAAAUUAUUACUUAGCUAAAUAAUAUCAACAAAACAUCAAUUUAUUAAGCACAUAACACAACAGAUCAAAUAAUCUUGAUGGACAUGAAAUGUCAGAGACCAAGCACAAAGGCACAACAAAUGGAUUGCUCUGGUGGUGAGCAUUUAUAUUAAUUUAGGGCUGAGCAUAUGAUAAAAUGGUUUCGUAUUUAUACCUUCCUUAAAAUAUGUAAUUAUAGACAUUACAAACUCCUUCAUAAAAUCUAAUCCCUAGAGAUAACUUUACUGUUAAUCCAUAUUGUUAAUAUUUGCUACUCAAACAUGAAUAAAUUAGGUAAAGAAAAAAAAUUGCACAUGUAGACCAUCCACAAACAAACAAUCUAUUGUUUUCUUUCACAAGCAUGAUUAAACAAAAGAAAAGAAAGUACCUUUGUGUGGAGACCAAAACUUUUAAAAUCCAAGAUUAAAGCUGGUCGAAUACUUCAAUAUUUUGCUUGAUAGUUUUGUGGUCCAAGCUUUAUAAUCUUCUCCUCAAAAAUGUGUGGUACAAAGCUUUAAGAUUUCUUCUCUGUCUUCACUUCAACUAUGUGUGAAUAGUUAGGGUUUGCUAUUUUGGGGCUGUAUAAAUAAUGGGUGAAAUUAGGGGUUUACAACUUGGAAGUAAAAGAUAAGAAGAUGUUGUGGGGGAAAGGCAAUUUUAGAGAUGAAGAUUGUGAAAUUUCAUAGAAAUGGAGGCAAAGAGAGAGAGAGAGUUAGUGUUUUAUUGAAGACGAAGAAAAUAAAAGGGAAAGUUGAGUUUUUAUACUUGAAAAAUAAAUGACAAAUUUUAAAAAGUAAGAGUCACCUUUUAUUUAAUUAGAGAUGACUUAUUAUUUAGUUUGUGAGUCAUUUUUAUAUCAUAAGUAAAAAUUAUUUUAUAAUAGAUGACUUUCAAAAAUAAAUAUAAGUCAUCUAAAAUAAUAGAUGACAGCUAAUAGUAUGCUCGUCAUGUAUUACAUGUCAUCUUUGUCCUGUUUUGUAGUAGUGAGAUCCUCCUACCUUACUUUAUUUUGUGGCAAGUUUGGAAGGCUCGUAAUGCUUUUAGGUUUGAUUUGUAAUCUUUUUCUGUUGAUGCAGUUAUCUAUUAGGUGGCAACGGAUCUCAAGCUUGCUAGUUCCAUUUUUGGCUUUAAGCCUUCCAGCUGAGGGGAUUUUUAGGUUCUCGGAUUACAAAGGCUUUACGAGUUAUAGGUCUACCCAGGAGGUCGAUUCGAUUAGUUUCUAAGAUGAAGCCACCUCCUGAGGUUGCGAAGUUGAUUGUGGAUAGUUGCUCUAGGGGCAAUCCUAGGAUGACUACUUCGGGUGGUAUUCUCUGAAAUCAUCGAGGUACAGUUUUGGCUACUUUUGGAUCUUUUCUUGGUUGUCAGCCUGUAAUGCUUAUGAAGGGUUAGGGUUUGCUACUGAGCUUGGUAACUCUAUGCUAAGGUGGAGUUGAACUUGGCAACGGUCAUUUCUUAGACUCAUUUCGGGGGUCCUAUUCGCUGGGAUUAUGGUAUUUCAUUGUGUCGGGUGUGAACUUUGACGUCUUCCUCUCCUAUUUUGGUUAGGCAUUUACUUCGUGAGACUACUUUUAAUGUUGAUUUUCUAGCCCAUUGGGCAUUCACUCAUCGGGUUAGUAGGCGUUUCUUGUGUUCCCAAGAUUUUCCUACAAGCUUAUCUAGCAUUCUAAAUUUGGAUGUGUAGGCUAUUCCCCACAUCAGAUGCCAACAUUGAUGGCUUUCCUUAUUUUUUUUCAUCCUUCUCUUUUUAUUCUUGUGUAUUCUUGUGUAUUUUCAUUUACUUUAGGAGAUUUUGGUUUGUAUCUCCUUCCUUACGUAUUUGUUCCAUUACUAAUUUUUGUUACAGGUAAGAGCCCACCUAAUCCCCCACCUCUUGAUGGUUUUUAUCCAAAAAAAAAAAAAAAAGUAAUAACAUCCAAAAUUACAGUACGCAUAAUCUCAGGAUGCCUUGUCAUCUUCCAUGCUUCGAACCAUGUAAUAAGGAAAUUGUAGGGUAGUGGAAGUCUGGGUUUUUGAAAAAUAAAAAACAAAUAAUGCAACAUAAUUUUAGUAAAAGCAUUAUAUAGGUUGACAAUAGAGAUGACUGAUCAAUGACAGAGAACACAAGAAUGAAAUUUUUAAGUUAAAAAUAGACUCGAAAGCUUAAACUAAUAGCUAAAGAGUCAGCAACUAUGUUCAAGCUCUAACAAAGCCCCUUAACUUGAUCAAACAAAACCAUAACCACAACCACAAUCACGACUUAAGUCGCCAAUUUAUUAAAAAUCUUAAGCUAAUAGGAAAAGGACAUAAUUUAUUAUAUUUAAUCUCUAAUUAAAUAAUGCAAAAUUUUUAUCACCACCAAAUUAAAACAUGAAUGCAUCAAAACUACUGGAAAAUGUUUCAAUCUACAGAACCAGUAAUAUCAUAACUUAGCCUAAACACAGUGCCAAGUAGUCUGACUUCAGCGUAGGCUCUUAAACCAUUGUAGAAAGCAAAAUUACACCAAAACUCAUAUUCAAGCCGAAAUCAUAAGCCAUAUGUGUGUUGUGACCAUUGAUACAAUGGAAUUAUAGUUGAAUGUGUGUAAAUCCUCACCGAAUCAAAGAUUGUCCUUAGUAAAUACAAACAAACUACUUCCGUAUACCAAUUUAGAAUGUUUUGCUUUGGAUGCGCGUGUUUUGUUGCCCAAAGCCUGUGUCAUAAAACAGUAGCGAGUCUGAAAGGGCGAUAAACAGCAUAGGUAAUUUUGUCAUUUUGUGCUGCUUGCUGGCUUACAAUGCACAAGGCUUUGGUUUGAAAAGCUAUGUAUGCUAUUUGCAAAGGCGAAUUGUGGUGAAUAAAUAACUACCCUAAACAUGAAGCUCAACGAUUUUCCAAACAUGCAACAUAAUAUUUAUAAUUUCUGUGAAAAAUGUAGUUACAUACAUAUUUUAAUGAGUUAUCAAGUCUUUAUAUGUGAUGUCUUGAAAAGUAUCUUCAAAACCUCAAUAAUAAGCCAUCAAGAAGAAUCUUUGGGAGUAGAAGAAUUUCCAUAGAUGUAGGAACCAAAACCCCAGAACGUAACAAUCAGUGAUAGGAUCUUGAAUCCGCUCAUUGGAUCAUGUAACAACAUAACAGCGGCAAUGCUUGUGAUGGGUACUCUUAUUGCAUUGAGGAUGCCUGCCAGCACAGUGGAAGCCAAAAAAAGCACGGCAGUGCCUCCUAACACCCCCAGCUGGAAAGUAAUUGCGCCCCAUAUGAGAACCAGGUAAUACGAAGCUACACCACCUUUGAAAGUUUUGGCCUCGGAUUUCAUACCUUGAAAAUCCUUACUCACGACCACUCCUAUAGUUGUAAAUGCAAAGGCAAACAAAGAAACCAUGACUUGUUGCUCCAAUACAACAUGGAAGGACCUUCUGCCUACUAAUUUCACGAAAACUAGCUCAGAAAGGGCAAAGAUGAGACCAUGGAGUGCAGAUCCUAGGAUAUCCCAAACAAAACCCAUGAUGUAUUGUCUGUCAGUAAUGUUGCCGUAUCUAUCAGAAUCUAAAUCCAGUGCAAUUACAGUCAUAGCAGCUGUUUUUAUCACGACAACAUUUAUCAUUGCAGCAUUCAGUUUAUUCUUCACUAGAAAAUAACCAAAUAGGGUGGAAAAAACUAGCGAUGAUGAUGCCAAAAGAGCAGCAGUUGAUGCCGGAAGAUAGGCAUUAGCGUAUGCAUACAUGAGAUUAUCUGCAGCACUUAGAAAACACAGGACAAUAAAAGCUAGAGUGAGUUUUAAGUCGAGAGGAGUGGGAAAGGUUUUAAAUACGAAAUUUGUAGGCCACAAGAUCAAAGCAGUCAAAGGCCACCCAGCAACUGCAACAACUUUUCCAAAACGACGUCGUUUUAGGGCUUGGUUAAGGGAAAAAAAAAAAAAAAAGAAUUGAAACAGCGUCGUUUAUUACUUUCGGGAUUUGACUCAGGGUAACUAGCAUUUUUCAAACAAGAAACCAUGUGAUAGUAAUAAAUAGAAAACGACUUUAACAUGUUUUGACUAUUCUACAGAAAAACUUAUAGAAUAAAUUAUAAAAUUGAUUCUUCAUACUUGCGGACACAUGAUAAAUCCAUUUUUAUCAUCUUCAUCUAUAUUUUCUUUCCCAUUUAUCAGCGAAGAUUAUUCUUCAUCUUUCUAACAUUUAUCUCUACUUUCUUCUUCUUCUGUAGCUAGCUACUUUAUUCUUCAUCUUUCACCCUCAUAUCUUAUUUUCUUCUUUCAGGAUCAAAUUUUCAAGUAUUUUUUUAAAUUUUCACUCUAAUUUCUUUUUUCUCGUACAUAGCCCUGCUUAAAUUUUUGGGUUGAUCUAACAUUUUUUUUUCAUUACCUAUCUUUAUUUUUUCAGUUCUUGCACUACUAUUUAUAGAUUAUAUAAAUAUAUACUAAUUUUAGCAUAUUUUAUUCUCUUAAACUCUCUCGCAAGUGGGCAAGUCAGAUCUCUAUCUCCCGUCCUGCAUGUUCUUAGUUUUUCUUUUCCCCCCGUCCUUAAAAGCACGUGGGUGAGAGUUGUGGGGUUCUGGCAUUUGAGAGUAUCCCUGGCCAUAUUGUGUUGCUGCACUUAUUCUUUAAAUAAUAGAAAAUAAAUAAAUUAUUUAUUUGCUUGUUAUGGAGAAGACAUAACAAAACAGUAAUUGGAGAAGACGGGGUGUAAUUAUGGUAAUAUUAUCUAUUUUGAAAUUUUAUCGCUAACUUAUUUAUGGUAGGUCUAUAUUUAUUUAAAAAUUUAAUUGUAGCUAUGAAGAUUAUACGAAUUAAUUUUAUAUUAUUUUCAUUAUUUCAACUUUUUAAUUAUAAUUAUGACUUGAAUGUUUAUUAAAAAUUGUUUCUAAAGAUAAUAUCACCAAACACAUAUUCAAUUUCAAAAUACAAUAAUUUUAAAACAUCAUUUUCAUUCUCAUUUUUGUAUUACUUUUUAAAUAUAAGUAUGACAAUAAAUAUUUAAUAAAAAUUAUUUUUGAAAAUGGUAUUACCGAAUAUAUAUUUAUUGUUUUUAUAUUUUUCAAUUGUGUCUACUGAAUACAUAUUAGUUUUUUUAGUUUUAAAAUACAUGAUUCAAAAAAUAAUAUCAUACGCAUGCUUAAAUUCAAAAUAGAAUAACUGCAAAACAUUAUUUUUAUUUUUAUUUUCUGUUUUCAUAAAAUAUUAAUUCAAAAACAAUACCAAACAAGCACUUAGAGAUUUGAGGGAGAUAAAAUUACUAAGCAACCGACAUUUCAAUUUGCCCAUUUUUUCUAUUUUUAUUUAAUAUUAUAUCUCAACCGUUGGAUUCAUUUUAGUUGAAUCCAACGGUUUGUUUUAAACUUACGGCAUUGUAGUAGGUUAGUAGCAGCCUUUCCUUUUUUUUAAUGUAUUAUAAAUUUUUUUCUUUUUAAAUCUCACCCAUCGUCCUCUAACUAUUUAUUUAACUACUCUGGUGUGUGAUUUUUUAGAGUUACGGUGGUAACUGCUGACAUAUCCCAUUACGUUAGCAUCACGUGUUUUGUGAGGCCCAGAGAUAGGGAUGGCAAAGUCCGGGUCCGGUCCGGGUUUGGGGCUGCCCGGGACCGACCCGCAUGUUACACAUAGCUGCCCGGAUUCGGACCGUGCCCGGAUUUUUUUUAUACGGGCCGGGUAUAUGCCCGGCACUACCCGGGCACGGGUUUUUUUCCGGGUUUUCACUACCCGCAUUUUCAAAGCUAGCUAAACAAAAAAAAAAUUGAUAAAAAAGACUAAAUAAGUAAACUGGGCAGUGGAAUGGGGAUAAUAUAAAACUUAACACGGUUGAAAGCUUGCGCAAUCGGGUCUGAAAAUUCAUAACUUAUCCACGAAUUAGCACUUAGCACUAGCAGAAACUCACAGUAAGCACUGGAAGUUUGGAAAUAAAAAUGCAGCCAUGCUUCAAAACAAUUGUUUAAAGCAAUAUUAAAAAAAAAAAAUUUAAAGCUGCAAAGAUGGAACUAGACGUUGGGAAAAGCAUUAAAGGUUCCAACCCACGAUUUAACUUUAACAAGAUGAAAUGCAAUAAAUCUUUGAAUCUUUUUGAGGAAAGAAUAUACACAUUAUGAAGAGCUCUGUGACGCGAGUCACGGGACGGCUGUGCUUUGCGUCUUUGCGAGGAGAAAUAGAGUUGACCGAGGAAGGUAAGAGGUUCGUGGAGGGAGAGGCGCAUCGGUGCUGGUGGUUGCUGGUGGAGAGACGGAGAGAGGUGCCGCCGAUUUGGAGAUUUCAAGGUGUGUGCUGUGUUGUUCACUUGCAAUCGCGAUUUAGGGUUUGGUUUUGGGGGUAAUUGGGCAAAGUAAAUUUUAUUUUCGGUUUUAUAUUUUCCUCUUUUUUUUUUUACUUAAUAAAAAACCGGGCAUGGGUCCGGGUUUCGAAUUCUUGGUGCUGUGACAGGACCCGUGCCCGGAAGCAGCCGGGCAUUGAAAAUCAAUGCCCGGAUCUUUUUUUCAUUCAUCGGUCCGGAUUUUACCCGGACCGCACACGCCGGGUCCGGACCGGGUCCGGUCCGGGCGGGCUUUUCUGCCAUCUCUACCGGAAAACACCUAAUUGCCCAGCUAUUACCGGUUACAAUUUUUUUUCCCAAAAAAAAAUAUAAAUAUAAAUUGUUGGCUUGGCAACAAACCCAACCAAUAGAAAACGAGAGUAGACGAGAAAUGGCGGGGACAAUGAAGAGAAUCAAGCUGGGUUCACAAGGUCUAGAAGUUUCAGCACAAGGCUUAGGAUGCAUGGGCAUGUCCUGAAGCCCGAAUCUGAUAUGAUAGCCUUGAUCCACCAUGCCAUUGAUAGUGGCAUCACUGUACUUGACACUUCCGAUGUUUACGGACCACACACAAAUGAAAUCCUUCUGGGCAAGGUAAUGUAAUUUAGCUUCUAUUUCCUCCCUUUAAUUUCAAAAGGGCAUGUUUGGAAUUGGCAAAUAAUAAUAUAUUAGCUUUGAUUAAUUUGGUUUUGGGAUUAGGCUCUGAAAGCAAGGUACAGAGGAAGAGUUGAAUUGGCUACUGAAUUUGGUAUCAGAUAUGAGGAUGGCCAGUACUCAUACUGUGGGGAUCCUGCUUAUGUAAGAGCUGCAUGUGACUGUAUUGAUCUUUAUUACCAACAUCGCAUUGACACUAAAGUUCCCAUUGAAGUCACAGUUUGUCGCUUUUAAUUUUUAUAUAUUUGUCUCAAUCAUGCAUGUUAAACUAUAUUAGUUUGUUAGCCUCUGGGUAGCUCGGCUGCCAAUGAAUAUGAAACACAGAAUAUUUAAAAAUACAGGCAUGGGUCACUUCGGUGGGUGAGGUUUCUGUUAUUAUGUACUAAUUCUUUUACUUGUGUUGUUUCGUAAGAUUGGGGAACUCAAGAAACUAGUUGAAGAGGGUAAAAUAAAGUAUAUAGGUCUAUCGGAGGCUUCUGCUUCAACAAUUAGACAAGCUCGCCGUCCAUCCAAUAACAGCUGUGCAGUUGGAAUGGUCCUUGUGGUCACGAGAUGUGGAGGAAGAGAUUGUCCCUACUUGCAGGUAAGACAUUAUUUGGGCCAAAUGAAUUGUUUUGACCUAGUUGAAAGGAAAAGAAAUUAUGAGUAGAUGAUUUAACAUUUGCAUGCUAACGCAAUUUUGGUGGUUGCUCUGCUCAGGGAACUUGGCAUUGGAAUUGUUGCGUACAGUCCUCUAGGAUGUGGCUUUCUUUCAUCCGGACCAAAGUUGGUUGAAAGCAUUGCACCGGAUGAUUCUAGACAUGUUCGUAAGCCUACCAUGCAUUUAUUAUUCGAUGUCUGCAAGCAUGUUUAAAACCUUCUCUCAAGAUACUCUACAGUGACUUGCAUACUAUUUUAUCUUAUAAACCUCUGAUAUUUAUCUAGAGCCAUAGUUAUAGUUAUUCUAACCUAACCCGGUAGGACUUGUUUAAGAAUUCUCUUUCUUAGAUACUCUACUAGUUCAUUUCGAUCGACUAAUUACACUGAAGUUGCCUGUGUAUGGAUUGCAUGGAGAGGAUUGAGGAAAAAUGAAAAUUCAAUUACUAAGGACUGAAUACACUGUAAUCCUUUUUGAAGUGACUUGUCUACCAAAACUUAUUCAUCAUUAGCUAAAUGUUUGGUGUUUACUAAUCAUGUAUUUUUACUUUCAUCAUAUUUGCAUUACUUGUCUUCUUUAUUACACAUUCAUUCUCAUUUAGCAAUACAAUAAUAAUUCUUGUUUAGUUUUACUCUAUAGCUCUGAAAUUCUUCAUAGAUUUCAAUUGUAUAUUUGUCUCAAUCAUGCAUGUUAAACUAUAUUAGUUUGUUAGCCUCUGGGUAGCUCGGCUGCCAAUGAAUAUGAAACACAGAAUAUUUAAAAAUACAGGCAUGGGUCACUUCGGUGGGUGAGGUUUCUGUUAUUAUGUACUAAUUCUUUUACUUGUGUUGUUUCGUAAGAUUGGGGAACUCAAGAAACUAGUUGAAGAGGGUAAAAUAAAGUAUAUAGGUCUAUCGGAGGCUUCUGCUUCAACAAUUAGACAAGCUCGCCGUCCAUCCAAUAACAGCUGUGCAGUUGGAAUGGUCCUUGUGGUCACGAGAUGUGGAGGAAGAGAUUGUUCCUACUUGCAGGUAAGGCAUUAUUUGGACCAAAUGAAUUGUUUUGACCUAGUUGAAAGGAAAAGAAAUUAUGAGUAGAUGAUUUAACAUUUGCAUGCUAACGCAAUUUUGGUGGUUGCUCUGCUCAGGGAACUUGGCAUUGGAAUUGUUGCGUACAGUCCUCUAGGAUGUGGCUUUCUUUCAUCCGGACCAAAGUUGGUUGAAAGCAUUGCACCGGAUGAUUCUAGACAUGUUCGUAAGCCUACCAUGCAUUUAUUAUUCGAUGUCUGCAAGCAUGUUUAAAACCUUCUCUCAAGAUACUCUACAGUGACUUGCAUACUAUUUUAUCUUAUAAACCUCUGAUAUUUAUCUAGAGCCAUAGUUAUAGUUAUUCUAACCUAACCCAGGAGGACUUGUUUAAGAAUUCUCUUUCUUAGAUACUCUACUAGUUCAUUUCGAUCGACUAAUUACACUGAAGUUGCCUGUGUAUGGAUUGCAUGGAGAGGAUUGAGGAAAAAUGAAAAUUCAAUUACUAAGGACUGAAUACACUGUAAUCCUUUUUGAAGUGACUUGUCUACCAAAACUUAUUCAUCAUUAGCUAAAUGUUUGGUGUUUACUAAUCAUGUAUUUUUACUUUCAUCAUAUUUGCAUUACUUGUCUUCUUUAUUACACAUUCAUUCUCAUUUAGCAAUACAAUAAUAAUUCUUGUUUAGUUUUACUCUAUAGCUCUGAAAUUCUUCAUAGAUUUCAAUUGUUUCCCUCAGAUUAUGUUCAUUAACCUCCUCAAAUAUGAGCAAAAGCUUUCUUUGCAUUGAAAAUAUGAGGAAUUAUCUAUGCAAUGACUUCAUUGAUGGACAGAAAAUUUUAACAUGACUGAUUCAAUUUAUAUACAUGAUAAUACCCCUUAAGUUGUAUAGAGGUGAAAAAAAAAUGAGGGAAAAAAAUUGUUCCAUUACCUCAAAACUAUUACUGGAUGCUCAAGAAGUUUAGCUGUAACGACUCUUCCAAACUUCUACAUCCUUGUGGCAGUUUCCAUUUUUGUUAUAUUGCUUUGCCUAUGCACGUCAAUGUGAAAUCAAUUGACAAGUCCAAGGAGAGUUUAUUUCUUGUGAGACCUUUGUCUAACAUGCCAAAAUGUUUUACUAUAAACAUCCUCCACCUUGGAGAAGUCCCCGCCUAGUCCUUUUUCUUUGUUUUCUGGUCUAUUGAAUUUUACAUAAACCUCCUCUAAAAUCAUGCUUUAUCCAAAAUGAUGUUCUUUUUUUUAAUGAUUCAAUUGCAGUUCAGUUUUGGUACUGAGCUGUUUUCUAAAUCUUGCAGCAUCUACCGAGGUUCCAACCUGAAAAUUUAGAGCAUAACAAAAAGCUAUUUGAACGUGCAGCUUGCAUUAGCAUGGGUUCAUCACCAAGGAAAUGACGUGUGUCCGAUUCCUGGAACCACUAAGAUUGAAAACCUGAAUCAAAAUAUUAAAGCUCUGUCAGUGAAACUUUCUCCAGAAGAAAUGGCUGAGCUUGAAUCCAUUGCUUCAGCAGAUGCUGUAAGGGUUCAUCGGUAUGGGGGUGUCACUCCUACCUACGAAGACUCUGAAACUCCACCUCUGUCUUCGUGGAAACCUUCAUAAAGGGCAUUGGUAUUCUGCUUCUUAGUACCGAUUUUGCAAUUGCAUGUAGUUCCUAGGUUCUGUUGUGGGUAAAAUCAUUGUGUUCUCAUACGAGACCCUAUCAGUACCUUUCUGCACUUUCCACAAGCAUUUAGUGAAUAUUGUAUUGAGUUCCUAUGCAGUGUUGUAAGUAAAACUAAAUCAUUGUAUCUUCUGCAGUGAGCACAAAAACAAUGUAAUGUGUUUAUGCAAAUAUAUGAGAAACAAUAACAAAUCAAAAUGGAGUAAUAUUUAUCUGAAAUUUCUGGAAGUUUAGAUUAUCUGAAUCAGGGGCGAAGCCAGAAAAAAUAUCUUGGGUAGGCUAAAUUUUUGCCAAAUCCAAAUAUUAUCUUGGUUAAAAAUAUAAAUUUGAAAGAAAAUUUUGUUAAUACAUAAGAAAAUGUGAAAGAAAAUUUUGUUAUACAUAAGAAAAUAUAUCAUAUCUAAGAAGUAAUUUAGUCACAAUUAAACACUAUUAAGUUUGUGCCUUACUAUACUUUCGAGAAUUAAAUCCAUCUAUUAUCGAAUUUAAAUUGACGGUGUUUACAAAUUCUCUUUUAACGUAGAUAACUCUACAAUUUGAUAAAAAUUCCUUUUCUUCCUUAUUUUGAAGUCGGGUCUAUGCUCGUUUGGGUGUUUCAGUCAAAACAGGGUAUAAAUAUAAAAGAAGUUAGAAGAAAUAAUCAAAAAUUUACUAAUAAAAGCCAUAGAACCGUCAAUCUGUCACUACGACACAUUAACACUAUCCAGAAGCCAAACAAUAAGUUUAAUUAACAAAUUAACUUUAUGUAUAAUGUACUGAAUUGAAUCUAUGAUCCAUCUCUAUCAAUAAUCAAUUUCAAAUAUCUCUAAUCUAUCAAUAAUUAAUUUAAAUUUUUGAAUGCUAGAAUUUAAUGGCUAAAUUAUCUUCAUUUGACCCAACAAUAAUUUAAUUUUACACAAUGAAAUUGGAACAAGAAUUAAAUAAUAUAAUCUUUAGUCUUUACUACCUAACAAUUAAUAAGUGUACUGUAAAUGAUUGAAUAAACAAUAAAUUUAUUAUCUAUUCUUGUCAAGAAGAAGACGAAGAAUUGAAGAAGCACGUUCUGGAAUCUUGAAUGAAGUAAAUGCUCCCUUUUUUCUAUAUAUUUAUUUGAAUGAUAAAGUGGUAAAUUAAUAGAGUGGUACAACUGUAAAUAAAAUAGUGGCAAUUUUAUAAACUUUGCAUUAUGAUAUUUUUGUAAACUUUCUAAAAAUUUCCCAGCCCACUUGGAGCCUCGCCACUGAUGUGAAGAGCAAUGCUAGAUGUCCCAACAUAAGUUUUAAUUUGAGUUCCUACUGACGUGAAAUUCAUCUAUUGAAUGGUAGUUAAAUAAUUUUACUAGAUAUUACAUCCAUUAUUCAAUUGAUGAGUGACACAUAUCAUUGAGAGUCAAGUUGAGACUCAAAUGUUAGGAUCCUAAAUAUUAUUGUUGAUCUAAAUUAUUGUAGCAUUAUAUGUUUCUUGUUGUUGCACGUGACAUCCUUCCUCUAACAGAAAAUUAUUCAAUGAUUUCAGAUCAAUCGAAUACUUUUGCUGUGUUACAAAGUGGCCUCUACGAGAUUACCAAAUUGAUUCACAAUUUUUCACAUCAUUUUACCGGAAAUUAAAUUAUUUCAACCAAUUGAUUAUGCUUAGUCAUGGUAAAAACUCAAGUCGGUCCCGGAUAUGGCAAUACUCAAAUUUGGCCCAAGCAUGUUUUUCUGAACACUGAGGUUGGGCUUAAAAACUCGGCCCCAAAUGGAUUUUCUUUAAUGGGCUUAAAAAAUCCAGAUUUAUAUUUUAUAAUAUUAUAUAUGUAUAUUUGCAAUCACCUCAUAGGACUUGACUAGCUUACAGAAUCUGUAAGCUACAGACUGCAGCAUCAGCCGUUGGAUGUGGACUGAGAAACUAAACAAUAGAAAAUCAGAUGGUGGGAUGUCGGGAGAUGUUUGUUACAGAAUCUGUACCAUAGACAGGUCCUAAUAAAAAGCCCAGAGAACAAUUUGAAAUGGAAAUCAAAUCAAGAAACAAUUUCUGGUCAUAAAAGCAUAACGGCAUGAAUUGCGCAAGAAGUUCUCUCGGUUAAAACCUAUCCCUCAUGCGCUUUUUAUCCUUUUGAGGUUAAUGCAAAGACCCAAAUGGCCCAGGUUGGGAUGGCUUUCGACCUAACCGGGUUGCAUUAUAGGGACCUAUUUUAGUUUAUAAUUUUUAAAUUUUAUUUAAUGAAUUUGGGUUUUCAAAUAUGAACUUUAAAUAUUUAAAAUUUUAAAUAUGUAUAAUCUAUGGGUCAAAUAAAUAUAAUUAUUUAAAAUAAUGUAUUUUAUAAUAUUUUUUCAUAAAAUUCAGGUUUUGGGACGGAUCUGAAUUUAUCAAGUGAAACUUAAACUUGGCCCGGCCUCAUCUUUGGACUAGAUAUUAUUGGCCCGCAUUGCCUAGUCCAAUCCGUACAAAUAUUUUUGACAGUUCCUAUUACCUUUCAGGCAUUUCACACAUUUCAUUGGGUAUUUUUUAUGGUUAAUUUGAUCACCUUCUUUGCAGUAAAUGAUAAAUAGAUACAUUUAAGAAUUAAUUCAUCUAAAAAUCAGGGAAAAAAAAGCAUAUAUACCCCCUUGGGAACAUAAAUGUUGCUAUAGACCUCCUUGGUUUAAUAAAUAAUCACACAAAUUUUUUUUUUUUAUGAUUAUACAAAUCGAUUUUAACAAUCCAAAUUUUUUUUCAGGCAUUUCACACAUUUCAUUGGGUAUUUUUUAUGGUUAAUUUGAUCACCUUCUUUGCAGUAAAUGAUAAAUAGAUACAUUUAAGAAUUAAUUCAUCUAAAAAUCAGGGAAAAAAAAGCAUAUAUACCCCCUUGGGAACAUAAAUGUUGCUAUAGACCUCCUUGGUUUAAUAAAUAAUCACACAAAUGUUUUUUUAUGAUUAUACACAUCGAUUUUAACAAUCCAAAAAUUGAUUUUAAAUAAACUUCUAUGAUAGAUAGAUACAAAAUAUAAUAUUAAAAUAAUAUAAUAUAUAAAUUUUAUAUAUUUUAUAAAUUAUUUUGAAUAAAAAAAUUAAUUUAAUAUUAUUAAUCUAUCAUAUAGGUUUUAAUUUAAUAAAAUCUAUUUUGCAGAUCAAUAAUAUUAAAAUACUUGUAUUUAACAUUAAAAAUAAUUUACAAAAUUCUGUAUUAUAUAUCUUAUUUAUUUCUUUUUAUGUUAGGUCUAUAUUAGCUUAAUUUUUUUAAGUUUGGGUAGGAUUUUUUUUAAGCCAAUAAAGAAUUAAUCUAUGAAAUACCAGAAUCUACGGUGAGUCGUGAAAAAUAUAAAUUUAAAGAUUUUACUCAAUUUUUUAUUGCUACAAUUUCACUCUGGAGUAAAAUGACAGAUAAAUCAAUAAUAUAUAACAUAUUUAAUAAUACAAUUCAACAGUUUCUUCUAUCAUAUAAACACCCUUUUUCUAUAAAAAGGGUUUACAUCUAGGGGUGAUAAUAUAGAUCAGGAUUUAUUGAUUCCAUUUGAUUCUAUUUGAAUUAAAAGCAUUUAGGUUUGAAAAAUUAAUUCGUCUAAUAAAUGGACCAUUUUGAUUGAAUUUGUUAAGUGAACAAAUUGAAUGUCGCACUGAUUUGUUUAUUUUUUGAAGAUCCAUUUAUUGAAUGAUACAAUAAAUAUAAUUAUGCAAAAAAAAAAGUCUCACUAGUUCAAAAUAUUUAUUUUGAGGAUUUUAAUUGUAAUGUUAAUGGAUUUGUAAUUUUAAACGAACCAGUGGAUUAAUUUAAAAUAUGAAUGUGGAUUUAAGCUCACUGGUUCGGUUGAAAUUUUGGAGUUAGGAUGGUUCAUUUAUUCUAUUGUUAAUGAAUUUGUAAUUUAAACAUCGAAGUUAGAAACUUUGGAGUUUCAAACUUCUAACCCAAUUCAUUAUAUUGAAUUUACCGACUUUUAACCUAAUUCAUGAAUUCAUUUUGCUACCCUAUUUACAUCUAUACAUGUAUUAGUUCAACAAUUUCUUACAUCAUAUAACCCUGACUUCUUUUUUACAUUAUAAACAUUUUGUAUAUUUCAUUCAAAAACAUCAUGAUUGUCGAUAUUGAACACUAAAAUAAUUCAGAAAACAUUACAAUGUUAAUUUUUAGUAUUAAGUGGAUUAGUUUCAGUAGAGUAUAUUAUAUUAUACAAAGAGUAGCCUUUUGACACCUUUUAAAGGUUGAGGCUAUUUAACCCUCUAGGUUACUCAUUAAACUCACAUUUUAAUAAACUUAAUUGUUACUAAAAUAUCAAUAACAUAAAUUACAAUUAUAGACAUAUGAUUAUUUGAAAACAAUUAUACUGGUGUUUUAUUCCAUCUUCAAACACAAUAUGAAUUUAAUCAGUUUUAUAAUACUCAUGUUUUCUUGAAUCUUUAGUCAUUUAUUGAAUUUUUACUCGUCUACACUUUGCAUUCCCUCAAAUUUGUUUGAUAUUUGGAUUAUUUGGCCAAAAGUUUGUUGUUCAUAAAUAACUCCUCCUAAAUCCAACUGAUAAUUUCUUCUCAAUAAUGGAUUCUCUCUUACACAUGCGAGUAUGGGCAAACCUGGUCUCUAAUUAGUAUUUUAAGAAAUAAAAAAUAUCACCAUUCACUACCCAAUAAAUAUACAGCACCGAUAUUCUCACACCAAUAAGCACCAUAGUUAGCACAAAUGCAAACGCAAACUACACACACACUCAUCUCAUUGGACCGCAGCACUCUCUCUCACCGUGGGUCUCUCCACAUUUAGCUUGGCUGUCAAUUGUUUCUCUCCCAACCCCGUGAAUUGCAUUCUGACGGCACUUCUGGAAUUUGAGACCUAGCUGCAGCUUCACUCUCUCGGUAUGAAUUUAUGUUAAUUUUACUGAUGAUUAUACAAGAAAAUAUAGGCAUAUGAGUAGAGCCCGCCAUGAAUUAUUUUGAUUGUUUGAGAAAAUUUUGCUGAUCAUGAAUUAUUACAGUGAGUUAGCUUAGUUUUGUGAAUUAUUUUGUUCUUAAGAAUUAUUUUUAUAUUGUUGUCAUGAAUUAUGCGAUGAGACUGUAUGCGAUGGAUCUUCAUUAUUUGAUUGAAAUUUCAGGCAGCCAUGUUAUAUCUAAGUGAAGGAAAAGUAUAUGUCAGCAUUGCACUCCUUGUGCAUCAGUACCUUCAAAAUCAUAAAUAUUUUAAUAGCCUUAUUGAAACAUGAGAACUGAUCAUUACCAAAUAACAUAUGCUCUCUCAAUUUUGUAUCAAGCUAAAAAGAAUCCCUAUCCAGAGAUGCAUCAAAUGAAAUUACUUGCAAAUAAAUCAUCUCAAGGCCCUUAAAAUCUGAUAUGCCUCUAUAAAUGGCUAAUGAUUUUACAAAGCACACAAAUCUUAGAUCAACAAAUGAUAUCUAACCAAUAACGGGCAUCAAUAAUUGAUUUCCAGUUAUGCGGAGAAGUAGUAGAAAGGAUAGUGAUGGGAUACUUAGAAAUGUGUCUUUUGCUUGUGGCCGAAGCGGGGAGACAAGAAGCAAAUCUACUAAUAUCUUAAAGCCGCAACCUAAUAUAAAGACAGGCUGCAGUGCUAGAUUAGGAGCUGGUUUUGUUUUGUUAAUGUGAAUUAUUUUCAUAUUGUUGUCGUGAAUUAUUUUGUUUUUGAUAAUAUAAAUUUCCAUUUUGAUUAUAUGAAUUAUUUUCAUUUCAUAUAAAUAAAGAUUAUGGAAAAGGCCAUCGAAGACAUUGAGGAGUUGGAGAAAAUUGAGGAGGAGGACGAGCCAAUGAUUGGGAUGUCUUUUAAUACCGAUACUGAAAUGUUUAUGUACUUCAAAGAGUAUGGUAAAAAAAAAAGAUUUCCAGUUAUGCGGAGAAGUAGUAGAAAGGAUAGUGAUGGGAUACUUAGAAAUGUGUCUUUUGCUUGUGGCCGAAGCGGGGAGACAAGAAGCAAAUCUACUAAUAUCUUAAAGCCGCAACCUAAUAUAAAGACAGGCUACAGUGCUAGAUUAGGAGCUGGUUUAGGGGAUGAUGGAAAGUGGACGAUUCGAAGCUUAAAUCUUAAACACAACCAUCCAUUGUUGUCUCCAACGAAGUCAAGGCUUUUUCGAUGCAAUCGUAGCCUCAGUGCACAUGCAAAAAAGAAACUUGAUAUAAAUGAUCGAGUGGGAAUCAAAUUGUCCAAAAAUUAUCAAUCACUUGUUAUUGAGGCCGGUGGACAUGAAAACGUGACAUUCAUAGAGAGAGAUUGUAGAAAUCAUAUUCAGAAAGAAAGAAGAUUACGGCUUGGAGAUGGGGAUGCUGCUGCUCUUCAAAAUUAUUUUAUGAAAGUGCAAGCGGAAGAUAAUAGAUUUUUCUUUAGUAUGCAAGUGGAUGAUGAGGGCCGACUAAAAAAUAUUUUUUGAGCUGAGCCAAAAAAUAGGGACGCCUACAAAGAGUUUGGAGACGUUGUUACAUUUGACACCACAUAUCUUACAAAUAAGUAUGACAUGCCAUUCGCUCCGUUUGUAGGAGUUAAUCAUCAUGGUCAUUCUAUUUUGUUUGGGUGUGGAUUGAUUUCAAACGAAGACAUUGAGACAUUCACAUGGUUAUUUCAAACAUGGUUAUCCUGCAUGUCUAAUUCAGCUCCUAUUGGAAUUAUUACAGACCAAGACAAGGCAAUGAAAGCUGCAAUUGAGAACGUUUUCCCCAAUACUCGACAUCGGUGGUGUUUAUGGCAUAUACUUAAGAAGAUUCCAGAGAAGCUGGGGGGCUAUAAAGAAUAUCGCGACAUUAGUAAUGUGUUGCAUUGUGCUGUUUAUGACUCUCAGAGUUCUGCAAAAUUUGAGGAAACUUGGCACCAUAUGAUUGUAGAAUUUGAAUUGGGGGGAAAUGAAUGGUUACGGGGUUUAUACAAUGAGCGGUAUCGUUGGGUGCCUUGUUAUCUAAAAAACAGUUUUUGGGCAAGAAUGUCAACCACUCAGCGCAGUGAGAGUAUGAAUGCAUUUUUUUAUGGUUAUGUUAACUCGAAAACUACUUUGAAGCAGUUUGUGGAGCAAUAUAGCAAUGCAUUAAAGAAUAAAGCUCAAAAAGAAGUUGAAGAAGAUACUCGGUGUUCUUCCCAUCAAUUGCCAUGUGUAACAUCUUAUGCGAUGGAGAAGCAAAUCCGAGAUGUGUACACAAUUUCGAAAUUUCAAGAAUUUCAACAAGAGUUGGUCGGAAAAAUGUAUUGCGAAUUUGUCAAUUCCAUGGGUUGUGAAUAUAUAGUUAGAGAGGAUGUCAAAGUUGAUACAUGGAAAAAAAGGACCUUUUUUUAAGUAUAUUGUGAUAAAGAAAAUAGUGAAAUCCAUUGUAGUUGUUCAAGGUUCCAAUUCAGAGGAAUUCUCUGUAGGCAUGCUAUUACGAUCAUGAUACGCAACGACAUGGAAGUACUUCCAGAAAAGUUUGGGCUGGUAGAUCAAUGGUAACAGUUGUUCUCAAUAAUACCGAGGAUAAUAAUUUGAAUUCCAUUUUUUUUUCUUUUCAAUCAUUUUCCUCAAUAAUAUGGAGUAGACUCUAGAGUAUUUACUAGGGCGUAAUAGAUUUUUAAACAGUCUCAAUAUACUUUUUGUUGUUUACAAAAGUAAUUAUAAGUUCUCUUUUGUUUUGCUUAGUACAUGUAAGCAUUUGAUUGGCCGCCCCUAGGCUUAGCUGAUUUCCAUGUAGUUUUAUUUGUUUGGUAAUUAGAGUUCGAAUCCUCAAAGGUUAGAUGCGAAAAAACUGAUUUGGUAUUACCACCCUUUACUUUUAAAAAAACACAAAAAAAAAGUUAUAAGUAUUUGAGUAUCAUUAUUGACAAUAUAAUUACUAUUACACUUAUUAUUAUUUUGUACUCUUACAGCAUGCAAUAAAAUAAAAAUUUCUGAAUUUAUUAAAAUUUAUUUAUUAUUUAUUUGAGCAUACAUUAUUAGCCCUUAUUUAUAAAGUAUUUGAUUUAUAUAUUGGACAUAUGAUGUCAAGAUAGAAGAUAAAAAUCACAAAUUCUUUAUAAAUAAAAGAUUAUUGACAUCCAUUAAUGAAAUGUCAUUUUAUUUUAUAAGGCUGUAUAUUUGGUAUUUUUAUUGUUAAGUAACUUUAUCUUAAUCACUGAAGUAGAGACUUCAAGUAGAAAAAUUAGUAUGUAUAUGAGAUAUAUAUGUAAUGAACAAGAUUGUAAUGAAUUAUGAUCUAAUCUAACAAAAUCCGAGAUGUGUACACAAUUUCGAAAUUUCAAGAAUUUCAACAAGAGUUGGUCGGAAAAAUGUAUUGCGAAUUUGUCAAUUCCAUGGGUUGUGAAUAUAUAGUUAGAGAGGAUGUCAAAGUUGAUACAUGGAAAAAAAGGACCUUUUUUUAAGUAUAUUGUGAUAAAGAAAAUAGUGAAAUCCAUUGUAGUUGUUCAAGGUUCCAAUUCAGAGGAAUUCUCUGUAGGCAUGCUAUUACGAUCAUGAUACGCAACGACAUGGAAGUACUUCCAGAAAAGUUUGGGCUGGUAGAUCAAUGGUAACAGUUGUUCUCAAUAAUACCGAGGAUAAUAAUUUGAAUUCCAUUUUUUUUUCUUUUCAAUCAUUUUCCUCAAUAAUAUGGAGUAGACUCUAUAGUAUUUACUAGGGCGUAAUAGAUUUUUAAACAGUCUCAAUAUACUUUUUGUUGUUUACAAAAGUAAUUAAAAGUUCUCUUUUGUUUUGCUUAGUACAUGUAAGCAUUUGAUUGGCCGCCCUAGGCUUAGCUGAUUUCCAUGUAGUUUUAUUUGUUUGGUAAUUAGAGUUCGAAUCCUCAAAGGUUAGAUGCGAAAAAACUGAUUUGGUAUUACCACCCUUUACUUUUAAAAAAACACAAAAAAAAAGUUAUAAGUAUUUGAGUAUCAUUAUUGACAAUAUAAUUACUAUUACACUUAUUAUUAUUUUGUACUCUUACAGCAUGCAAUAAAAUAAAAAUUCCUGAAUUUAUUAAAAUUUAUUUAUUAUUUAUUUGAGCAUACAUUAUUAGCCCUUAUUUAUAAAGUAUUUGAUUUAUAUAUUGGACAUAUGAUGUCAAGAUAGAAGAUAAAAAUCACAAAUUCUUUAUAAAUAAAAGAUUAUUGACAUCCAUUAAUGAAAUGUCAUUUUAUUUUAUAAGGCUGUAUAUUUGGUAUUUUUAUUGUUAAGUAACUUUAUCUUAAUCACUGAAGUAGAGACUUCAAGUAGAAAAAUUAGUAUGUAUAUGAGAUAUAUAUGUAAUGAACAAGAUUGUAAUGAAUUAUGAUCUAAUCUAACAUAUGUUGCUAAUCAUAAUCUAUACAAGCUUUAAUAAGCUUGAUCGAUCUUAAUCCUGAGUGGGUAAUAUAACGCUAAUAAAGGGUAAAUUUGUCUUUUGAGUCGUCACAAAGUAAGAUUUGUAUAAACGGUCAAAACGUUAAUAAUUUGGAGAUAUAAUUUCAUGGAUUAUAGAAAUAUAUAUACUUACAAGAUGGAAUCUAUACAAAUGAUGCUUACCUAAGCUAUUUGUAGUAUUUGAUCAUAGGGAUGAGCCCGGCCCAUUGCUAUGAGAUUUGGCUCGAGCCUCCAUAUGAACGGUCUGGAUAAGGGCUUAAGUAAAAAAAAAUCUAGGCACACGCCCUCUAUUUUUUUUUCAAAAAAUAAAUUAGAAAUUUGAAUAAUAAAUUAAAAUUUUAUGAAAUAAUGGAAAAAAGAAAGAAAGCUUAAGUCCCUAAUUUAUAUAUCAAUAAUGAAUCAAAAAAUCUAAAAUUAUAAUAAUAAACUCUCUUUUAAAUGUUAAUUAAUUAAGAAGAUACUUGAAUUAAAAAAUCUAGUAUUAAAAAAUUUAAAUCUCUACACUUUUUUUUGUUGUGUUUUCUUUAUUUAUUAUUUUAUUUUGAAACAUUCAUUUUCUUUAAUUCGUUGCCGAUUAUAACAACUCAUUGAAUAUUAAUUCAUUUCAAGUUUUUAACAAUUUUUUUAAAAAAUGAAAAAAAAUAAGUGAAAGCCCAACCCAACCCAACCCCGCCCCAAGCUUAGCCCUUAUAUUUUCCCUCUAACGGGCUUGAAAAAGCCUAGUCUAAACUUGCAUUUUGCCAUCCCUAAAUUGAUCAUUUAAAUCUGUGGUUAUAAUUUAUUCAAUAAUUUAUUUAUUAAUUAAUCACAUUUAUUUGUAAUCUAUUUACAAAUAUAUUAACAGUGAUAGUUAGAAUAAAUAGUGACUGAGGGAUAUAUAUGUAAUUACAAAGAAAGAACAUUUAUCAUGGGCUGGAUUUAAUUAAGAUUAUCAAAUGAAGAGUCAAUUAAGUGGUAAUUAUUGGUUUAAAAUCAUGUCUAAUAUUAAUUAAAAGAAGUCUUAAUUAAUUAGGCUUUUAUUUGUUACAUGGUUCAUUAGAGUGCGACAUCAGACUUUUAGUAGAAUAGCUUAGGGUUAACUUAGUUGUUUUAGGAAGUCAUAAUAUGACUGAGACUUACCUAUGAAGUUGGAUUUAGGAAGUUCAUGGAUACCCUUUGUUAGCUUAGUUUCUAGUUAUAUCUUGACUUUAAUAAGUGCCUAUAUAAAGAAGAGGAAAUGGGAAUUAGAGUUCUCUAUAUGCCCUCAUGUGCGAGGGAGACUAUUGAUGAUAGUCGAGAAAACUACAACCAUAUCCUACAGAUCCCAAUAAUAGUAGUGGAAAAAAUUAAAGUAGUUGUCUUCAAAUCUUCAGUAGGAAAUUUAAGGCGUUUCUCUAAUUUUAUGCAUUUUUAUGUAAUCAAGAAAAAAAAAAUCUGACUUUUGAUAAUUUUAUUAAAUUAAAGAAAAAAAAUAUUUUUUAGGCCUGAUUUAACAACAACUGUAUGAAAGUGGUAUUGAUAUAUGAUAGAUUUUGGACUUACGCUAUUAUUGCUACUUUUAUUGAUUUGAAUUUAAUAGUUUACAAGAACCUCAUAGCACUGCAUUUAUUUUCGCAUAUUUCGCAAAAAAAAAAAUCUAUCUCUAUAAUGUUUAUAAGUUGACUGAAAUCCCUAAAAAAUGAUUCACCAUGGUUCCAAUACUUGACCGUAGUCUUAAGGUAAUAGAAUGUUUAAAAGACAAUUUUCCCCUUGCCAAUUACCAUAGCCAAAUAGUUUGAAGGAGAUAAUAAAAUGCAUUAAACUUCAAAAAAAAAAAAAGGAAUUUUGAAAAAUCAAAACAGUGAAAAAGAGAAUGAGGGUCCAUUUACAUCUAUAGCAGAUUCUCUAGAAGGAUUAAUGGGUGAUACAGAAUCGUGGGCCUUUGUUUGCGAAGGGUAGGAUCCAGGCAAAGGCCCAGGUGACGCCCUCGCAGCCUUUGAUUUGGCCUUUGUGCCAGCCACGUUAUCAACAUUGAAUGACGUGAAAUUGUACGGACUAGGGUGCAAUUGGUAUUGCCAUUCAAAUAAUGUUUUAUAAUUUUUUAAAUAAUUAAUAAUCUUGUAUGAAUUUCCUUGCUUUACUUUAUAUUUACUAGUUUCAUAUAAAAUUAGUAAAUAUAAAGUAAAACAAGUAACUUCAUACAAGAUUAUUAAUUAUUUAAAAAAUUAACAUUGCUUCUGCACAAUUUUAGUGAAAAAUAUUUUAUUCAUUUACAAAAAUAUAAAGAAAAAAUUACUCAUUAAUUAAACAAAAAUUGUACAAAAAAAGUGAAAUAUAUUUUAUUGAAUUGGUUUAACCAUAAAUUCUAUAUUUAUUUAAUUACAUUUGUAUAAUUUUUCCCAUUUUCUAUAAUGAUAUCUGUUUAUUACACAAGUUAAUUAAGUGCAAUUAUUUAUCUUGACGUGGAUCAAGCAAAUGAAUAAAUAAAUAAAUAAUUAUUCUCAUAUUACUGGACACAUAUAUGAUAUAUCAAUAAAAUUAUAUCUAAUUUUGAGUUCUAUGUAUACUUCAUGUAGUUUCAAACUUUUUACUUGUACUUAAGAGACCAUUUAUGGUUGUUGUUGUAGAAGUGUAGAAGGAUGCAAAAUAACCUCAUGUUACAACAACUAUGAAAGAUAUUAAAAUAGUUUUUUUUUUUUUUUCAAAAUCCAAUUCUGCGAAUAAAUUUCAUCCUUAAUAAAACAUCACAUGUACUACAUAAAUGAAAAACUAGCAUUAUGCAAUUUAAUUUUUUAAAAAUCAUUAAAUAUAUAAGGUAAUAAAUAUUAUAAUGAGUUUUUAGUUUAUAAGAGCUUUUUUGUUAGUAACUCUUAGAUUAAUUUACUUAUUUUACCUUUUAUUCAUAAGUUUUGAGCAUAGUUUACAAAUUUUAUGUUUUAUUUUGCACUUAAUAUUGAUUUACUUGGUUUAUAUUAUAUUUGUAUGUUUUCGUUUUACUUACUAAUGAUACAUAAAUUUACUAAUUUUAUAGUAAUUUACUUGUUUUUACUUUCCUUUUGCAAGUCUUAUACUUCAUUUCUAAAAUUUAUGUUUUAUUUUAGGCCACUGCUAUGUUACGUUGAGUGUAACAUACACACACUCACAGCAACANNNNNNNNNNNNNNNNNNNNNNNNNNNNNNNNNNNNNNNNNNNNNNNNNNNNNNNNNNNNNNNNNNNNNNNNNNNNNNNNNNNNNNNNNNNNNNNNNNNNNNNNNNNNNNNNNNNNNNNNNNNNNNNNNNNNNNNNNNNNNNNNNNNNNNNNNNNNNNNNNNNNNNNNNNNNNNNNNNNNNNNNNNNNNNNNNGUUUUAUAUUAAUUUACUUGUUUUAUCCUCCAUUUACAUUUGUGCUUUAUUUUGCACUUAAUGUUAAUUUACAAGUUUUAUGUUAUAUUACAAGUUUUUGUUUUAUUUACUAAUAAUAUAUCAAUUUACGAGUUUUAUAUUAAUUUACUCAUUUUACCUUCAAUUUACAAGUUUUAUGUUUAAUUUCUAAAAUUUAUGUAUUUUACAAUUAAUAUUGAUUUACAAGUUUUAUAUUUUAUUUACAUAAAUUAUGUUUAAUUACAGUAUUGAUACCGUUACUUUAAUCAAGGCAUAAUAGAAAGAGCCUUCUUUCUAAAAUACACUUAUAAAAUGAAAAUUUGAAAAUGUGUGAGUUGUUUAAAAAGUGAAGACGGUAAAAGAGAGUGAGAAAAAAAUACAUACCAUGAUAUAAUAUUUAGAUGAACUAAAAUUAUUUUUAAUCAUAAUAUAUUUCAAUUAAUUUUUUAUUAUUUGAAAUUUCAAUUACUUUUUAUUAUUUAAAAUUUUUAAUUAUAAAAAAUUAGAUAAAAUGAUUUUUUAGGGAGUAUCAUUAAUAUUAGAAUAAAUAAUAAAUAAAUUUUACUAAUAGAGAACCUUUUAAAAACUACCAAAUAAUACAAUUAGUAUUGUUGAAUAAAAAAUAAUUAAAAAGUAUUAAAGAUAAUUAGAAUUGGAUUAUAAAAUAAAUAUUGGUAAUGGGCCCACAUAAUAACAGACAUGAUUUUUAUUUUGUUGUUGUUCAAGUGGUACUUGUAGUACCCAUUUAAAAAAUGAAAAUUGAAAAUCAUGAAUGCCUUGUUGUCCAAUUUUCUUCUCUAAAGUUAGAGAAUGAGAUUAAACAUUCUUACUUGAAAUUAAAUAUCAUAAAAUAAGUGUAUCAAACAAAUUUUACAUUGUUUUUUUUUUCUUGAAAAAUGAAAAAUAGCAAAACAUAAAUAAUAUCAAAUACAUGCUUAUCUUCUAAAAAAAAAAAUAGCCAUUGGACUAAUUAAUCAAUGCUGACAGGUAUUCACAAUAAUAUUGAGGACACUAUUUGAAUUUCAUGGCUUUUUUUUACUCAUUUUCUCAACAGUAUAAAGUAAAUUUUUUGAGUAUUUACUAAGACGUGAUAGAAUUUCAAGUUAGUCUUAAUAUACUUUGGGUUGCUUACAAAAGUAAUUAUAAGUUUUAUAUUAAUUUACUUGUUUUAUCCUCCAUUUACAUUUGUGCUUUAUUUUGCACUUAAUGUUAAUUUACAAGUUUUAUGUUAUAUUACAAGUUUUUGUUUUAUUUACUAAUAAUAUAUCAAUUUACGAGUUUUAUAUUAAUUUACUCAUUUUACCUUCAAUUUACAAGUUUUAUGUUUAAUUUCUAAAAUUUAUGUAUUUUACAAUUAAUAUUGAUUUACAAGUUUUAUAUUUUAUUUACAUAAAUUAUGUUUAAUUACAGUAUUGAUACCGUUACUUUAAUCAAGGCAUAAUAGAAAGAGCCUUCUUUCUAAAAUACACUUAUAAAAUGAAAAUUUGAAAAUGUGUGAGUUGUUUAAAAAGUGAAGACGGUAAAAGAGAGUGAGAAAAAAAUACAUACCAUGAUAUAAUAUUUAGAUGAACUAAAAUUAUUUUUAAUCAUAAUAUAUUUCAAUUAAUUUUUUAUUAUUUGAAAUUUCAAUUACUUUUUAUUAUUUAAAAUUUUUAAUUAUAAAAAAUUAGAUAAAAUGAUUUUUUAGGGAGUAUCAUUAAUAUUAGAAUAAAUAAUAAAUAAAUUUUACUAAUAGAGAACCUUUUAAAAAUUACCAAAUAAUACAAUUAGUAUUGUUGAAUAAAAAAUAAUUAAAAAGUAUUAAAGAUAAUUAGAAUUGGAUUAUAAAAUAAAUAUUGGUAAUGGGCCCACAUAAUAACAGACAUGAUUUUUAUUUUGUUGUUGUUCAAGUGGUACUUGUAGUACCCAUUUAAAAAAUGAAAAUUGAAAAUCAUGAAUGCCUUGUUGUCCAAUUUUCUUCUCUAAAGUUAGAGAAUGAGAUUAAACAUUCUUACUUGAAAUUAAAUAUCAUAAAAUAAGUGUAUCAAACAAAUUUUACAUUGUUUUUUUUUUCUUGAUUGAGUGUAACAUACACACACUCACACCAACAGUGUUAAUGAUGAGACUUGUUACUGUUGCUGUGAGUGUGUGUAUGUUACACUCAUCGUAACAUAGGGUGACCCUUUAUUUUAUUGUUAAUGUUGAUUUACUAGCUUUAAGUUAUAUUUGCAAGUUUUUGUUUUGUUUACUAGUAAUACAUUAAUUUACUAGUUUUAUAUUAAUUUACUUGUUUUAUCCUCCAUUUACAUUUGUGCUUUAUUUUGCACUUAAUGUUAAUUUACAAGUUUUAUGUUAUAUUACAAGUUUUUGUUUUAUUUACUAAUAAUAUAUCAAUUUACGAGUUUUAUAUUAAUUUACUCAUUUUACCUUCAAUUUACAAGUUUUAUGUUUAAUUUCUAAAAUUUAUGUAUUUUACAAUUAAUAUUGAUUUACAAGUUUUAUAUUUUAUUUACAUAAAUUAUGUUUAAUUACAGUAUUGAUACCGUUACUUUAAUCAAGGCAUAAUAGAAAGAGCCUUCUUUCUAAAAUACACUUAUAAAAUGAAAAUUUGAAAAUGUGUGAGUUGUUUAAAAAGUGAAGACGGUAAAAGAGAGUGAGAAAAAAAUACAUACCAUGAUAUAAUAUUUAGAUGAACUAAAAUUAUUUUUAAUCAUAAUAUAUUUCAAUUAAUUUUUUAUUAUUUGAAAUUUCAAUUACUUUUUAUUAUUUAAAAUUUUUAAUUAUAAAAAAUUAGAUAAAAUGAUUUUUUAGGGAGUAUCAUUAAUAUUAGAAUAAAUAAUAAAUAAAUUUUACUAAUAGAGAACCUUUUAAAAACUACCAAAUAAUACAAUUAGUAUUGUUGAAUAAAAAAUAAUUAAAAAGUAUUAAAGAUAAUUAGAAUUGGAUUAUAAAAUAAAUAUUGGUAAUGGGCCCACAUAAUAACAGACAUGAUUUUUAUUUUGUUGUUGUUCAAGUGGUACUUGUAGUACCCAUUUAAAAAAUGAAAAUUGAAAAUCAUGAAUGCCUUGUUGUCCAAUUUUCUUCUCUAAAGUUAGAGAAUGAGAUUAAACAUUCUUACUUGAAAUUAAAUAUCAUAAAAUAAGUGUAUCAAACAAAUUUUACAUUGUUUUUUUUUUCUUGAAAAAUGAAAAAUAGCAAAACAUAAAUAAUAUCAAAUACAUGCUUAUCUUCUAAAAAAAAAAAUAGCCAUUGGACUAAUUAAUCAAUGCUGACAGGUAUUCACAAUAAUAUUGAGGACACUAUUUGAAUUUCAUGGCUUUUUUUUACUCAUUUUCUCAACAGUAUGAAGUAAAUUUUUUGAGUAUUUACUAAGACGUGAUAGAAUUUCAAGUUAGUCUUAAUAUACUUUGGGUUGCUUACAAAAGUAAUUAUAAGUUCUCUAUAAUUUUAGUUAUUACAUGUAAGCACUUGAUUGCCCACCUAAGGAUUUAACCAAUUUUUAAUUAGUUUCAUUUGAUUGACAAUUGGAGUUCCAAUCCUACAAAGAUUAUAAGAAAAAAAUUGAUUUGGAUUUUACCCAUCCUUUAAAAAACACAUAAAAAAAAUUGUAAGCAUGUGACUAUCAUUAUUUACAAUAUAGUUACGACAAGAAGUCUGCAAGAAUCUCAUUGCAGAUUAGAUUAAUUUUCAAGUAUUUAGAAAAAAAAAUCACUACAAUAUCUCACUUAAAUACUUAAAAGAUGAUUCAUCGAGUAAUUUCCAUACUUAUGUCCUAUUUAGGAUUGAGGUUGAACGGUUGUAGCGUAAAAAGAAUAGCACUAAAGUAUUUGGUAAAAAAAGUAGCACUAAAGUAUUUGGUAAACACUAGCUGAUAUAGCUUGAAAACUAAAUUGAUUUGAUUUUAUACUUGUAUGAUGAAAAAUUUAUUAUAUCUUUACUACUUUUUUAAAAAUUAUUUUUAAAAAAUUAUAUUUAUUACAUAUUAUUAACUUUUACUUUAUAAUGACAGCAUUUUUUUUCAUAACAACUGUAACUCAAAAGGUACAGUAUUUCAAUACCAAACAUGACCUUAGACCCUAAUUCUAAGAUAAUAGACUGAUCAAAAGACAAUAUUUCCCUUACAAAUUGCUAUAGAGCCAGAUAGUUCAAAAGAGAUAAUUAAAAUAUUAGGAUGCGGACAGUAUUGUUUUCAAAUCUAAUUUUCUAUUUUCUAAAUUCAGAAAAUACUAGAUAAGUAUUCACAAAUGAUACUGAAUAUAUUUUAAAAUUUAAAAAUAACAUUUUCAUUGUUAUUUUUAUUUCAAGAAAACAACAUUUGGAAAACAAUAUCAAAUAGGGCCUUAACCUUCACAAAAAAAAAAAAAAAAAAUUACUUUUUUUUGUCAAAAUUUUUUGAAAGACAGAGUGAUAGUCAUGGGCGGCUCCUCCUGGGCAAUUAUGAAGCCUGUCCUAGACCAUUACUUUUCCUUUAAAAUGUACCUUGAGCUCCUUCUAAAAAAAUUAAAUAAAAAGAAUUUGGGCAUAUUUUUUAUAUAACAAAAUACUUGUAAUUUAGUGAUAAUUGUACUUUUUAGUGGUUUUAGAGACUCGGUUCAAAUUUCAAUAGCCAUAUAAUUUUAUUUCUCUACAUAUUUCGUUCUCAAAAACUCAAAUUCUAUUUUUCCUCAAAAAUUUUAAAAAUAAUAGUAAUAUGUUGUUUAUUUUAAAUGUUGAACCUCAUUAUGAACAUUGAAAAAAAAAAUAAAUACUCCAACUUAAAUUAAAACUUUUUGAACUAAAUCCUACUUUAAGUGUUUGGGUUUAAUCCAUAUCUAGGGAUGGCAAAAACGGGGUCCGGGUCCGUGUUUGGCAUUUCCGGUUCAGGACCCAGAUGCCAAUUCUCCUUCCCGGAUCCGGAUAAAAACCCGCAUUUUCUUUCUCCGGGUCCGGUACGGGUUCAACCCGGAAAAUCCGGGUUUCCGGAUUGCGGGUUUUAAACCCGGAAAGUUGGAGGCUGGAAGAAUGAAGCCUUUGUGCAUGCCCCUUUUGACUCUGUACAAGAGUAGAUUAGCUGUUUCUUUGAGGUGUCGGUUGAGACACCGGCGAGUCCAGGAGGCAGCGGCCAUGAAAGCAGUGAGCAAGGUUUGAGAUCCAGCAUCCACGAACAAUAGAGAAAUGAGAUCGAGCGGCGGCAAGAGUGGAUUAGCAUUUUAUACUUGUAUGAUGAAAAAUUUAUUAUAUCUUUACUACUUUUUUAAAAAUUAUUUUUAAAAAAUUAUAUUUAUUACAUAUUAUUAACUUUUACUUUAUAAUGACAGCAUUUUUUUUCAUAACAACUGUAACUCAAAAGGUACAGUAUUUCAAUACCAAACAUGACCUUAGACCCUAACCAGCAUCCAAGAACAAGAGAAAAAUGAGAUCGAAUUUGAUGAGAGAUGAGAGAUAAGGUUGAAUUUGAUGGUGCCAAAGAUUGUUUGUUGCUUUUGAUGAUGAAUUGACAAUGAUUUAAAUUGAUGUUGAGGAUGAUAUUGAUUGUUAUUAUUGUUGCUGAUGAAUUGACGAUGGGUGAUGAUGAUGAAUUGAAUUGAUGUCGAGGAAGAGGACAAUAAAGGUGGCGGCUGGGGUGGGGAUUUAGGGUUUCUUUUCGUUUCUUUCCUUUUUUUUUUUUAACUUUUGGCUUUUAUAUUUAUAUUUAAUAAUAAAAAUUAAUUAAUUAAUUAUUAAUACUGUAGUGCAUGUCCGGGUUCUCAGAAUUCGGGUACCCGCAACCGGACCCGCAUGUAUCCGGAUUUAAAAAAAUACUACUCGAAUUUGUAUUUUUAUGCACCCAGAGCGGGUUUAACCCGGACCGGAUCAUCCGGGUUUAUCCGGAUCCGGGCCGAGUCUGAAAAAAUUUGCCAUCCCUGGACCAUAUCAGAUGCUGUAAUGGGUGACGCAAAUAAGUGGGCCUUUGCCCGUGGUGCAGGCGAAGCCGGCGCAGCCCUUGAUUUGGCUUUUUUAGUGGAGAAUUAUUAUUCUCUAAAAAUUCAUUUUUUUUUAAUUAUAAGACCGUAGUAGAUUUUCAAGUUGGCCUCAAUAUAUUUUUGGUAGCAAUCAUAAAUUCUCUUUAAUAUUAAUUAUUACAUAUAACCAUUUAAUUGAUCGUUCAUUAGAUCUAGACGCAUUCCAUUACAUUAUUGACAUUACGAGUUUGUGAGGCCCGCUGUGAGUCAGUCAUCAUACUCCCACAUCUUGUUAAUGUGACAGCCCUUAGCCGCCAGUUUGGGCCAACUUUUAAUUGUUCGAUUGGAAAGAUUUUAAAAUAUUUGUGAAGCAUUAUGCCAGUAAUAUAAUCAAGGAAAAAUGACUAACACAUCCUCAAUAUUUAGACAAAGAAAUAAAAAUUUCAUAAUAUUUUAAAAAAUAUAUUUACACCCCUAUUAUUAAUGGAAACAAUUAUUUUUAACGGAAAUAGUAAUUUUAAUAUAUAAUUACAGUUAUACCUUUCUGACACAUAAAAAAAUAAUUAUUAAUUAUCCAAUUUGUCCAUAUAUUAUUAAUAAAAUUAUAAAUAUACCCUCAUUGCUCAAAUAAUUGUUUAAAUUUUUAUCAAAUUCUCUCAUCAAGCCAAAUAAAUUUAAUCCAUUACUCAAGAAUAAAAAUAAAUAAAAUUAGUUAUUAAUGCCAUAAGAAUAACAAUUCUCUAUAUGUCAAUCAUUUUAAUUUGUAUAAUCAACAAAAUAAAAAAAAAGGCUGGUUACAACAAUAAUUACAAAAAUCUUAUCUUAAUUGUAUUAAAUAACACAUCCAAUAGACAUAAAAAUUGAUAAUGGAUUAAAUUUAUUUGGCUUGAAGAGAUAAUUUGAUAAAAAAUUAAACAGAGGAAUUGGUCAAUGAGGGCAUAUUUAUAAUUUUAUUAAUAAUUUAUGGACAAAUUAGAUAAUUAACAAUUAUAUUUUUAUAUGCUAGAAUGGUAUAACGAUAAUUAUAUAUUAAAAUUACUAUUUUCGUUAAAAGUAACUGUUUUCGUUAGUGAAUAGGGGUGUAAAUGUCUUUUUUAAAAUGCUAGGGGGAUUUUUGUCCCUUUAUCUAAAUGUUGGAGUUGUGUUUGUCAUUUUUCCUAUAAUUAAUAAAUAACAUUAUGACGUAUCGAUUAUUUAUCUAACUACUCUCUUGUGUGAUUUUGUAAAGUUAAUGAGGUAAAUGCUAACAUAUUCCAUUACGUUAGCAUUACGAGUUUUGAGAGGCCCGCAUAGGGAUGGCAAUGGGCACCGCCCGCAGCGGGUUUUAAUUUUUUUACAAAAACCCACCCGCAGCGGGUUUUAACAAUUACCAAACCCGCAAUGGUAUCUGACGGAUUUUUUGCGGGUUUCCGUAUUUAAAAUCACAAAUGUUUAAUAUAUAAAUUUAUAAUAAUAACCUCAAAUUCCAUAUAACAUACUCAAUUUUAUAUUUAAAUAAUGUAAAUGAAAAAUUAAAAUUUCCACAUCAAUUCAACACAAAUUCUCAAAUUUAAGUAUAAAUUACACAAAUCCAUUUAAAAAACACAAACUAGUAUCUAAAAAUAAUAAUUACAUUUCAUAUUAUCAUUUAAAACAAGCUCCAAGAGAAGAUAUUCAUUUCAUUCACCACCAUAAGCACCCAUCCAACACAAUGCCUAUAAUAAUAAUUAAGAUUAAUAUUUUCAAAUACUAAUUCGAAGGAAAAUGCCUUUAGUUUUCUUUAGAUUAUGACUUUAGAAUAGGAUAUAGGCCACAUACACACAUACACAACUUUGAGCCUUUGGCUAUUUGGUAAUUUAAUUAAUGACAUUAUUUUCUUUAUACAUUUUUAGAUUAAAAUUAAAUUAAAAAUAUUUGAAAAAAAUAUUGCGGGUUUGGUGGAUAUCCAUGCUAUUUGGUAAUUUGAUUAAUGACAUUAUUUUCUUUAUACAUUUUUAGAUUAAAAUUAAAUUAAAAAUAUUUGGAAAAAAUAUUGCGGGUUUGGUGGAUAUCCAUGCGGGUAUCCACCGGAUAUAAGGUUAUACCAAAUCCACCCGCAUCCAUGUGCGGGUUUUAAUUUAUAAUACUAAACCCGCCCACAACGGGCGAAUUUUUACGGGUGGGUUUGGGCGGGUUUGUGGGUUUGCGGGUACAAUUGCCAUCCCUAAGCCCGCAGAGCAAUAUAUACAUAUAUAGAUUGUUCGCUUAGAAACAGCAACCUCACUCAACAGAAAGUUGAGAGGAUAAUAGAAGAGAAAUGGCGGGGGCAGUGAAGAGAAUCAAGCUGGGUUCACAAGGUCUAAGAGGUUUCAGCGCAAGGCUUAGGAUUCAUGGGCAUGUCCGCCUUCUACGGGCCCCGAAGCCCGAAUCCGAUAUGAUAGCCUUGAUCCACCAUGCCAUUGACAGUGGCAUCACUUUACUUGACACUUCCGAUUCUUACGGACCUCACACAAAUGAAAUCCUUCUGGGCAAAAGUAUUUAUAAGUUCUCUAUAAUUUUAGUUAUUACAUGUAAGCACUUGAUUUAACCAGUUUUUAAUUAGUUUCAUUUGACUGACUAUUGGAGUUCGAAUCCUACAAAGAUUAUAAGAAAAAAAUUGAUUUGGAUUUUACCCAUCCUUUAAAAAACACAUAAAAAAUUUGUAAGCAUGUGACUAUCAUUAUUGACAAUAUAGUUACGACAAGAAGUCUGCAAGAAUUUCAUUACAGAUUAGAUUAAUUUUCAAGUAUUUAGAAAAAAAAAUCACUAUAAUAUCUCACUCAAAUACUUAAAAGAUUAUUCAUCGAGUGAUUUUCAUACUUAUGUCCUAUUUGGGAUUGAGAUUGAACGGCUAUAGUGUAAAAAGAAUAGCACUAAAGUAUUUGGUAAAAAGAAUAGCAUUAAAGUAUUUGGUAAACACUGGCCGGUAUAGCGUGAAAACUAAGUUGAUUUGAUUUUAUACUUGUAUGAUGAAAAAUUUAUUAUAUCUUUACUAAUUUUUAAAAAAUUAUUAUUUAAAAAUUAUAUUUAUUACAUAUUAUUAACUUUUACUUUAUAAUUACAAUAUUUUUUUCAUAACAAUUGUAACUCAAAAGGUACAGUACUUCAAUACCAAACAUAACCUUAGACCCUAGUUCUAAGAUAAUAGAAUGAUCAAAAGACAAUAUUUCCCUUACAAAUUGCUAUAGAGCCAGAUAGUUCAAAAGAGAUAAUUUAAAUAUUAGGGUGCGUACAAUAUUGUUUUCAAAUCUAAUUUUUUAUUUUCUAAAUUCAGAAAAUACUAGAUAAGUAUUCAAAAAUGAUACUAAAUAUAUUUUAAAAUUUAAAAAUAACAUUUUCAUUGUUAUUUUUAUUUCAAGAAAACAACAUUUGGAAAACAGGCCUUAAGCUUCACAAAAAAAAAAAAAAAAUUACUUUUUUUUGUCAAAAUUUUUUGGAAGAUAGUGACAGUCAUGGGCGGCUCCUCCUGGGCAAUUAUGAAGCCUUUCCUAGACCAUUACUUUUCCUUUAAAAUGUACCCUGAGCUCUUUCUAAAAAAAUUAAAUAAAAAGAAUUUGGGCAUAUUUUUUAUAUAACAAAAUACUUAUAAUUUAGUGAUAAUUGUGCUUUUUAGUAAUUUUAGAGACUUGGUUCAAAUUUCAAUAGCCAUAUAAUUUUAUUUCUCUAUAUAUUUCAUUCUCAAAAACUCAAAUUCUAUUUUUCCUCUUAAAUUUUAAAAAUAAUAGUAAUAUGUUGUUUAUUUUAAAUGUUGAACCUCAUUAUAAACAUUGAAAAAAAAGAAAAAUAAAUACUCCAACUUAAAUUAAAACUUUUUGAACUAAAUCCUACUUUAAAGUGUUUGGGUUUAAUCCAUAUCAGAUGCUGUAAUGGGUGACGCAAAUAAGUGGGCCUUUGCUCGUGGUGCAGGCGAAGCCGGCGCAGCCCAGGAUUUGGCUUUUUUAGUGGAGAAUUAUUAUUACUCCCACAUCUUGUUAAUUUCUAGGAUUUCUAAUAUAAAGCAGAUGAGAUGUUGCAAAGUCAUGCCAUGUGGGACAGUGGGAUCAACAGCGCCUUCAACAUUUAUAUUGUAAAUCCACGGUGGGAUCCAAAAUAUUUCCACGACCACACAUGCAAACACUUGAUUAUGACUCCAAAUCUCCAAUUUAAUUAAUUUAUUAAUCUUUUAAUUUUUUUGGUCCACUCAAAUUCAGUAAUCAUCUCAUGAGAGCGAUAUUAGUACAUUUAUAUAAUCAAAUACAUCCAGCACCACAAAGUCCAGAUUCCAAGGGCAGAUCUUAAAAUCAUAGAAAUAAUCAAAUAAAUAGUGGAUACUAGUUGACAUUCCCAAUUUGCCACUGGCCAUGUUAUUAUACUUUAUGUUAAAAACAGAUUAAAGGCAAUGGAUUUUGCCAAGUCUUUGUUGAACAAGUUCCAGCUUUACAGGUCUCAAGCCAAGGAAGCAACCAACUUGAGUAGAAGCCAAUAUUUCUUUUGGUCCCAUGAAAGACCUGGCUUCUCAAGUGCUUCCAUUAUCAUGAUAUGAUAAAAUCAUACUCCCACAUCUUGUUAAUUUGACAGCCCUUAGCCGCCAGUUUGGGCCAACUUUUAAUUGUUCGAUUGGAAAGAUUUUAAAAUAUUUGUGAAGCAUUAUGCCAGUAAUAUAAUUAAGGGAAAAUGACUAACACACCCUCAAUAUUUAGACAUAGGGACAAAAAUUUUCUAACAUUUUAAAAAAGAUAUUUACGUCCCCAUUCACUAAUAGAAACAAUUAUUUUUAACGAAAAUAGUAAUUUUAAUAGAUAAUUACCGUUAUACCCUUCUAACACAUAAAAAAAUAAUUGUUAAUUGUCCAAUUUGUCCAUAUAUUAUUAAUAAAAUUACAAAUAUACCCUCAUUGCUCAAAUAAUUGUUUAAAUUUUUAUCAAAUUCUCUCAUCAAGCCAAAUAAAUUUAAUCCAUUACUCAAGAAUAAAAAUAAAUAAAAUUAGUUAUUAAUGCCAUAAGAAUAACAAUUCUCUACAUGUCAAUCAUUUUAACUUGUAUAAUCAACAAAAUAAAAAAAAAGGCUGGUUACAACAAUAAUUACAAAAAUCUUAUCUUAAUUGUAUUAAAUAACAUAUCCAAUAGACAUAAAAAUUGAUAAUGGAUUAAAUUUAUUUGGCUUGAAGAGAGAAUUUGAUAAAAAAUUAAAUAGAGGAAUUGGCCAAUGAGGGUAUUUUUGUAAUUUUAUUAACAAUAUAUGAACAAAUCAGAUAAUUAAUAAUUAUAUUUUUAUGUGCUAGAAUAGUAUAACGGUAAUUAUAUAUUAAAAUUAUUAUUUUCGUUAAAAAUAACUGUUUUCAUUAGUGAAUAGAGGUGUAAAUUUCUUUUUCAAAACGUUAGAGAUAUUUUUAUCCCUUUAUCUAAAUGUUAGAGUUGUGUUUGUCAUUUUUCCUAUAAUUAAUAAAUAACAUUAUGACGUAUCGAUUAUUUAUCUAACUAUUCUCUUGUGUGAUUUGUAAAGUUAAUGAGGUAAAUGCUAACGUAUUCCAUUACGUUAGCAUUACGAGUUUUGAGAGGCCCGCAGAGCAAUAUAUCUACAUUGUUCGCUUAGAAACAGCAACCUCACUCAACAGAAAGUUGAGAGGAUAAUAGAAGAGAAAUGGCGGGGGCAGUGAAGAGAAUCAAGCUGGGUUCACAAGGUCUAGAGGUUUCAGCGCAAGGCUUAGGAUGCAUGGGCAUGUCCGCCUUCUACGGGCCCCCGAAGCCCGAAUCCGAUAUGAUAGCCUUGAUCCACCAUGCCAUUGACAGUGGCAUCACUUUACUUGACACUUCCGAUUCUUACGGACCUCACACAAAUGAAAUCCUUCUGGGCAAGGUAAUAUAAUUUAUCUUCUAUUUCCUUCCUUUAAUUUCAAAAGGGUAUGUUUGGAAUUGGCAAAUAAUAAUAUAUUGGCUUUGAUUAAUUUGGUUUUGGGAUUAGGCUCUGAAAGGAGGGUACAGAGGAAGAGUUGAAUUGGCUACUAAAUUUGGUAUCAGAUAUGAGGAUGGCCAGUACUCAUACUGUGGGGAUCCUGCUUAUGUAAGAGCUGCAUGUGAGGCCAGCUUGAAGCGUCUGGAUGUUGACUGUAUUGAUCUUUAUUACCAACAUCGCAUUGACACUAAAGUCCCCAUUGAAGUCACGGUUUGUCGCUUUUAAUUUAUAUAUUUGUCUCAAUCAUGCAUGUUAAACUAUAUUAGUCUGUUAGCCUCUGGGUAGCUCGGCUGCCAAUGAAUAUGAAACACAGAAUAUUUAAAAAUACAGACAUGGGUCACUUCGGUGGGUGAGGUUUCUGUUAUCAUGUACUAAUUCUUUUACUUGUGUUGUUUUUGUAAGAUUGGGGAACUCAAGAGACUAGUUGAAGAGGGUAAAAUAAAGCAUAUAGAUCUAUCGGAGGCUUUUGCUUCAACAAUUAGACGGGCUCACACCAUCCAUCCAAUAACAGUUGUGCGCUUGGAAUGGUCCUUGCGGUCGCGAGAUGUGAAGGAAGAGAUGUGAAGGAAGAGAUUGACUAUGAGUAGAUGAUUUAACAUUUGCAUGCUAACGCAAUUUUGGUGGUUGCUCUGCUCAGGGAACUUGGCAUUGGAAUUGUUGCUUACAAUCUUCUAGAAUGUGAGUUUCUUUCAUCCGGACCAAAGUUGAUACACCUCUUUGCAACCAAAGGAUGCAUCGGUUAAGUUUACAUUGUUCGCUUAGAAACAGCAACCUCACUCAACAGAAAGUUGAGAGGCUAAUAGAAGAGAAAUGGCGGGGGCAGUGAAGAGAAUCAAGCUGGGUUCACAAGGUCUAGAGGUUUCAGCGCAAGGCUUAGGAUGCGUGGGCAUGUCCGGCUUCUACGGGCCCCCGAAGCCCGAAUCCGAUAUGAUAGCCUUGAUCCACCAUGCCAUUGACAGUGGCAUCACUUUACUUGACACUUCCGAUUCUUACGGACCUCACACAAAUGAAAUCCUUCUGGGCAAGGUAAUAUAAUUUAUCUUCUAUUUCCUUCCUUUAAUUUCAAAAGGGUAUGUUUGGAAUUGGCAAAUAAUAAUAUAUUGACUUUGAUUAAUUUGGUUUUGGGAUUAGGCUCUGAAAAGAGGGUACAGAGGAAGAGUUGAAUUGGCUACUAAAUUUGGUAUCAGAUAUGAGGAUGGCCAGUACUCAUACUGUGGGGAUCCUGCUUAUGUAAGAGCUGCAUGUGAGGCCAGCUUGAAGCGUCUGGAUGUUGACUGUAUUGAUCUUUAUUACCAACAUCGCAUUGACACUAAAGUUCCCAUUGAAGUCACGGUUUGUCGUUUUUAAUUUAUAUAUUUGUCUCAAUCAUGCAUGUUAAACUAUAUUAGUCUGUUAGCCUCUGGGUAGCUCGGCUGCCAAUGAAUAUGAAACACAGAAUAUUUAAAAAUACAGACAUGGGUCACUUCGGUGGGUGAGGUUUCUGUUAUCAUGUACUAAUUCUUUUACUUGUGUUGUUUUGUAAGAUUGGGGAACUCAAGAAACUAGUUGAAGAGGGUAAAAUAAAGUAUAUAGGUCUAUCGGAGGCUUCUGCUUCAACAAUUAGACGAGCUCACGCCGUCCAUCCAAUAACAGCUGUGCAGUUGGAAUGGUCCUUGUGGUCACGAGAUGUGGAGGAAGAGAUUGUUCCUACUUGCAGGUAAGGCAUUAUUUGGACCAAAUGAAUUGUUUUGACCUAGUUGAAAGGAAAAGAAAUUAUGAGUAGAUGAUUUAACAUUUGCAUGCUAACGCAAUUUUGGUGGUUGCUCUGCUCAGGGAACUUGGCAUUGGAAUUGUUGCUUACAGUCCUCUAGGACGUGGGUUUCUUUCAUCCGGACCAAAGUUGGUUGAAAGCAUUGCACCGGAUGAUUCUAGACAUGUCCGUAAGCCUACCAUGCAUUUAUUAUUCGAUGUCUGCAAGCAUGUUUAAAACCUUCUCUCAUGAUACUCUACAGUGACUUGCAUACUAUUUUAUCUUAUAAACCUCUGAUAUUUAUCUAGAGCCAUAGUUAUAGUUAUUCUAACCUAACCCGGUAGGACUUGUUUAAGAAUUCUCUUUCUUAGAUAUUCUACUAGUUCAUUUCGAUCGUCUAAUUACACUGAAGUUGCCUGUGUAUGGAUUGCAUCGAGAGGAUUGAGGAAAAAUGAAAAUUCAAUUACUAAGGACUGAAUACACUGUAAUCCUUUUUGAAGUGACUUGUCUACCAAAACUUAUUCAUCAUUAGCUAAAUGUUUGGUGUUUACUAAUCAUGUAUUUUUACUUUCAUCAUAUUUACAUUACUUGUCUUCUUUAUUACACAUUCAUUCUCAUUUAGCAAUACAAUAAUAAUUCUUGUUUAGUUUUACUCUAUAGCUCUGAAAUUCUUCAUAGAUUUCAAUUGUUUCCCUCAGAUUAUGUUCAUUAACCUCCUCAAAUAUGAGCAAAAGCUUUCUUUGCAUUGAAAAUAUGAGGAAUUAUCUAUGCAAUGACUUCAUUGAUGGACAGAAAAUUUUAACAUGACUGAUUCAAUUUAUAUACAUGAUAAUACCCCUUAAGUUGUAUAGAGGUGAAAAAAAAAUGAGGGAAAAAAAUUGUUCCAUUACCUCAAAACUAUUACUGGAUGCUCAAGAAGUUUAGCUGUAACGACUCUUCCAAACUUCUACAUCCUUGUGGCAGUUUCCAUUUUUGUUAUAUUGCUUUGCCUAUGCACGUCAAUGUGAAAUCAAUUGACAAGUCCAAGGAGAGUUUAUUUCUUGUGAGACCUUUGUCUAACAUGCCAAAAUGUUUUACUAUAAACAUCCUCCACCUAGGAGAAGUCCCCGACUAGUCCUUUUUCUUUGUUUUCUGGUCUAUUGAAUUUUACAUAAACCUCCUCUAAAAUCAUGCUUUAUCCAAAAUGAUGUUCUUUUUUUUAAUGAUUCAAUUGCAGUUCAGUUUUGGUACUGAGCUGUUUUCUAAAUCUUGCAGCAUCUACCGAGGUUCCAACCUGAAAAUUUAGAGCAUAACAAAAAGCUAUUUGAACGUGUUAAUGAAAUAGCAGUAAAGAAAGGAUGCACCCCAUCUCAGCUUGCAUUAGCAUGGGUUCAUCACCAAGGAAAUGACGUGUGUCCGAUUCCUGGAACCACUAAGAUUGAAAACCUGAAUCAAAAUAUUAAAGCUCUGUCAGUGAAACUUUCUCCAGAAGAAAUGGCUGAGCUUGAAUCCAUUGCUUCAGCAGAUGCUGUAAGGGUUCAUCGGUAUGGGGGUGUCACUCCUACCUACGAAGACUCUGAAACUCCACCUCUGUCUUCGUGGAAACCUUCAUAAAGGGCAUUGGUAUUCUGCUUCUUAGUACCGAUUUUGCAAUUGCAUGUAGUUCCUAGGUUCUGUUGUGGGUAAAAUCAUUGUGUUCUCAUACGAGACCCUAUCAGUACCUUUCUGCACUUUCCACAAGCAUUUAGUGAAUAUUGUAUUGAGUUCCUAUGCAGUGUUGUAAGUAAAACUAAAUCAUUGUAUCUUCUGCAGUGAGCGCAAAAACAAUGUAAUGUGUUUAUGCAAAUAUAUGAGAAACAAUAACAAAUCAAAAUGGAGUAAUAUUUAUCUGAAAUUUCUGGAAGUUUAGAUGAUCUGAAUCAGGGGCGAAGUCAGAAAAAAUAUCUUGGGUAGGCUAAAUUUUUUCCAAAUCCAAAUAUUAUCUUGGUUAAAAAUAUAAAUUUGAAAGAAAAUUUUGUUAUACAUAAGAAAAUAUAUCAUGUCUAAGAAGUAAUUUACCAUACUUUCGAGAAUUAAAUCCAUCUAUUAUCGAAUUUAAAUUGACGGUGUUUAUAAAUUCUCUUUUAACGUAGAUAACUAUACAAUUUGAUAAAAAUUCCUUCUCUUCCUUAUUUUGAAGUCGUGUCUAUGCUCGUUUGGGUGUUUCAGUCAAAACAUGGUAUAGUUAUAAAAGAAGUUAGAAGAAAUAAUCACAAAUUUACUAAUAAAAGCCAUAGAACCGUCAAUCUGUCACUACGACACAUUAACACUAUCCAGAAGCCAAACAAUAAGUUCAAUUAACAAAUUAACUUUAUGUAUAAUGUACUGAAUUGAAUCUAUGAUCCAUCUCUAUCAAUUAUCAAUUUCAAAUAUCUCUAAUCUAUCAAUAAUUAAUUUAAAUUUUUGAAUGCUAGAAUUUAAUGGCUAAAUUAUCUUCAUUUGACCCAACAAUAAUUUAAUUUUACACAAUGAAAUUGGAACAAGAAUUAAAUAAUAUAAUCUUUAGUCUUUACUACCUAACAAUUAAUAAGUGUACUGUAAAUGAUUGAAUAAACAAUAAAUGUAUUAUCUAUUCUUGUCAAGAAGAAGACGAAGAACUGAAGAAGCCAAGAAAGAAAGCACGUUCUGGAAUCUUGAAUGAAGUAAAUGCUCCCUUUUUUGUGUAUAUUUAUUUGAAUGACAAAAUUGUAAAUUAAUAGAGUGGUACUACUGUAAAUAAAAUAGUGGCAAUUUUAUAAACUUUGCAUUAUGAUAUUUUUGUAAAUUUUCUAAAAAUUUCCCAACCCACUUGGAGCCUCACCACUGAUGUGAAGAGCAAUGCUAGAUGUCCCAACAUAAGUCUUAAUUUGAAUUCCUACUGACGUGGAAUUCAUCUAUUGAAUGGUGGUUAAAUAAUUUUACUAGAUAUUACAUCCAUUAUUCAAUUGAUGAGUGACACAUAUCAUUGCGAGUCAAAUUGAGACUCAAAUGUUAGGAUCCUAAACAUUAUUGCUGAUCUAAAUUUAUUGUAGCAUUAUAUGUUUCUUGUUGUUGCACGUGACAUCCUUCCUCAACAAAAAAUUAUUCAAUGAUUUCAGAUCAAUCGAAUACUUUUACUGUGUUACAAAGUGGCCUCUACGAGAUUACCAAAUUGAUUCACAAUUUUUCACAUCAUUUUACCGGAAAUUAAAUUAUUUCAACCAAUUGAUUAUGCUUAGUCAUGGUAAAAACUCAAGUCGGUCCCGGAUAUGGCAAUACUCAAAUUUGGCCCAAGCAUGUUUUUUUUAACAUUGAGGUUGAGCCUAAAACCUCGGCCCCAAAUGGAUUUUCUUUUAUGGGCUUAAAAAAUCCAGAAUUAUAUUUUAUAAUAUUAUAUAUGUAUAUUUGCAAUCACCUCAUAUUGAUAAAAAGUCCAGAGAACAAUUUGAAAUGGAAAUCAAAUCAAGAAACAAUUUCUGGUCAUAAAAGCAGAAACGCAUGAAUUGCGCAAGAAGUUCUUUCGGUUAAAACCUAUACCUGGAGGUGUUCAGAAUCCAAUCCGAUCCACUCAAUCCGAUUCGUAUAAAUCCGAUCCGUGGAUUGGUGGAUUGGAUAUGAAUUUACUUCUGUAAAUCCACAAAAAUCCGUGAAUCCACAAAAAAAAAAAAAAUAUAUAUAUAUAUAUAGAUAAUUAAAUCCGUGGAUUGGAUAUGGAUUGAAAAUUUAAAAAUCUGCAGUCGAUGGAUUGGAUAUGGAUUUACUUCUGUAAAUCUGUGAAUCCGCAAUAUAUAUAUAUAUAUAUAGAUAAUUAAAAAAUUAUUAUAAAUUUAAUUAAAAAAAUUAUAAAUGUGACAUUACAUAGUUACAUAAGCACUAUAACAUAUCUUAGCCAUUACCCAAUAAUAAUAUAAAAUAAAAAAUAAUUAAAUAAUCAAAUAUACAAAUAUAACUUGUAAAAAUUGUAAAACAAAAUAAAAGCAAAGUCACACGCACUAGCAAAAGUAAAGUAACAUAACGUUAAGUCACCAACAAUUUGCAAAGUCACCCAAAAGUAAAAUAACAUGUUGUCAAGUCACCAACAAUUUGCAAACAAAAAACCCUAAGCUUCUCCGUCGUCACACACACUAACAACACUCAAUACUGGUUGGAUACACUCUCGACACGGAUUUGAAGGACAUCGGGCGUGCGAUCCCAGUGAGAGCAAGCCAUCUUCUUUCCCAAGUCCAUCGAGCCACUUCACAUUCACUGGUUCCAGCUGAACAAUUUCACUAUCACAACCUUCAAGAUCGCCACCCGUACGGCUUCUCCUGGUUCCCAUCGUGGACGGCUCAGUAAUCACCACUUUUCGACAGGCGCAACAGCCCUAGUGAAGGAUCAGACCGUGUUUGGUUUCCGAAAAUUCGUCAUUUCAAUUAAUUGUGGCUUUAUUUGAACAAUUAAUUUCGGUGUUAUAUUAACGUAUUAUUGUAACUUUAUUUGAACAAUUAAGCUUGGUGUGUUAUAUUUUGAAACUUUGAACGUAUUAUUGUAGCUUUAUUUGAAUAAUUAGUCUCGAUGUAUUAUAUUUUAAAAAUUUAAAUGUAUUAUUUUAGCUUUAUUUAAAUUAUUUAUUUAUUUAAAUUUAUUCAAUUUUAAAUUUAAUUGGUAGCAAAAUUAUUUUUAUAUUAGAUUUUUUUAUUUCAUUAGUUGGAGAGAACUAAAAAUUUUAAUUCGAAAACUAAUGCGCAAAAUGGUAGAUUGGAUAUGGAUUGAGUCAAAUCUGCAUCUAAUCCGCAGACGUAUGGAUUGGAUAUGGAUUGAGUCAAAUCCGCAUCCGAUCCGCAGAUGUAUGGAUUAGAUUUUGAUUGAAUUUUAUCAAUUUAUGGAUUGGAUUGGAUUAAAAAAUUAUAAUCCGCAAAAUCAUGGAUCGGAUAUGGAUUGAUGUCCAAUUCGUAAAAUCCGAUCCGCGAACACCCCCACCUAUACCUCAUGCACUUUUUAUCCUUUUGAGGUUAAUGCAAAGACCCAAAUGGCCCAGGCUGGGAUGGCUUUCGACCUAAGCGGGUUGCGCUGUAGGGACCUAUUUUAGUUUUAUGAUUUUUAAAUUUUAUUUAAUGAAUUUGGGUUUUCAAAUAUGAACUUUAAAUAUUUAAAAUUUUAAAUAUGUAUAAUCUAUGGGUCAAAUAAAUAUAGUUAUUUAAAAUAAUGUAUUUUAUAAUAUUUUUUCAUAAAAUUCAGGUUUUUGGACGAAUCUAAAUUUAUCAAGUGAAACGUAAACUUGGCCCAGCCUCAUCUUUGGACUAGAUAUUAUUGGCCCGCAUUGCCUAGUCCAAUCUGUAAAAAUAUUUUUCACAGUUCCUAUUGCCUUUCAGGCAUUUCACACAUUUCAUUGCGUAUUUUUUAUGGUUAAUUUGAUCACCUUCUUUGCAGUAAAUGAUAAAUAGAUACAUUUAAGAAUUAAUUCAUCUAAAAAUCAGGGAAAAAAAGCAUAUAUACCCCCUUGGGAACAUUAAUGUUGCUAUAGACCUCCUUGGUUUAAUAAAUAAUCACACAAAUGUUUUUUGAUGAUUAUACACAUCGAUUUUAACAAUCUAAUUAUUAUAUAUUUUAUAAAUUAUUUUGAAUAAAAAAAUUAAUUUAAUAUUAUUAAUCUAUCAUAUAUGUUUUAAUUUAAUAAAAUCUAUUUUGCAGAUCAAUAAUAUUAAAAUACUUGUAUUUAACAUUAAAAAUAAUUUACAAAAUUCUGUAUUAUAUAUCUUAUUUAUUUAUUUUUAUGUUAUGUCUAUAUUAGCUUAAUUUUUUAAGUUUGGGUAGGAUUUUUUUUAAGCCAAUAAAGAAUUAAUCUAUGAAAUACCAGAAUCUACGGUGAGUCAUGAAAAAUAUAAAUUUAAAGAUUUUACUCAAUUUUUUAUUGCUACAAUUUCACUCUAGAGUAAAAUGACAGAUAAAUCAAUAAUAUAUAACAUAUUUAAUAAUACAAUUCAACAGUUUCUUCUAUCAUAUAAACACCCUUUUUUUUCUCAUAAAAAGGGUUUACAUCUAGGGGUGAUAAUAUAGAUAAGGAUUUAUUGAUUCCAUUUGAUUCUAUUUGAAUUAAAAGCAUUUAGGUUUGAAAAAUUACUUCGUCUAAUAAAUGGACAAUUUUGAUUGAAUUUGUUAAGUGAACAAAUUGAAUGUCACACUGAUUUGUUUAUUUUUUUAAGAUCCAUUUAUUGAAUGAUACAAUAAAUAUAAUUAUGCCAAAAAAAAAAGUCUCACUAGUUCAGGACAAAACUACUUUGCAACCGUUGUACCAAACCCUCAAAUUUGGUAUUUUCUUUAACAGUCCCUAUAGUUUUCUGUAAAUAAUAAAAACUAUAAAUUUUAAAAAAUUUAUGCAAUAAGCCCCAAUUAAAAUAUAAUAAUUUCAAAUUAAAAUAAUUAUUUAGUGUUUUCUUUAGCAAUCCCUAUUGUUUUCUAUAAAUAAUAAAAACCAUAUGUUUUAAUAAUUUUAUGUAAUAAGCCCCAAUUAAAAUAUAAUAAUUUUCAAAUUCUAAAAAAUUUAUUCUCUCUAUCUCCUUCUCAAAUUAGUUUUCAUACUUUAAAUCUUAAUUUAUUCAUUAUCAAACAUAUAAUUCUUCUAAAACAUAAAAAAUAAGUCUUCUAACUAUAUAAAUUAGAUUAAUUUCUUAAACACAAAACCUAAAAAACAUAAUACUUGCAUUUUCUCAAAAGAAAUAUAUUGUGUUUAUGUUUUUUUUCUUUACCAUUGUAAUAAAGAAAGAGUUAUAUAUUACUUUAUAUAACAAGAUCUAAUCAAUUAGGGCCUAUUGAAUGUGAUUAAAGAUGGUGGGAUGGGUUUACUUUACUAAAAUUUAAACUCAAUAAGGUGUUUGGCAUGAAUAAGUAAACUAAAAAUAAUACAACUUAGGCUACCAAAUUAUCAUGUGAUAAAUAAUUUUUUUUUUACCCUAAGGAGACCCUAGAAUGAGGUUUUUAGACUAAAUUUUUGUCUUAUGUUAACAACAAAAAUUAAAAAUGUUACGUUAGAAGCCUAAAAAGUUUGUUAAUUUUAAUUUUUUUGAAAGGUAUCCUCCCAUAAUCUAUUAAUUUAAGUUAUUAUUCAUUCUUUACAAUUUUAAAUUUAAGUUUCAUUCUUUAUAAUUUUAAAUUUAAGUAAUAGAAUAAAUAUUAUACAAUGCAUUUGUUUUCACAUUAAAUAAAUAAUUAAUCAGCUUCAUACGUGUAAUAAGGAAUAAAUAAUUUUACAUAAUUUCAAAUUUACAUAUAGAAAUUUAUUAUUUUGAAAAUAUUAUUUAUAAACUCCAUAAUGAAAUUUAAAUGACUAUCCAAGUAUUUAUUUAAUAUUUAUUUAUUUUUCAUUUUGAUAUUGUCAAAAAUUUUAUAAAACCUUAUCCAAUAUUGUAUUACACAAAAAACAAGAUAAUAUUAUUAUAAUCCAAUUGGUAUUUUAAGUAAAUGGAAGUGGAGAGUGUUUUAGCAAAUUAAAAUAAUCCAUCCAUAUUUUUAAUAUAUAAAUGUGUUCAUUUACAAUAAAAUAUUUUACUGGACUAAUGUGUCAAAUUUUGAAAUUUAAUCUUUCCUUAUUUUUUUUAGUAAACAGAAGGGACUGCAUCGUUAAUAGCCAAGAAAGUCCAUCCAUGCCGUUGGAAUAGCUUUUGCAACUCUUGAGUUGAAUCCAAUGGUUGGAUCGCAAAAAGACAAAAAAUAGUGUAUGAAACAAUAUUUUUAUUGUAGCUGGACCCUAAUUCAAAAUAUGAAUGUGGAUUUAAGCUCACUGGUUCGGUUGAAAUUUUGGAGUUAGGAUGGUUCGUUUAUUCUAUUAUUAAUGAAUUUGUAAUUUAAACAUCGAAGUUAGAAACUUUGGAGUUUCAAACUUCUAACCCAAUUCAUUAUAUUGAAUUUACCGACUUUUAACCUAAUUCAUGAAUUCAUUUUGCUACCCUAUUUACAUCUAUACAUGUAUUAGUUCAACAAUUUCUUACAUCAUAUAACCCUAAUUUCUUUUUUACAUUAUAAACAUUUUGUAUAUUUCAUUCAAAAACAUCAUGAUUGUGGAUAUUGAACACUAAAAUAAUUCAGAAAACAUUACAAGGUUAAUUUUUAGUAUUAAGUGGGUUAGUUUAAGUGGAGUAUAUUAUAUUAUACAAAGAGUAGCCUUUUGACACCUUUUUAAGGUUGAGGCUAAUUAACCCUCUAGGUUACUCAUUAAACUCACAUUUUAAUAAACUUAAUUGUUACUAAAAUAUCAAUAACAUAAAUUACAAUUAUAGACAUAUGAUUAUUUGAAAACAAUUAUACUGGUGUUUUAUUCCAUCUUCAAACUCAAUAUGAAUUUAAUCAGUUUUAUAAUACUCGUGUUUUCUUGAAUCUUUAGUCAUUUAUUGAAUUUUUACUCGUCUACACUUUGUAUUCCCUCAAAUUUGUUUGAUAUUUGGAUUAUUUGGCCAAAAGUUUAUUGUUCAUAAAUAACUCCUCCUAAAUCCAACUGAUAAUUUCUUCUCAAUAAUGGAUUCUCUCUUACACAUGCGAGUAUGGGCAAACCUGGUCUCUAAUUAGUAUUUUAAGAAAUAAAAAAUAUCACCAUUCACUACCCAAUAAAUAUAUAAUAUAAACAAUUUUUUGCGGGCCUUUUGUUGUGGUGGGUGGGACUUGGGCAAGGGCCCCGGUGAAGGUGGCGCAGCCUUUGAUUUGGUUUUUGUGCCACGUACAUCAACACUAAAUGAGAUAAUAUUGUAUUUUUCAGUAGAGAAUUAUAAUAUAAAACUAAUAAUAAUAGCUAUUGGGCUGGUAGAUCAAUGGUAACAGUUGUUCUCAAUAAUACCGAGGAUAAUAAUUUGAAUUCCAUUUUUUUUUCUUUUCAAUCAUUUUCCUCAAUAAUAUGGAGUAGACUCUAUAGUAUUUACUAGGGCGUAAUAGAUUUUUAAACAGUCUCAAUAUACUUUUUGUUGUUUACAAAAGUAAUUAAAAGUUCUCUUUUGUUUUGCUUAGUACAUGUAAGCAUUUGAUUGGCCGCCCUAGGCUUAGCUGAUUUCCAUGUAGUUUUAUUUGUUUGGUAAUUAGAGUUCGAAUCCUCAAAGGUUAGAUGCGAAAAAACUGAUUUGGUAUUACCACCCUUUACUUUUAAAAAAACACAAAAAAAAAAGUUAUAAGUAUUUGAGUAUCAUUAUUGACAAUAUAAUUACUAGUACACUUAUUAUUAUUUUUUACAUUAUUAUUUUGUACUCUUACAGCAUGCAAUAAAAUAAAAAUUUCUGAAUUUAUUAAAAUUUAUUUAUUAUUUAUUUGAGCAUACAUUAUUAGCCCUUAUUUAUAAAGUAUUUGAUUUAUAUAUUGGACAUAUGAUGUCAAGAUAGAAGAUAAAAAUCACAAAUUCUUUAUAAAUAAAAGAUUAUUCACAUCCAUUAAUGAAAUGUCCUUUUUAUUUUAUAAGGCUGUAUAUUUUGUAUUUUUAUUGUUAAGUAACUUUAUCUUAAUUACUGAAGUAGAGACUUCAAGUAGAACUGCUGUACGGCCAAGGCGGAUGUACGGUACAGCAGUUUUUUAAAAAUUAUUUUUAAAAAAUUAUAUUUAUUACAUAUUAUUAACUUUUACUUUAUAAUGACAGCAUUUUUUUUCAUAACAACUGUAACUCAAAAGGUACAGUAUUUCAAUACCAAACAUGACCUUAGACCCUAAUUCUAAGAUAAUAGACUGAUCAAAAGACAAUAUUUCCCUUACAAAUUGCUAUAGAGCCAGAUAGUUCAAAAGAGAUAAUUAAAAUAUUAGGAUGCGGACAGUAUUGUUUUCAAAUCUAAUUUUCUAUUUUCUAAAUUCAGAAAAUACUAGAUAAGUAUUCACAAAUGAUACUGAAUAUAUUUUAAAAUUUAAAAAUAACAUUUUCAUUGUUAUUUUUAUUUCAAGAAAACAACAUUUGGAAAACAAUACCAAAUAGGGCCUUAAGCUUCACAAAAAAAAAAAAAAUUACUUUUUUUUGUCCCUUUAUCUAAAUGUUGGAGUUGUGUUUAUCAUUUUUCCUAUAAUUAAUAAAUAACAUUAUGACGUAUCGAUUAUUGAAAAGAAAGCUUAAGUCCCUAAUUUAUAUAUCAAUAAUGAAUCAAAAAAUCUAAAAUUAUAAUAAUAAACUCUCUUUUAAAUGUUAAUUAAUUAAGAAGAUACUUGAAUUAAAAAAUCUAGUAUUAAAAAAUUUAAAUCUCUACACUUUUUUUAUUGUGUUUUUUUAUUUAUUAUUUUAUUUUGAAACAUUCAUUUUCUUUAAUUCGUUGCCGAUUAUAACAACUCAUUGACUAUUAAUUCAUUUCAAGUUUUUAACAAUUUUUUUAAAAAAUGAAAAAAAUAAGUGAAAGCCCAACCCAACCCAACCCAACCCAACCCCGGCCCAAGCUUAGCCCUUAUACUUUCCCUCUAACGGGCUUGAAAAAGCCUAGUCUAAGCUUGCAUUUUGCCAUCCCUAUAUUGAUCAUUUAAAUCUGUGGUUAUAAUUUAUUCAAUAAUUUAUUUAUUAAUUAAUCACAUUUAUUUGUAAUCUAUUUACAAAUAUAUUAACAGUGAUAGUUAGAAUAAAUAGUGACUGAGGGAUAUAUAUGUAAUUACAAAGAAAGAACAUUUAUCAUGGGCUGGAUUUAAUUAAGAUUAUCAAAUAAAGAGUCAAUUAAGUGGUAAUUAUUGGUUUAAAAUCAUGUCUAAUAUUAAUUAAAAGAAGUCUUAAUUAAUUAGGCUUUUAUUUGUUACAUGGUUCAUUAGAGUGCGACAUCGGACUUUUAGUAGAAUAGCUUAGGGUUAACUUAGUUGUUUUAGAGAGUCAUAAUAUGACUGAGACUUAACUAUGAAGUUGGAUUUAGGAAGUUCAUGGAUACCCUUUGUUAGCUUAGUUUCUAGUUAUAUCUUGAUUUUAAUAAGUGCCUAUAUAAAGAAGAGGAAAUGGGAAUUAGAGUUCUCUAUAUGCCCUCAUGUGCGAGGGAGACUAUUGAUGAUAGACGAGAAAACUACAACCAUAUCCUACAGAUCCCAAUAAUGGUAGUGGAAAAAAUUAAAGUAGUUGUCUUCAAAUCUUCAGUAGGAAAUUUAAGGUGUUUCUCUAAUUUUAUGCAUUUUUAUGUAAUCAAGAAAAAAAAAAUCUGACUUUUGAUAAUUUUAUUAAAUUAAAGAAAAAAAAAUAUUUUUUAGGCCUGAUUUAACAACAACUGUAUGAGAGUGGUAUUGAUAUAUGAUAGAUUCUGGACUUACGCUAUUAUUGCUACUUUUAUUGAUUUGAAUUUAAUAGUUUACAAGAACCUCGUAGCGCUGCAUUUAUUUUCGCAUAUUUCGCAAAAAAAAAUCAAUCUCUAUAAUGUUUAUAAGUUGACUGAAAUCCCUAAAAAAUGAUUCACCAUGGUUCCAAUACUUGACCGUAGUCUUAAGGUAAUAGAAUGUUUAAAAGAUAAUUUUCCCCUUGCCAAUUACCAUAGCCAAAUAGUUUGAGGGAGAUAAUAAAAUGCAUUAAACUUAAAAAAAAAAAAAGGAAUUUUGAAAAAUCAAAACAGUGAAAAAGAUAGUGAGGGUCCAUUUACAUCUAUAGCAGAUUCUCUAGAAGGAUUAAUGGGUGACAAAAUCGUGGGCCUUUGCUUGCGAAGGUUAGGAUCCAGGCAAAGGCCCAGGUGAUGCCCGCUCAGCCUUUGAUUUGGCCUUUGUGCCAGCCACGUUAUCAACAUUGAAUGACGUAAAAUUGUACGGACUAGGGUGCAAUUGGUAUUGCCAUUCAAAUAAUGUUUUAUAAUUUUUUAAAUAAUUAAUAAUCUUGUAUGAAUUUCCUUGCUUUACUUUAUAUUUACUAGUUUCAUAUAAAAUUAGUAAAUAUAAAGUAAAACAAGUAACUUCAUACAAGAUUAUUAAUUAUUUAAAAAAUUAACAUUGCUUCUGCACAAUUUUAGUGAAAAAUAUUUUAUUCAUUUACAAAAAUAUAAAGAAAAAAUUACUCAUUAAUUAAACAAAAAUUGUACAAAAAAAGUGAAAUAUAUUUUAUUGAAUUGGUUUAACCAUAAAUUCUAUAUUUAUUUAAUUACAUUUGUAUAAUUUUUCCCAUUUUCUAUAAUGAUAUCUGUUUAUUACACAAGUUAAUUAAGUGCAAUUAUUUAUCUUGACGUGGAUCAAGCAAAUGAAUAAAUAAAUAAAUAAUUAUUCUCAUAUUACUGGACACAUAUAUGAUAUAUCAAUAAAAUUAUAUCUAAUUUUGAGUUCUAUGUAUGCUUCAUGUAGUUUCAAACUUUUUACUUGUACUUAAGAGACCAUUUAGGGUUGUUGUUGCAGAAGUGUAGAAGGAUGCAAAAUAACCUCAUGUUACAACAACUAUGAAAGAUAUUAAAAUAGUUUUUUUUUUCAAAAUCCAAUUCUGCGAAUAAAUUUCAUCCUUAAUAAAACAUCACAUGUACUACAUAAAUGCAAAACUAGCAUUAUGCAAUUUAAUUUUAAAAAAUCAUUAAAUAUAUAAGGUAAUAAAUAUUAUAAUGAGUUUUUAGUUUAUAAGAGCUUUUUUGUUAGUAACUCUUAGAUUAAUUUACUUAUUUUACCUUUUAUUCAUAAGUUUUGAGCAUAGUUUACAAAUUUUAUGUUUUAUUUUGCACUUAAUAUUGAUUUACUUGGUUUAUAUUAUAUUUGUAUGUUUUCGUUUUACUUACUAAUGAUACAUAAAUUUACUAAUUUUAUAGUAAUUUACUUGUUUUUACUUUCCUUUUGCAAGUCUUAUACUUCAUUUCUAAAAUUUAUGUUUUAUUUUAGGCCACUGCUAUGUUACGUUGAGUGUAACAUACACACACUCACAGCAACANNNNNNNNNNNNNNNNNNNNNNNNNNNNNNNNNNNNNNNNNGUUUUAUAUUAAUUUACUUGUUUUAUCCUCCAUUUACAUUUGUGCUUUAUUUUGCACUUAAUGUUAAUUUACAAGUUUUAUGUUAUAUUACAAGUUUUUGUUUUAUUUACUAAUAAUAUAUCAAUUUACGAGUUUUAUAUUAAUUUACUCAUUUUACCUUCAAUUUACAAGUUUUAUGUUUAAUUUCUAAAAUUUAUGUAUUUUACAAUUAAUAUUGAUUUACAAGUUUUAUAUUUUAUUUACAUAAAUUAUGUUUAAUUACAGUAUUGAUACCGUUACGUUAAUCAAGGCAUAAUAGAAUGAGCCUUCUUUCUAAAAUAUACUUAUAAAAUGAAAAUUUCAAAAUGUUUGAGUUGUUUAAAAAGUGAAGACGGUAAAAGAGAGUGAGAAAAAAAUACAUACUCUCAUGGCGAUAAUAUCUCUUGCAUUAGAGAAAAGAACAUUUACACCUUCAAGGUUUGAGAAAAUAGUCAUAUAGAUUCGCAAGUUCUAAAAAAUAGACACCAAAACUCAUUUUUGAUCAUAAUACCUUUUAAAUAUAUUAACUAAAAAAUUACUGCUGUACUUUUAGGGAGUAUCAUUAAUAUUAGAAUAAAUAAUAAAUAAUAAAUAAAUUUUACUAAUAGAGAACCUUUUAAAAAUUACCAAAUAAUACAAUUAGUAUUGUUGAAUAAAAAAUAAUUAAAAAGUAUUAAAGAUAAUUAGAAUUGGAUUAUAAAAUAAAUAUUGGUAAUGGGCCCACAUAAUGACAGACAUGAUUUUUAUUUUGUUGUUGUUCUAGUGGUACUUGUAGUACCCAUUUAAAAAAUGAAAAUUGAAAAUCAUGAAUGCCUUAUUGUCCAAUUUUCUUCUCUAAAGUUAGAGAAUGAGAUUAAACAUUCUUACUUGAAAUUAAAUACCAUAAAAUAAGUGUACCAAACAAAUUUUACAAUUUUCUUAGAAAAUGAAAAAUAGCAAAACAUAAAUAAUAUCAAAUACAUGCUUAUCUUCUAAAAAAAAAAAUAGCCAUUGGACUAAUUAAUCAAUGCUGACAGGUAUUCACAAUAAUAUUGAGGACACUAUUUGAAUUUCAUGGCUUUUUUUUACUCAUUUUCUCAACAGUAUGAAGUAAAUUUUUUGAGUAUUUACUAAGACGUGAUAGAAUUUCAAGUUAGUCUUAAUAUACUUUGGGUUGCUUACAAAAGUAAUUAUAAGUUCUCUAUAAUUUUAGUUAUUACAUGUAAGCACUUGAUUGCCCACCUAAGGAUUUAACCAAUUUUUAAUUAGUUUCAUUUGAUUGACUAUUGGAGUUCCAAUCUUACAAAGAUUAUAAGAAAAAAAUUGAUUUGGAUUUUACCCAUUCUUUAAAAAACACAUAAAAAAAAUUGUAAGCAUGUGACUAUCAUUAUUGACAAUAUAGUUACGACAAGAAGUCUGCAAGAAUCUCAUUGCAGAUUAGAUUAAUUUUCAAGUAUUUAGAAAAAAAAAUCACUACAAUAUCUCACCAAAUACUUAAAAGAUGAUUCAUCGAGUAAUUUCCAUACUUAUGUCCUAUUUAGGAUUGAGGUUGAACGGUUGUAGUGUAAAAAGAAUAGCACUAAAGUAUUUGAUAAAAAGAAUAGCACUAAAGUAUUUGAUAAACACUAGUUGGUAUAGCUUGAAAACUAAAUUGAUUUGAUUUUCUACUUGUAUGAUGAAAAAUUUAUUAUAUCUUUACUCAUUUUUAAAAAAUUAUUAUUUAAAAAUUAUAUUUAUUACAUACUAUUAACUUUUACUUUAUAGUUACAGUAUUUUUUUCAUAACAACUGUAACUCAAAAGGUACAUACUUCAAUACCAAACAUGACCUUAGACCCUAGUUCUAAGAUAAUAGACUGAUCAAAAGACAAUAUUUCCCUUACAAAUUGCUAUAGAGCCAGAUAGUUCAAAAGAGAUAAUUAAAAUAUUAGGGUGCGUACAAUAUUGUUUUCAAAUCUAAUUUUUUAUUUUCUAAAUUCAGAAAAUACUAGAUAAGUAUUCAAAAAUGAUACUGAAUAUAUUUUAAAAUUUAAAAAUAACAUUUUCAUUGUUAUUUUUAUUUCAAGAAAACAACAUUUGGAAAACAAUACCAAAUAGGGCCUUAAGCUUCACAAAAAAAAAAAAAAUUACUUUUUUUUGUCCCUUUAUCUAAAUGUUGGAGUUGUGUUUAUCAUUUUUCCUAUAAUUAAUAAAUAACAUUAUGACGUAUCGAUUAUUGAUCUAACUACUCUCUUGUGUGAUUUGUAAAGUUAAUGAGGUAAAUGCUAACAUAUUCCAUUACGUUAGCAUUACGAGUUUUGAGAGGCCCGCAGAGCAAUAUAUCUACAUUGUUCGCUUAGAAACAGCAACCUCACUCAACAGAAAGUUGAGAGGAUAAUAGAAGAGAAAUGGCGGGGGCAGUGAAGAGAAUCAAGCUGGGUUCACAAGGUCUAGAGGUUUCAGCGCAAGGCUUAGGAUGCAUGGGCAUGUCCGCCUUCUACGGGCCCCCGAAGCCCGAAUCCGAUAUGAUAGCCUUGAUCCACCAUGCCAUUGACAGUGGCAUCACUUUACUUGACACUUCCGAUGCUUACGGACCUCACACAAAUGAAAUCCUUCUGGGCAAGGUAAUGUAAUUUAACUUCUAUUUCCUUCCUUUAAUUUCAAAAGGGUAUGUUUGGAAUUGGCAAAUAAUAAUAUAUUGACUUUGAUUAAUUUGGUUUUGGGAUUAGGCUCUGAAAAGAGGGUACAGAGGAAGAGUUGAAUUGGCUACUAAAUUUGGUAUCAGAUAUGAGGAUGGCCAGUACUCAUACUGUGGGGAUCCUGCUUAUGUAAGAGCUGCAUGUGAGGCCAGCUUGAAGCGUCUGGAUGUUGACUGUAUUGAUCUUUAUUACCAACAUCGCAUUGACACUAAAGUCCCCAUUGAAGUCACGGUUUGUCGCUUUUAAUUUAUAUAUUUGUCUCAAUCAUGCAUGUUAAACUAUAUUAGUCUGUUAGCCUCUGGGUAGCUCGGCUGGCAAUGAAUAUGAAACACAGAAUAUUUAAAAAUACAGACAUGGGUCACUUCGGUGGGUGAGGUUUCUGUUAUCAUGUACAAAUUCUUUUACUUGUGUUGUUUUGUAAGAUUGGGGAACUCAAGAAACUAGUUGAAGAGGGUAAAAUAAAGUAUAUAGGUCUAUCGGAGGCUUCUGCUUCAACAAUUAGACGAGCUCACGCCGUCCAUCCAAUAACAGCUGUGCAGUUGGAAUGGUCCUUGUGGUCAUGAGAUGUGGAGGAAGAGAUUGUUCCUACUUGCAGGUAAGACAUUAUUUGGGCCAAAUGAAUUGUUUUGACCUAGUUGAAAGGAAAAAAAAUUAUGAGUAGAUGAUUUAACAUUUGCAUGCUAACGCAAUUUUGGUGGUUGCUCUGCUCAGGGAACUUGGCAUUGGAAUUGUUGCUUACAGUCUUCAAGGAAGUGGGUUUCUUUCAUCCGGGCCAAAGUUGGUUGAAAGCAUUGCACCGGAUGAUUCUAGACAUGUCCGUAAGCCUACCAUGCAUUUAUUACCAUUUUUAUGCAUGUUCAUUGGGCCUUAAAAUGUUUUCUACCAUUAUUAUUCGAUGCCUACAAGCAUGGUUAAAACCUUCUCUCAAGAUACUCUACAGUGACUUGCAUACUAUUUUAUCUUAUAAACCUCUGAUAUUUAUCUAGAACCAUAGUUAUAGUUCAUUCUAACCGAACCCAGUAGGACUUGUUUAAGAAUUUUGUUUCUUAAAUAUUCUACUAGUUCAUUUCGAUCUUCUAAUUACACUGAAGUUACCUGUGUAUAGAUUGCAUGGAGAAGAUUGAGGAAAAAUGAAAAUUCAAUUACUAACAACUGAAUACACUGUAAUCUUUUUCGAAUUGACUUGUGUACCAAAACUUAUUCGUCAUUGGCUAAAUGUUUGGUGUUUACUAAUCAGGCAGUUUUACUUUCGUCAUAUUUGCAUUACUUGCUUCUUUAUUACACGUUCAUUCUCAUUUCCAGCAAUACAAUAAUAAUUCUUGUUUAGUUUUACUCUAUAGUUCUGAAAUUCUUCAUAGAUUUCAAUUUUGUCCCUCAUAUUAUGCUCAUUAACCUCUUCAAACAUGAGCAAGGCUUUCUUUGCAUUGAAAAUCUGGGGAAUUAUCUAUGCAAUGACUUCGUUGAUUGACAGAAAAAUUUAACAUGUCGGAUUCAAUUUAUAUACAUGAUAAUACCCCUUAAGUCGGAUAGAGAUAAAAAAAAAUGGAAAAAAAUUGUUUCAUUAUCUCAAAACUAUUACUGGGUCCUCAAGAAGUUUAAUGACUCUUCCAAACUUCUACAUCCUUGUGGUAGUUUCCAUUUUUGUUAUAUUGCUUUGCCUAUGCACGUUAAUGUGAAAUCAAUUGAUAAGUCUAAUGAGAGUUUACUUCUUGCGAGACCUUUGUCUAACAUUCCAAAAUGUUUUACUAUAAACAUCCUCUGCCUAGGAGAAGUCCCUCAACUAGUCCUUUUUCCUUGUUUUCUGGUCUAUUGAAUUUUACUUAAACCUCCUCUAAAAUCAUGCUUUAUCCAAAAUGAUGUUCUUUUUUAAUGAUUCAAUUACAGUUCACUUUUGGUACUGAGCUGUUUUCUAAAUCUUGCAGCUUCUACCUAGGUUCCAACCUGAAAAUUUAGAGCAUAACAAAAAGCUAUUUGAACGUGUUAAUGAAAUAGCUGUAGGUUCCAACCUGAAAAUUUAAAAUCUUGCAGCAUCAACCGAGGUUCCAACCUGAAAAUUUAGAGCAUAACAAAAAGCUAUUUGAACGUGUUAAUGAAAUAGCUGUAAAGAAAGGAUGCACCCCAUCUCAGCUUGCAUUAGCAUGGGUUCAUCACCAAGGAGAUGAUGUGUGUCCAAUUCCUGGAACCACCAAGAUUGAAAACCUGAAUCAAAAUAUUAAAGCUCUGUCAGUGAAACUAACUCCGGAAGAAAUUGCUGAGCUUAAAUCCAUUGCUUCAGCAGAUGCUGUAAGGGGUCAUCGAUAUGGGGGUGUCACUCAUACCUAUGAAGAUUCCACUGUCUUCAUGGAAACCUUCAUAAAGGGCAUUGGUAGUCUGCCUUCUUAGUACCGAUUUUGCAAUUGCAUUUAGUUCCUAGGUUUUGUUGUGGGUAAAAUUACUGUAUUGUGAGUAAAGAUAAAGUCACCGUGUCUUCUGAUAGGACACCCUAUUAGUACCUUUCUGCACUUUUCUCAAGUGUUUAGUGAAUAU